GGAGGUGUUGACAUAUCUUUGUGAUCUUCAGGUCCUUGUCAGGAAAAUAAUUGAAUUGCAUGACAAGUAUAUGGCAUAUGUCAAUGAUUGCUUUAUAAACCACUCACUGUUUCACAAGGUUAGUGUUGUGACAUACUAGUCAGAUACAUAAUUACAUUUACGUUUACACUGUGUGUGAUAUACUUUUCUAUUUGGCUGUUUGAUAGGCUCUAAAAGAAGCUUUUGAGGUAUUCUGUAAUAAAGCGGUUUCUGGGAGUUCAAGUGCUGAGUUACUGGCUGGAUUCUGUGACAAUAUUCUCAAGAAGGGUGGAAGUGAGAAGUUGAGUGAUGAGGCUAUUGAAGAAACACUUGAGAAGGUAUUGUUCUAUAUCUUUUUUCUUGUGAAGAUUUAAUUGAUUGCUGUGAUAAUGUUUCAUUCAUUUAUUUUGUCAUUUAACAUAAAGUUCAUCAUUUCAUCUCUUUUCAGGUUGUUAAGCUGCUUGCUUAUAUCAGUGAUAAAGAUCUUUUUGCAGAAUUCUACAGGUAACCACUGUUUGAGGUUGUAAUAUAUAUGUUUCACAUUGUCAAAAGUUGUAACUGUUGUAAGAAGUUGGUGAUAUAUAUUCAAUCAUGCAGACCUCCAUACUGAAGCUUUCUUGUCCUUUGAUUGUGAAUUAAAAUACACACAUACACCCAUGUAUUUCUAGAUAUCCACAGAAAGAAACUUUUGUAUGUACCCUCUUAUUAUACACAUUGAAAUGCAGCUUUCUUGUUGUUUGAUCAUGAAUUAACACACAUACACCCAUGUUUUCCUAUAAUUCACAUAAAGAGACUAUGGUACGUGCCCACUUUUUACACAUUGAAAUGCUUUUAUACCAACUGCUAUAACGCUUCAUGAUACAUACUUUAAUACAUCAUAUAUGUUAUGUAUUAUAGUUAUGUUAUUGACUAGUAGGAUCCUGUCACAGGAAAAAGCUUGCCCGUCGGCUACUUUUUGAUCGGAGUGCCAAUGAGGACCAUGAAAAAAGUAUUCUAACAAAGCUUAAGCAGCAGUGUGGUGGACAGUUUACCUCCAAGAUGGAGGGAAUGGUCAGUGAACAGCAUUUAUUUGCGUUUUUCUCUAUGCUGUUAGAGUAUUAGUGUUGAUACUGAUUAUGUUGGCAUUGCAUUUUAAUUUCAGGUUACAGAUUUGACAGUGGCUCGGGACAAUCAGGUCAACUUUGAAGAGUAUCUUAAGAGCAAUGAGAAUGUUAGUCCUGGGAUGGAUUUGACGGUCACAGUUCUUACAACUGGUUACUGGCCAAGCUAUAAAUCUUUUGAUCUUAACCUUCCCGAAGAAAUGGUAAGAUUUGCUUUAUAUUUGAUGCCGCACUUCAUGCUUGAAAGUGUACUUGGCACCUAAAGUGUAAUUUGUUCACAUUUUAGGUGAGGUGUGUUGAAGUUUUCAAGGCAUUUUAUGAAACAAAAACAAAGCACAGGAAACUUACAUGGAUUUACUCUUUGGGGACCUGCCACAUCAAUGGCAAGUUUGAGCCAAAAACAAUUGAAUUGGUUGUAUCAACCUAUCAGGUAAUAUCACAUUGUCUAUUGCUUUAUUGGUUUUUGGUGUGGAAGCUAUUUGACUAUUCCAGCAUGGUUUUUUGUAAGGGCACUUUAAAUCCUGUUGUGUUUAUUCGGUGCAGGCUGCUCUCCUGUUGCUCUUCAAUACUGCAGAAAAAUUGAGCUAUUCAGAAAUUUUGACCCAGCUGAACCUUACCCAUGAUGAUUUGGUUAGACUGCUUCAUUCCCUGUCAUGUGCUAAGUACAAGAUUCUACUUAAGGAGCCUGCCACAAAGACUAUCUCACCAAAUGACAACUUUGAGUUUAACUCGAAGUUCACAGACAGACUUAGAAGAAUUAAGGUAUGAGAUUGCUAUACCGUUUUUAUUUCACUUUUGUGUUAAGAGUAGAUGAGCCAACACGUUCACUUUUUGUAUCAUAGAUUCCUCUUCCACCUGUGGAUGAAAGGAAGAAGGUCAUCGAAGACGUGGACAAAGACAGGCGAUAUGCUAUUGAUGCUGCAAUUGUGAGGAUCAUGAAAAGUAGAAAAGUCCUGGGUCAUCAACAGUUGGUGAUGGAGUGUGUAGAGCAGUUGGGACGGAUGUUUAAGGUAUUUCGUCUAGGUUCACUUUCAUUGAAUGCUAAAAGAAAAAUGCAAUUCUAGUAUAUGUACGUAAUAUUUUUGUGUAACAUGCUUGUGAAAGUAUUCCACUGACAUGGUUAUGUGCAAUUGAAUUAUGCAGCCUGAUAUCAAAGCAAUCAAGAAGCGCAUUGAGGAUCUCAUCACCCGUGACUACCUUGAGAGGGACAAGGAAAACCCGAACACGUUCAAGUACCUUGCAUGAUUCAAAUGCUGGACCUGGGGAUAUGUUACUUGGGGUAUGCUGGAAGUACAGAAACAUGAAUUAGGAACUUGGAGUUCUGCUGUAUAUGAUAUGCAAAUCUUUUAAAAUUCUAGGAUUUUUGAAAGGAGUGGAUUAUUUUUUGUGCAAUGCGCUAUUAAAGCCAGUUUUGUGCAAUUCACCCAUCUUUCCAGAGAGUUUAAUGUGCAAUUAUUUUCAAAGAGCUUAUGUACUGCUAUAGUACUAUUUUUGUGGUUGGUAAGAAUAUAAAAAACCAAUGUUCUGAUGUGUUGUGUGUGCUGGUUUGAAGAUAUUCUUGUCUGCUUGAUUCUAAAAAUGGGGCUCUCCGGUGAUCAUAUGAGAACUUGGAGAGGUGAUCACACCGGAAGUCGGAGAGUCGGGUUUGCUAUGGAUUUUUCUGCUUUACAUUACCCCGUGGAGAGCUCAAGUUUCGUUCAAUUUCCUCAAGUAAAAUAACAGAAGGGGAUUGAAAGGUGCAAAUUUAUUUUCCGUUACUCCGAGUAUCAAAGCUAGCUCCCCGUCUCCUCUGUAAACCCUAAACCCCAAUGUUGUCUCGUCUGUGUUCCAGAAACUGGGUCUCUCUCCAUGGUGGUGGUUCUCAUUGUGGUCUUCAAUAUCAGUGGUUUAGCACGAAGAGAUGUACCAGCAGCUACAACGAUUUCACAGUCUCCUACCUGGUUAACUCAUGCGGGCUUUCCCCGAAAGCCGCCGUUAAAGCAUCGGACAAGGUAAAUCUCCAACCUUCCUCUUUAGCAAGACCAGACUCUGUUUUAGCCGUUUUGAGGGAGCACGAAUUCUCAGAUACCCAGAUCUCAACUCUUGUGCGAAGAGACCCACGUUUUCUGUUGGCCGAUGCCAAGAGAACCCUGUUGCCAAAGCUUGAGUUUUUGUUUUCCAAAGGAAUGUCAAGGCUGGACGUUGCAAAAAUAGUGACCUACAACUCAUUUCUCUUGAGUCGAAGCGUGGAAAACUGCUUUGUUCCCUGUUAUACCUUCCUGAAAAGCGUUGUGGUCUGUGAUGCCAAGGUGGUGUGUAUAUGGAAGCGCAACGCUUACAUUUUCGGGCAAAUUCUAUACAAGAAUGUGAUACCCAAUUUGGAGUUUGUGAGAGAAUUGGGUAUGUCACAGUCCCGUGUUCCAUGUUGCUAACAACUCGUGCUGAGCUUUUGAUGAGGAAGCCUGAGUUGUCCAGUGAACUUGCGAGUCAAGUCCAGCAAUUCGGAUUUGACCCUCAGAAGUCUGACUUUGUGCAAGCCAUGGAGGCAUUAAGUAGGAAAGAGACGACAUGGAAACGAUGUCAAGAGGCUUACAGGAGUUGGGGUUGGUCGGAUGAUGAUAUUCUUUCUGCCUUCAAGGUGUGUCCGCUGUGUAUGACCAAGUCUGAAAAGAAAAUAAUGGAGACAAUGGAUUUCUUGGUGAGCAAGAUGGGAUGGGAAUCAGGAAAAAUUGUCAAGGUGCCGUGUGUUUUUAAUUACAGCUUGGAGAAGAGAAUCUCCCUAGGUGUUCAGUUGUUCGAGUUUUGUUAUGUUAAGUAUAUAAGGAUAGUUGAGUCAUUUACUAUUAUCCCUACCUAUAUAAAGCUAUGAGUUGUGUAUACUGUUCAUCAAUUGAGAAAUACAAGAUGCAGACGUUUACUCUCUCCUGUGUUUUCUUUACUUUUCUGCUUAGCAUUUUCAAUUCAAUAAUUCCAUGAAUCCUCAUGGUAUCAGAGCCCAUGGUCGCGAUUUUGUGGCCUUGUGGCUUCUGUGAUUAGCUUAGCUUCCGCGUUUUGAUUCCAGUUUUUCAGUUUUCAGUUUCCCCAACUUCAAUUACCCUAGCUUUGCGUUUUUCCCAAACUCGUUCAUCAACGAUCCCAAACUCAAAAUCUUCGUCUUUGGCGCUAUAAUCUUCUCUUACGGCGUCAGAUUGUCGAUACCCAGCCUUCUCUAAGACCUCUGGGCUUCGAUGUUCGUUCUCCGCGUCGUCACCUGCGCGGCUCGCCUCGUAUGGCUCUGUUCUUUGUUUGCGGGUUUUCUCCUUCAGAUCCCCGAGUAUGACGUCAGGGGAGGACUGUAUCAGUGUGAUGCAGCGAAUCUGUUCUCUGAGACUUGGUAAUCUUCGAGCCCUUUAUUUUGUCACUAUGUCUUUGCGCUGCAAUUCUUGUUUUUGAGAGUAUCUAGUAGACUAGUUGUUCAAUCUAUUUGCUCUGAAGGUGAAUGGGAGACGAAGAUGUGUAUAUUUUGAUAAAUCUGGUUGGAAGAUGAGUAUUUUUAAGGUUGAAUAUUCCUGGGCUUAUUGUUCUGAUGGUGAUUAGAGAUGGUUAGGUCUUAUGACUGGAUUUUGUGUGCUUCUUUCUCUGCUGUGCUUCUAUGUGCUAAGUGGUUGGUGACAUUAAGUUGAUAGCUGCUGUUGUUUAGUGUUCUCCUACCACAAUAUGUUUGAGAUACUGACCCUGCAACAAAACGUAUGUUUGGAAGUAGUAGUAAUGUAUGUGGAAUUGUAGUACAGAGGUAGUAGCCUCUGUAUGAUCGUAGAGUUGUGGUAAUCACAACUAGCGGUAGUAGCCUCUGUAUGAUCGUAGAGUUGUGGUAAUCACAACUAGAGGUAGUAGCCUCUGUAGAACAAAGUGGUGCAGAAAAAUAUUGUAGUGAGUCAAGGUUUCAAUUGAGAUGUGGAGGGAAACAUUAUUUUGCAGCAGCUUAUAUGUUGGGGUAUGAACGCAUGGGAUUGAUUACAGCAAGUUAAUACUGGUAGAGAUAUGCAGUAUGUAGCAGUGUUCAGUCCUUGCAGUAGUUUUUCAGAUUCUUCAUUGGAUUGUUUGUUGCCUUGCUUCCAUGGAUUUUGUCUUCUCAGCUCUGUGUUGCCUCAAUGCUCUGCUGCAACCUACAAUCUUGUCAACUGACUGUGGAUGAUGUUCUCAUACUGCCAAGUGGCUGUUGGGUUUUGAUUUUUGGGAUGAUAAUCUUGUAAAUUGUUCUACAUCAUGUAUUGUGCUUCUUGUUAUGUACUUGGUCCAACCAUUAUGCUUGUUACCAAGCAUAUGGUUGAGGGGGAUGUUAAGUAUAUAAGGAUAGUUGAGUCAUUUACUAUUAUCCCUACCGAUAUAAAGCUAUGAGUUGUGUACACUGUUCAUCAAUUGAGAAAUACAAGAUGUAGACGUUUACUCUCUCCUGUGUUUUCUUUACUUUUCUGCUUAGCAUUUUCAAUUCAAUAAUUCCAUGAAUCCUAUCAGUCGAAAGGGUUGAUAGAAGAGGAAAAGUUGAGCUUGGCUACUGUGAUUACGAAUCCGGAGGAGUAUUUCUUAAGUAGAUUUGUCACCAGAUAUGUCGACCAAGUACCUCAGUUGUCGAAUAUAUACCAAGGAAAAAUGGAUGUGCAGGAUGUAUGAUCUUGGUCACACAGUUUCUAGGCUGAUAGUGUUGAAUAUCUGAAGUUUCUAUUGGAAGAAAUUAAAUGUUGCAUUGAUCACUAUUUUUCAUUACUAUAACGAGAUCAUUUCUAACCAGUGUCUCUGUUCUGGAAGUAUAAUAUAAUCCCUUCGAGUGGUUGCUGUUGACGAGUAUCUGAGAAGGAGCAACAAGUUAGCUUGUUAUUAAUCGUUUUCUAAUAACAACUUAUUCCGCAGCAUAUAACCAAUCUUCUAUCUUCCUUCUUGAGCUUCAGGCAUUUUCCCUAGUUUAAAUGGUUGAUUGACUUUGAUCGAGUUCUCCAGCUACCCUAAUCAUAUUUUCUGCUUUAGAGUAUUCCAAUACUCCCUAGCAUCAAACAUGAUCUAACUUCAUAAUCUAUAUCCAGAUUUAGAGAACUCCAAUGAUCAUAUUAGCUUUCCUAUAACAUGGUGUUGUAACUGUUGCUGAACCAUGGCCAGAGAUGCAGGUGUGACUGAGUAGCUUCAUCUUAUGUGUAUGUACAGCUUGGAUACAGAUUACAGAAUCAUCCCAAGGUUUUCGGUUGUUAGAGUUUUGAUGUUGAAAGGAUUGAUUAAAGAGGAAAGGUUGAGUUUCACUACUGUUUUUGCGACUCCAGAGAAGUACUUCUUGAAUAGUUCUUUCCAGAUUUCUGGACACAGUACCCCGACUUUCGAUAAGUACCAAGGAAAAGCGCAUAUAUGCACUUCAGCCCAGUUUGUGAGGUUAGUUUGUAACGCACUUGUAGGCUUGAUAGUUUUGAAUAUGGCUUGUCAACAGAUAGCAUUGGAAGCAGCAUUCUCAGUAAUGACUAUAAAGAGAUUUCUAAAUUAUCGUCUCUGCCUUACAUUCAGUUUGUUUGUUACUAGAAAAUAUAUUACUUAUGAUCAUGUCCUCAGUCUGAAGUCUGCACUUAGAAAGGAGGUUUCUAAUUUAUCAUGUCCUGUUAGAUUAUUGAUUGGUAGCAAUUAGGUGAACGGGUUCUGUGCCAUUGCUGCCCUCAGUAAUGUCCCUAGACUACUCAUUGGUUUUAAGGUCUCUCGAAUCUGUGAAAAGCUCUAACGAAAGUCGUCAGCUGCAUCUGUAUUUGCCAACUGUGGGCACGCUGCAAGGCAUGUCUGUUCUCUACUAGUCAAGAGGGGAUCCAUGUUAAGCUGAUAGCUUUAGGUAUCGAAACAGCUAGGAUAAGAUUCUGCAACAUGAAUUUCUAUCAAUUAACGAACACCUUCUUAUUAAGUUGUGGAUUAGGAGAUAAUGGCUAACCCAACUCAAUGAAAAGCGUUGGUUCCAUUUCAACAUUAAUAUGUUCGUUCUGAAAAGUUCAACUGGGAUUCGAUCCACUCGAUGUUUGCUGUGACUUUUGGUCUAGAUUGUCAUACUAAAAUCUGGAGUUCAGUUAUUCACUCGUUUUCCUUACUGUCAUGGCAAUAGAGAAAAGUUCAACUUUCUUGUAGCUGUUGAUAACUAGUAGUGAGGAUCUGUGAUCUUUGCUAUGUUGUAGGCUGAUAGUGCCAAUUCCAGAGGCACCACCAUUUGAUGCUUGGACUUUGGAGUAGAAAAAACAGGUUUCUGUAUGAUUUUCAUGAGUAGGUAUAAUCACUGUCUCAGUUUGUACUUAGCAAAGAGGUUUCUAAAUUUUCAUGUCCUGUCACUUCAAAUUUAUCCUCAAGAAUCAGAUGCUCAUUUCUUGUAGUUUCGAACUGUAAAUAUGUCUGUUUCGCAACAAGACUGGCUAUAAUAUGUAAACAACAGUCUAAUAAUAUGUAAUCACACAUGUUCGGGAAUAUACGCAGAAUCACCAUCAGAUGAAAAGACUAAUUAAAUUUCUAGGAUGAUGGGGUUAGGAAAAAAUUUGGCUUCUCUACUUGGAUUUAUGUUGUUUGGAUUUGCUUGGAUGACUUCUAACCAUUGGAUCAAGUACAAUCUAAGACGAACAUGUCAUCCUUACUUCAUCUAAUAGUUAUAAGACAUCCAAGCAAAUCCAAACAACUUAAAUCUAAACGGAGAAUCCGGAUCCGUUGGGAAAACAUGACAUAUUUUACUUUGGCCUCACUCUGGCUCACUUUUCAUCGGCAUCGUUAGGCAAACUUGCUAAUUGCUAUGGCUUGGGUACCAACAGCCUCACCUCACUUGUCACGGCCGCGUGGGCAGUUACUAUUAGUCUCACCUCAUUUGUAUGGGCAAGGGUGGUGGGCAUUGUUAGCCUCACUUAGAAGUUGCUCUGAUAACUUGGCGUCAGCAGUGUUAGCAUCACUUGUAUUGAGCCUCACUUGCAUGAGCCUGAGCACCGGUAGAGUCUAGCUUAGAUAAAACCUGCGGCAAAUUUCAGUUUCUUGACUUCAGAAAGCAAGGACAAGCACAUGCCAACUGAGGGAAAAAUCAAGCUGCACCAAGUGUGGGUAAGUUCAGCCAUACACCAAGUUAUGCGAAGCAAGAUCAAGUAAAGACCAAGUAUGGGUAACGUUUGGUUGGUGUUCGAAACGCACAAAAUCAAGCGAACACAGUACGAGAGCACUGCCUAUUGAACACCAGUGCAGGAGCUUAGUCUCAACAGGCCGAAGGUCGAAAAACAUAAUGAUGGAAGGGGGGAGGAGGAAGCAACAAAUUGAAGUGUGAUAUAGGGCUUAAUAUCAAUGGAUUAUGACAGCCAGGCCAUUCUACCACUCAUUAUCCCAUUGCUCAUUGAAGUCGUCUGCAAAGGUUUUUUUUCCCACAACUUGGGUAUUUCAGAGCAUCUCUCACAACCUGUGCACCUCUGGACUUGGCCAUAAUUAGGCGCUAACUGUGGGUCGGUAAUCAAAACCUUUCCGGCUUUCCUGAUUAGAGCAUAUAAAGACCAAGAGUUGGUUACUACUCUAGGCGUGUUCUUCCGUUUAGGUUGAAUCACCCGCACCAUCUGUCAUCUGCUUGAAACGAAGACGAGGGCAAACCGACAAAGAGGGAAAGAUGAAGGCUCAGAAAUUUAAGUGGCCGUGGAGUAGAAGAUAAAUAUUUUCGACCAAGACCGAGAAGUGGAGAGAGCAAAAAAAAAAAAAAAAAAAAAAAACAGCCCUAGUCCUGUGUGUAACACCAAACCUAGACCUCUAAAUUCAAAUUCAUCAAAAGACAUUUUCAAACUUUGAUUUCAAAACUCAGGAACUGGCUAAACUAUAGUGAGUCUUAAUAAUCCUCAUAAGACAGGCCAAUUCAGGAAAUGAAGAGGUAACUUUAUUGAUAUGCUCCGCUAAUCAUCGGAGAUGAAUUUUAUUGAUACAUCCAAUGGCCAAUUGAAAUAAUUAAACUUUAUUAUCUAAACCUAUAUGAAUGUUAUUGCUAUGGGUUAAGUUUAAAGUAUAAAACUAUAUACCAACAUCAAAGAAAAUUUUGAACAAGAAUAUCACAUCAAAUUCAGUACUACCUAUAGCUGCACCUGCCCCAGUUGCUCAACCUGAAAGCAGAUCCAUGCUCAAGUCAGUAAAUUACCAAUGAAACUGCUAGAUCCUAAUUCAAACAUCUCAAGCACUUUGAAAGCUUAUACAUAACGGUGUAUUGCUAACAUGCAAAAUGAUGACAUUUUCGUGUGGAAGACUAAAGAUCAUAAAUAUUAAAGAGAAGGCCAGAGUGCCAAUUUGGCAGAAAUACCAAAUCGUAAAUUACAAAAAAUUUCAGCAUGGAUUGCCUACUUUCUACACAAGAUAUAGAAGAAACUUUGCAAAUAAAGCAUAUAGUCAUAUACUAUAUGCUCCUAAGGUUCAAUAACAAUCAAGUAUGGUCAUGAGCAUUAUCUGCAUUUUUCUUUUACUCCUUACACAGCACUGUCAUUGACAAUUAGUAGUUGGACUCCCACAACCUAAAUAUAUACAUGCUUUGUUUUUUCAUUUUUGUGCUUUUCCUUCAACAUUCAUGUUCUCCCAUCUAAGUAACCUAAAAUGGCUUUUCCCUUGGGAUGAACAGAAAUGAACAAAAGCCCACUGUUAGAAAAGCAACUAUUAUAUCUUGGGGAAAAGAGAGUAUUCACUUCUUGUAUCUGCAUCUCACACAAAAGUAAACUAGGUUUUUUUUUCUUUUCAAUUUUUUAUGAUAGGAAUUCUCUUAUUUGAGAGACACUGAUACAUAUUCAAUAGAAGAUCAACUGAUUGCUACGUUUAAACCAAGUUCAGAAGUCAAUGAACGAUCGCUGAAAAUUGUGAAAAUUUUACCUGUGAGAUCUGAAGGAAAGACCUAAAAAAUAUCCACCUCCCCUUCUCUUCACACAGAUGUCUUUUAUAUACAAAAGUUGCCACUGGCAAGAGAAAGUACCGAAUAAAAGUUAGAGAAGAAGGCAGACAGUAAAAACAAUAAAGCAAAUUUUCAUUGCUACGGCUACACAAACCUUUGAUGUAAGAAAAGCAGAACCCCAGCACUGGGAGUUUCAUGGAUAGCACUGACAAUAGUCUCAUUUACACAGUUUUCUGAUUCGAUCUCUAUUAAGGCAGCAAGGAGACAAAGUGAAGGAACAACCUGUUCAUGUUACAUUCUACCAAAAUCAAACUCAAGAGAUGUUUUUUGGAAAGUGAAAGGAAACAGAGAAAAGAAAAAAGAUUAGAGGGCGGGAAAUAAAGAAAAUCUAAUAGAAGGGCAGCAUACCUGCAACUUCCAAUUUUUUUAGCUCUCUUUACAUAGUGCCGAUAUGGCUCAUUCUGUAAAGUAAGAUCAGACAAUUCAUGCACAUACUGGAAGACUUGCAAUGCAGAUAACAGAUUGUUAAGAUAAGUUAACCAGCUGAAGAAGAAAGCCCCAAUUGAACAUGUGGUUCUCAUCAUUAUGUAGAACUAUUAUAUCUUCCAACACAUUCUUCAUAUCCACCUUUUGAAUGCUGCUCAGAAUCUUUUUCAGAAGAGCCUUAAAUAGUGAUGGUUCAAAGUCCUCGAAAUGACUAUUGGUUAUUGAGAUCCGAUGACCCACUUUGGAUCCAUACAGUGAUGGAAAACAGAUCUAGGAUCACAGAGAAUAAAUUGGGUAGAAGCUCCUCAGUAUAUAUGAACAGAAAAAUUUUGGUGACAACCAGAUCUCCCGGUACAAGUUCCAAGCUGUACAGCAGAAAUAUCCAGGUCAUCCCUUCACUGCAUGAGACCCAAGGACUCACCAAUAUGGUCUUCAUGUAUUAAUAUCAUCCCCACCACCAUCUGGACUCUUCUGACGGAUAUUGCUAAUGGCUUCCGUUGCAAGCCGUACCAAACGUAGUAAUCCCUCUACAUCCUGGAAGUUAAAGUCAAGAGCCCUUUUAAUGGAAGAGAUGCAUUCGGAAUACUUAGAUUCUCCCACAGCAGCUGCAAAAGCAAGAUGUGAUCUCUUUGAUGCGUCCAUUGCAUUAUGUACAUCUUGUGUCUGCAAUUCAUCAAUUUUGAGUAUAUAGUUUGUUCAGUCAUCAACCCAUAAAAACAUUGCUAGUGAGAACUGUGAGUGAGUAAGUGAGGAGGGGGGAAGGGGUUGGAGGCGUGUUACAAAAUGGAAGCAGUGCUCAGGUCCCAAAUAUAAGGAAUGACAGAUUAAAAGUUUCAAUAGAAGAUCAAUGAAAACUCACAAAUUUCAGCAUCCGGACAAAAUUGGGACGAUUUCGAGCAGCAAUGACAUGGUUUCCAGCAACUUGGGGUGAGCUGACUCCCUUAGGUAAGGGAACCUUGUCUGCGGUUGAGGGAUUGUUUAAGUUGUCAACAUCAGAGGCAGAGGAAGACGGAGAUUCACCUGAUAGAAAACCAACAGAGAAUGGCAAAUAAGUUAUUAGAAAAAAAAAUUGUUACAAGAGCUUUGCGCCUUCUUUAACACCAAAGCAGCAAAAAUAAAAUUUAAUUUACCAGGAGGAACCAUUUGUAAAGCUGUUUGCAACUCAUGUCGGUCUCUGCCUGCACUGGAAUGCGAGGAGUAGAUCACUUUCAAAUAAGCCACCUCCAAGCAUUUGAAGGCCAAAGCAGCAGAAGCCAUGUCUUUGGAUUUUUCAUAUUCAUGAGCACAAAACCUAUAGAUAUUUUAAGUUAGAAAGGAAAAGCAGGGGGCUACAAAAAGUGACAAAAGCUCCCGAAUCAAAAUAGAAUUAAAAUCCACAAAAAAAAAAGAAGAAAAAAACAGUUAAAGAAACAAAUCUACUACGAGAAUCCCUGCAGAAAGGGAUGGCAGACAACAGAUAGAUUUGCAUAGUAUGGUAUAACACCAUAUACCUUGUGCAAAGAAAGAUGAGUCAGCUUCACCAAGCAUGAAGUCACAAAAAAGCUCCCAAUUUUAUAUAAUUUUUUUCUAGUGAAGUUACCUACUCCCCAAGGCAAAAGCACCAACCCCUUGGCCAGUACACUCUUUCAUCUACCUCCCAAACGAAAAGACCCUCACAAUCACACUAGAGAAACACAAAAUACAGGCUCCAAUUACUCCUAAAGAUUUCUGUUAAGUACCCUCCCAUAUUAAUUUGGGAUCCAACACCACACCAGCAUUCCAUGAGUGGUAGCAGUGUCUCACAUGCAAGGUUGGAGGGAUAUUAAUUUGAGGAUAUGAAGAAGUACAGCAUGACUCAAUUCAGGAAUGUUAAAAAAAAUGACUGAAAGGAUAUGAAAAAUGACAGUCACAUAGAUCGGUGCAUGUCUAGAAGGGUUAAUACAGCUCAAGUUUGACUUACUGGCAUAGUGCUGCAGUGCUUCUAUAAAUUUGCAUGGAUUCAUUAUGCUUGGCACUCUCAGUGUUGGCAGAUUCUAAGAGAGAUGCAGCGUGAAGAAAUUUCAGGACCGCCUGGAAGUAAAGCCCCGUACUAUCAUUUUCCUCAUUGUUCUGCAAAGAUCAACAUUAAAUACAAUUUGUACAGAAAGGAGCAGCAACAUCUAGUCAUGAAAAUAUAAUAGGGUAAGACCUUGUAACGAUCAGCAAGGUGUUUCAUAUCUUUAGCUUCUUUCAGAAUACACAUAUAGGCCGGGGUGGAAGAAUCCCUUCUAGCUGGACUAGGGGCAUCAAGAUCCCUAGGUCUAUGCCCAUUCUGUGCACGAUGUCUUGAACUAAUAUGCUGAGUUCCAUUCUGAGUAUCAGCUUUUCUGUUCCGCAUUUGCACCUUGACUGAAUCAUUACCUUCAGAGCCAUCUACUUGUAAUAUAUCUGCUCCAUUACCUUUGUGAGAACCAGAGACUGGUCGGGGACAACGAGUCAUUUCUGGUUGAGCUCCUCCAGAGGGUGGCAAGGGCAGUGACUUUCCCCUUGUCGAACCUGCAUCUACUCGGUCACUUCUUCCAGAAGGAAUUCUCUUUGAAGACCUUUCACUAUCAGAUUCUGGCUGCUUCUUCGGAGUCGAAAUCGCGUCUCUUGGGUAAAUAGCAUCUAGUCUAACAUCUGGGCCAUCAUGCCCCCCAAAAUUAGACUGGUUCUCCCUUUUGCUACUCUCAUUCAAGGACUUCCCCAGCAAAUCUUUUUUACUAACAUAUUUGUUCUCAGUUUCACCAUAUUUGUUCACCUUCUCCGGCAAUUUGUUUUUAACAUCUCUAGGUUUCAUUCCAAGUGAUGGUGAAUGGUCAUGCUGUUCAUUGACAACAUUAGAAUUCCUGGCCUUCCCCAUGUCCAAAUCAGAUUCGUAGCUCUGCUUGUCCUUUGACCGUGAAGAGUGGCUCUUUCCUGAAUUUCUUGGGCGAGACCCCAGAGCGUUAUAAUGGCUGCCAUUCCCUCUGUCUUCACCAGCAAAUUGACUUGGAACUAGUGGUUUAAUAGGAGAACGACUAUCUGGUCCUGAAUUAUCCAAAGCACCAUUCACAGGAAAAUUAUUCGUAAUAUCCGGAGAUGCUACAAUCUGUCCCCUAGCUUUACCACCAGAUAUGCGACUACGAUCUCUGUCCUGAACAUCAAGUACUGAAGGUUCAGACCUAUGAUAAGCCCCGGAGGGAACUUUAUCCUUUCUCGCUGUCCCAGAUCGAUCAAUCCUGCUGUCAUCUUCACCAUCUGAGCAUCGUUGUGGGCUACCUAACGACAAACGACCAGCAUCUUGUGACUCGUCCUUUGGCCUGAGGUCUCUAGGUACUAAUUCAUGCUUAUCAGGGUGUAAGAUUCUCAUAGGUGAUGAUGAAACCGAUUCUACAGGCGAACCUUUAAUUUCUUGAAAGCUGGAUUUGGUCUUUUGGGAGCCAGAAACUUUGGAAGAGCUUGAAGUGGCAGCCACAGAAACCUGAACAGAUCCCGAAUCCUUCUUCAAAGAAUCCAUACCAUUCUGACUCCGCUGAAUUCUAAUGCUUGUAUUCUUCGCAGAUUGUUGCUUCUUUAUAUGGCUACUCUUUUUGUCUGUUCUACCACUGCCUUUGCUUGCACUGGACUCUUUUGCCUCAGAUUUAGAUACUCUUGCCUUCUUUUCCUUCCUACAGUCAUUCUCACUAAACUCUUCCUUCACUGCAACGGAACGGUCUGGAAGGGAACCCUCAUGAAUUUCAGGAUAUUCCCUCAGUUUUCUCUUUUUCGGUCUAUCUCUGAUAACAUUACCCAUGCAAACUUCAUCUUUCACUUUGGUAAGAGUAGCAGCCCCUAGCCUGUCCUUAAGUCGAUCUUUUCCUGCUUCAGUAGUCAGAAAACCACUACUUGAGCUAGGACCAACCUCGCCAUCAGGUCCGUGGUGAUCUGAUGCCCAUUCUUCAUCAGUCAUACGCCUACCUUCGCUCUUGAUUUUCUUUGGAGCUCUAGAAGUAUCUGGAUCAAAGUCCCUUCUGUUCUUAAUCUUUAAAUUGUUGAUAUGACCUGUAAUGGAUGUUAUCAAAGAGUAUGUAAGAUUAAGCAUUAUCAGCAAAAUUUCAAAAGCACUAACAAAUUCAUGUAGUAAAUAAAUUACCUCCAUCAUAAGAGGAACCUAAAACUGUUUGCUUAUCUUUGUGCUUAUGCUUCCGUUUCUCCACUGCCAAGCCACUGGAAUUGCUUAACUGCUGAAAAUUGGGCUCGUUCAGAGGUGAAGAUUGGUUAACAUCAUUCAAGCUUUUACUCUUCAGUGAUGCCUGUAUGUUCUUCAUAGAGCCUGGCAGCAGGACAGAACCAUCUUUAUCACUUGCCUUUGACACUUCUUUCAAUCCAUUUUUUUUCAUCCCACCACCAGGGAUGGCAUGCACACCAAAAUUUUGGGGGUUUUGAUCAGGGUGCCGAAAAUUAGCCAGUGCCACACCUUCCAUAGAGCCACCAGGAUUAUUGAGAAGAUUAGUUUGACUCCCAGGUGCAGGAACAUGGUAUUGUGCAAUUAAGGCUUUUGUCUUCUCUGUUGUUUCCUCCUCCGUUACACUACACCGGUUCAUCCCAGGCCUGCAUUUGAAUCAAGAGAUCAGCUUCACAACGAGACAAAGAGAAAGAAAAACUGAAACUACUAGGCACUGAUAUGUAUAACUAACAUACAUCAAUGUACCCGUCUAGGGUAUGAUUGAUUACUGUGUAAUAGAAUGAAUGUAUGAUAAAUAGUGAAGGACUAGAAAGGAACUUACAGCCAAUUGAGCAUGCUACAUAGCCACUUCUCUGGUAGGUUGUCGGGAGUGGUACCAUGUGGAAGAAGCCGCCAUUUUAGACACUUGUCACACUGCACCCAAUAGUCUUCCAUUAAUGCAGGAGCCCCUGUUGCAGGAGCUGCAUCAGAAAUGGGUCCAUUUCCUGGGCGUUGAGCUAUAUUUGAAGCUGUAACAGGAUGUGAAUCAAUUGUCUUGCUAUUUGGUUUCUCUCUUGAUGAGACAUUAACUGCAUAUGCGCUUUUUGCAACAGCAUCAGACUCCUUAAGCUUAACUUCAGAAGGCAAUUGCAAUGAAUCAAUUAGGUUCUCUUCUUCUUCAUCCCCAAAGAAAUCUCUAUAGGUAUCCCUGCUUUUAUCAGGGCCCUUUCUCAAGCUUUCUGACUCACCAUUGGAUGUAAGCUUGUUUACAUGCGUACUCUUUCCUUUGGGCAUUGAAGAAGAACCGGCCCUGGAGCUUUCUUUUGGAAAGUCUGUAACUAGAGUCCUUGGAAUUUCUUUUGAUUUCCUUUUUUCGCCAGGUAAAAGCUGCUCCUUCCCAGAAAGAAAUCUCAUAUCAUCUACCUCAUGGGCUAAACCCUUCUGACUGCCCCUUUGCUUUGACUGGUCCAUCAUUUCAGUACUUAGAGAUUUCCUCCCUUUAGAAACAUUUGAGUCUGCUUUUGCUGAUUCAUUACUUUUCUCUUUGCGAUGGCCAUUUUUCUUUGGAGGUCUCGAAACAAUAUUGCUAGAACUUACUUUUCUAUCUUCAUGAACCUUUCCAUCCAAACUGGCUUUUCGCUUUUCAACCCAGUUUUGCUCUUGGUUGGAUGUUGGCUCCAUAGGCUCAUCUUCUGCUUGACAAGGGAAGCCUUUAUCCCUUACAACAUUCUUAUCUGCUUCUUUACUCUUUGUCACAUCAUUGACAGAAGAGUAUGAAUUGGAUAGAAGUGGGAGCUUCAACGUUUUAGAAACAAGCUCUUCGCAAGCAAAUGUAUCGAUAUCUUGAUCUUUUUUCGCCAGAAGCCGAAUUCCAUCCUUAUUGUUCCCACUCUUUGAUUCUGCAGAAAGAUCAUUUCUUUCAACUGAUUUUGUUUUCCUCGCCCCAGACACUUUUCCACUACCCUCCCUGGUAUUUGCUCCAUGUACUAGGAACCCAGAUCUUUCCGAGCCAUCCCUUGGAAGAGGAAGAGAUCUGACUUCUUUUGCAAUCAUUUCCUUUUCAGUUAAAUAAAUUAAAUCUUCAGGAAGAGGUGACAAAAGCAUACCCUCAUACACCGGACAGGAUGUCAUAAUCUGCUUCAGACCGUCAUCCAAAAGAAUAUUUCAGUCAAUGCACAUUAUGUUUGAAUAAGAUAACAACUAAAUAUUUCAGGGAGAUGAUCACCUGGAGAAUACUAGUGGGAGAUUCAAAUAGGGCAUCUUGAGGGUCAUGAGAUAUUCCUUCACUAUCUGAAGAAUCAUCAAGUGAGGAAGAUGGUGUACCGUCAAGGCCAAGCCCACUAUAGAUAUCAUUUUUUCGUGUCGACAAGUUAUCCGAACCCACUUUAAGUCGUACUUUGAGAGUUUUCUGGUCUGGUAUUUUAAUAGGUUUCUUCGUUGCAGAUUCCUGUUCAGGAGGAUACAAAUCAGCUCGAUUAGAUGAUACACUCACGUCUUGUUUGACUGGAAUGUUUGCUGAUGGUGCCUUAGGCGCAACAAGUGAAAUAGAACUGGUAGAAGCAGUUCCAAGUCCCACAGACUGAGAUACAGCAUAACAACUUGCAUUGUUACGAUGGCCACCCUGUGUGGUAAAGCAAACAAAUGCGCUCAAGAACAAUUAUUCUGAAAUAAAUAUGGAAUAUAUGUAACAAAUAGAAACUAAUAUCCUCAUUAAGUUGAUACCUCGAGUUUUAGACUGUUGGGAGAUUUGGGUAAGCCAUUAUUCUGAAUUUUUGCUGGAGUCCUCGGAUGAGACCAGACUGGAGACCGCUGAUAGCUAGGUAAAAAUGAGCCAUACCCACCGAACUUUGCCCCUGUUACAGUAAAAUUAUCAAAGUUCGUUAAUAACAGAGAAGAGACUACAAUUAAGGCAUACCUUAAAAAUGAAAGAAGUUACGGCUCCACUAUUUGACUUACCUAGAUUCUCAGCAGACACCCCACCUUCAAAAUCUUUCUGGAAGUGUCCCAAAACAUCCUGAAUUUUAUCAUCCUAAUGUCAAGCAGAGCAAACACAUAGUUAAGUACAAAGCUCAUUCAAAAGACAGUAAGUAAUAACAAGGGCUAGAACAAGAUGGCAAUACUUCCAUAACAGUUCGGGUGAUAUUUACGUAUCUUUUAAUAUUUGAGAUAAUACAUUGUUCAGCUAUCUACUAUUAAUCCCUACAUCAGGAACCAGCAGUUACUCUCAAUUACAGAUACAGAAAGUAUGAUCGGACACUUUCAGUCAUAUCAUAGGUAAGUCCCAGAAACCUUGAUUUAUAACAUUCGAAUAGUGCAAUCCCACAAAAUUUGUAACUGGAUAAGAGGCACAGCACAGUCAACAGUACUCGAGUAACAUUAUUAUGCAGCAACUAAGUUUUACCAUAACCAGUCACCAGUGCAUAAAACAUUUCCAUAAACCACCUGAAACAACCAUUUCAAUACCUCCCAAUAACAAGUCAAUGAAGAAUACUUUAGCUCAUUGCAAAAUGGAUGAAUCUCAAGCUAAACACCACAAUUACCUUACAUUAACCAAUCCCCAAGUAACAAAACUCCUAAACUACAUCGUCUAUUCUCGAAUCAUAAAUCCAAUCACACGCUCCACUGCCCUCUACAGUUUUCAGAUUAACAAAAUUCAUAACCCAGAUUUCAAUCAAACACCGCAGCUGGGAUCUAACACCAGCAAUUUACAAGUCAACCCCCAUGAAUUCAUUACCAAAAUGAUUAAAUACACAUAUACAGGUCUUACGAUGUAAGCAAGAUGAACAUCAGGGUCGAUAUUCGGAUCGUAUUCAUUGAUUUGAGAAGAACAAGCCUCGCCUUCUUCAAGCUCGGAAUCGUCCAUCUCUCUCGCACCUCCUCCGAAUCCUAACCCUAGCCCCUUCCUCCCAUCCCUACCCCCCACAGAAAUCAUCCACACCCCAAAACCUACCUACCUUCUCUCAAAUCCUCCCUCAAUUGAAAACCCAAAGCUCCCUCCGAUCCAUUCGACCGGAAACUCCCACCGAUCAGUCAAAUUCAGAAAAAAAUAAAAAUAAAGACAGAAAUCGGAAGCAGAAAUAGUUUCUAAAAACCGCGAAGAAUUACGCAGGUGUUUUUAUUUUUGGACAAAAGGAAAAAAGUUGGGAGAGGAAUUUGAUGUGUUGUGUGCGCUUGAAAUUGAUUGAGCAGGAGUCCCUCCUUUUCUUUCUCUCUCUUUCUUUCUUCUUUCUCUCUGGUUUUUGGUGUUUACAGCAGGAGGCUGCUUUGGUUUUUUUUUUUUCCUUUCUGUUCAAGCAAAAUAUUAUAAUAAUUGAUUUCUGAUUGUUUAGGUGUCCAAAUAAGAUUAGGAGGAAGGAGCCGGGAUCUGACCGAGACACCGCCGUUUUGUUUCCCGUUACGGUCACGUAUUUAACUCUAUUUCUAUUUUGCCCUUUUUUUCCUUUUUUUUGUUGGAAUGGCUUUGUCCGGAAGAAUUGGAUGUAUUUAGAUGCUGCAUGGUGGGUGUUGCCACGCGCCUAGGUAAGUUUUAAAACAGUAGACCUUGUUUUAAAUGUCUAUUUAAAUUCAAAAGAAAAUAUUCAAAGAUUGUCUAUUGCAUGCGUGAUUAGUGUGUCUGCAAGAAGGUUGUUUUAUAACGGUUACGAUAUUAUGUUAUACUUUUUUUUUUUGAAAGGUGAUUUGACAUUCAAAUCAUAUCUACAUCUAACUAUCUAACGUUGAAUAUAAUAAAUAUUGUUUGACGUGAUUAACUUUAGACUUUUUUUUUAAUAUUGAAUAUGAUGGAUGAUGAUUCAAUUCAUAGUGUACAUUAAUAUUCGUCAAAUGCUCUAACUGUGCAUUUCAGUAUAGUGUGUCUAACCAUUCUUAACAUCUUCGUGAUUUAGACUCAAGUUAAAAGUUCUUCACUCGACACAAUGUAUCUUUGUUUUCAAUGAGUGUAUUUUAAUUUGCAUGUUAAAGUGUUGGCAAUUUUCUGUUACUUAUGUACAACGUAAAUGAAGUUGUUAAUAAAUUCUUAAAAACAAACACCGAACAAAGAAAAGAGUUAAGUCGUAAAUAAAGAACUAAGUUCAUGUAUAUUACCUUGUGUGAGAGCACCGGCGGAGCCAUAAAAUACACAAGGAGGGGGGGGGGGGGGGGGGGGGGUCAAUAUAGGAGAAUGUUAUAUUAAAUCUUCUAAGUUAGCUAGAUGUCAAACACAAGAUACAUAUAAAGCCAAGGUUUUAAAGGUUUUGAGAGGUGCCAUGACACCUCUUGGUCUAUGUUUAGCUCUGUUAGUGUGUGAGAAAGUUAGUAUCGUUGUUGGUAAAAAAACCCCCGCAUAAUAGGAUUUAGUAUGGAUGCACAUAUUAUUAUUAUAGUGUCAUUUAUAAUAAAUGUUAAACUCUAUAGAUGUGGUAAGACCGUACUUUAUCUAAGGUAGUUAAACUGAAUCAUAAAAUAAGAAUAAGAUAUAUAAAAGAAUAAAAUGAAUAUUAUUAUCAUGUACUAUGACCAUUUGAUCCCAAUCAUAAAAUGAAGUAUAAUUAUUUUAUAAAUAUCAUGUGUAAGCUUAUUACAAGCAGAAUAUUACAAACAGUCAAACAGAUGAAUGCAUCAUCAGUUCAAUACCAUUGGUUUGAUUCAAUUGUUUGGGAUAAUGGUAACUACUAAUAACCUCUCGGAAUAAGUAAAUUUUUUGGAGAGAUAAUUGGGUUAAUAUUUCCCGUCCUGGUAUAUCCGCGGCAGUGUGGUUCAGGACUCCUGGAAAGCGAGUGGGGGCAUACAGUCUUUGUGAAGCCACUUGUCAGUUGGCCAAUCCGACAUGUUCUUUAGUUAUACCUGGUCCACCUGGAUACAUGUGUUUCAUUUUCUCCACGAUAUAUUUACUUAUGAGAAAUUUUAAAUACACACAUUUAAUCUCUUAAUAUACAUUUUUAUUAUUUUAUAUUUUUAUUGAGAUUUUAUAAGUAAAUUAAAUGACCAAAACAGACAUCUAUUAUUUUUUUUUAUAAAAACUCUAUAAAUAUUCUUUUAAACGUUUUCUACCCUAAAAUCGUCGAAAGCAUGUCUUCUCUCCUAACCUCAACUCUUCUCCACAAUUCAUUUGGGUUGUCUUUUGUUUUUUUGUUUUUGUAUAUGUAUAAGCUUUAGUUUGAUCUUGCAUAUCAUAUUGUCGAGUACUGCAUCUUUAUCAUGACAUGUUUUAUCGAAUAACUAGUUAUCUAUGUUUAAUAGCGAUUGUACUUCUACAGCUCUACUAGCUUGUGAAUUUUGAAAACUUGUAUUGGUGAUUUGGAGUUGGGAUAUAACAAUAAUCAUUUGAUUAUAAAUUAAACGAUGAUAACCAAAAAUUUCUAACAAAAUUAGAUGAAAUAAUAUGUCAAAAGAGGUACCAAAUAAUAAAUAUACAUUAAUUAUAUUAAAUAAUGAAAUAUUUCAUAAUUAAGGGCAUUUUAGACAGUUUGAGAUGUGUAUUAAGUAUAAUAUUAAAAUGAAAAACUUGAUAGGUGGUGUAUUAAAUAAAUGGUGUGUAUUAAGAUAUUAGGGGUGUGUACUUAUUUAGAAGGCAACAAAAAAGAAGAAAAAAUUAUGGGGAAAGAAAAGGUGAAAUUAAUUGGUUAGGAUCAUCUGAUUAUCUAAUAAUAGUAAAGAUUAUGAGAGAUUUGUUCCCAAAAUCGUGAUUUGCUUAUGUUUAACUAUUUGACGAAUCAAGAACCGUAUUUAAUUGUAUUUAUAUAUGUACUUUGAGCUGUUAGUUUUUUUGAAAAUUCGAUUUUUUUAUUAUUAUUUUUUAUAUAUUAAUCGUACUGUAUGAGAGACCUUUAGAAAUAAUAAAAUACGAAUGACUCUAGCAAUAUAUAUCUCAUAUAACUUAUAAGCUUAGUUAUAAAAGCUUUAUUCAUUUUAUUCGGAAUAGAGAUUUGAGAAUGAGACAUGUGACUUUUCUAAUUUUAGUAAUGGGUCCAAUUCACGUAAUCAACCAUCUCAAGCUUGGUUACGCUCAACUAUCCUUGAAUUUAGAUUCACCGGUAAACCAAUUAAGAAAAUAUGUAAAUUUUAACUACUUUAUCUGUGAAAAUGACUUUCUAAUGCAAUAUAAUAUAAAUAUAAAUAAUAGAGGUAAAGUAUUUACUACUGAAAACAUUUACCGACUGUAAAUAUUAUGAGGGUAAAUCGCCCACCGUUUGGGCACAAACAAAGACAAAAGAGGGACUCGUGUUUGUUGUAGGGAACAAAAGUCAGAGGUUGACCCACGUGCGUAAUUAAUAUUAUGACGUGUCUGAAACCUUCUGUACUGUUUUUUUAUUUUACCCAAACAAGUCUUAACGAUAUUAGUGUGCAGUCAGUAUCUUUGUUAAUUUCUUCCCUUUUUUACUGGGCAAAGAAGAGGGCCUGAAUCUGAAUCAUUUAUCUUUACUACCCAAGAUGGAUAAAAGUAGUAAAUGAGAUUCAUGGUACAAUGCCAUGAAGGUGGAGCUAGAGCAGGUGUUUAAUUAAUGUAAAAUGAAUACAUGCAUGCAUUUGGUUUUGUUGUGAUGGUUUACAAGAUAUGAAGAUAUAAUUUCAUAAACAGAAAAACACUCAUGAAUCAUAAAGGUAAGUAAUAUUGUGAUCAACAUGAUAAAAAGUUUCAAUAAACUCCGUCAACUAUAAUAAUCCUCUGAGUAGGUGGAACAUACAUUAAUAUUAUUUAGAUCGAAUAUCUCACCCACAUUACAGGGUUGUAUAAACAAAAAAUGUUGUGUUUAACUUACUAAUAUAUGAAUAAACUAAAUUUCUAAAAGAGUAAUGAAAAAAUAAGGACCACUCAAUUGUAAAAGAGUGAGAAAAAGAAAGACAUUGCAUAUGACUUGAUUCUUCCUCCAUAUCUUAAGGAUUAGAUUUACAAAAAUUUAAUUGAUCCUUCAAAAAACCUAAUCUUUUUUCAAGAUUAUGUAAAUAUUGAAAAGUAAAGUCAAGUUUGGUAUUGAGUUUUGGGACAUAAAAUCAUUUAUAAUCACAAUUUUGAAUAUAUUUCACAUUUUGUAAAAUUUUAUGAGGUGCUUAUUUAAAUUUUUUUAGGCUAAAUAACCAUGAUUUUAAAAAGCAUGUUAGAGGUUGUUUUUUUUAAAUUAAGUUUGUUUUUAUUUAAAUUUUUUUUUAAAUUGAGUCUUCACAACAAUAUCAAACUAAGAGUAAGUAACAUAAAAUCUCUUGAUAUAGCUGUGAGCCUUCAAGACACUCCGUUAAAUACUUCAAUUCUUAUUUAAUAUAUAUAUAUAUAUAUACACGUUGUUAGUUUUUCAUAUAGUCUUAACCAGACAUGCAAAGAUUUUAUAGACCCAGAAUCUAGUUCCUUGACGCAUGUAAAAUGCACCAAUUAUGCAGUGCAACACAAUGUCUGGCCGCUUUUCUAACUUCGGGAAUCGAGCUUAAGUUGAGAGCACACUCAACUAGACAAAAAUCAUUAGACCACUUGCGGUGGUUAUACCGUAUAUAUUUGUCAGCUAAGCCUGGGUAGCUAAUUAAAAAAAUAUGGCUAAUUAAUGGUCCUUUUUUGAAAUCAAAACGGAGACCAUCAAUUAUUUACUUAACAAUCUAACAACAUAGUAAAAUAGUAUGACAUUAACGAUCGAUUAAAUUAACACGCAUGUACUAGUUCCGCUCCGUCAAGUAAUUGAAGGAAACUAAACCUGUACACUGAAUAACAUCAUGUGUGUUAAAUGAACGAAAUUAUUGCUACUACACUUUGAACUCAAACUCACACACAUAACACUCACAAAAAGAUUCACUCCCAAAACAGAAAAAAGCAGCGAGAAGAAGAAUGUGAAUCAUGAGAAACACGAGGUACGUCAAGUAGCCAUCAUCACGAGCAGCGUCUGGCGCCGUCUGCUCAUUCCGUACUAGAGAAUUCAAGGCAUCCAAUAUGUGUGGACUUGUUUCAUCCAUCCAAACAAUAUUAACCCCAAAAAAGCUCCAAGAGAUUAAGGACAUCCAGGUUCAUUGUGAGCACCCAGGUCACCAAUUAUUAUUCUAAUUCCUGUUUUUAUUCAUGGGUUUAAUAGUUGGAAUUAGAUAUUUGUAUUAUUAAGUGCCGUCAUGCAUUGUUUCUGGUAAUUAAUCAAUAAUAUUGGGGACCUACUAGCUUUGUCCCUCCAAGUUAUGACCAGAAUAUGCUCAGGUUUGUGCUGUAUUAUCUUGGCAUAUCUGUUCAUACUUUUACGGUUUACAAUACAGAUCAGCGAAAUGUAAAACCUAGGUACCCUUUUACUAAAUCCGAUCCAUGGUGAAAAAUGACAUCUUCUUAAAUAGUUUCGUUUUAACAAUGUUCUUUUUUUUUAUUAACGUAAAAGGCUUUUUAGACCCAAUGUCAAGAUUCAAGCCUAGAUUGAGAGUUACACCCAACUAAACGAGUACCACUAUACCACUCACAAUGGUUUCUUGUUAAAUAGUUAUUAUCACAGUUACACACCCAACAUUUGAUCCAGUUACUAGGGUAAGUAAAAAAGUGAAACGAAACAGUCAGCCAGAUGAUAUGAAUUGAAUUGUAACGAAAAUGUUAAAAGCCAUUACGAUAGUGAACGUGUUGUAUGUACGGAAGUCAUAUGAGAAUACGGUUAGGAUUCAACGAGAUUAGGAUUCCUAGUCCAAUCGAAUAAAAAAUGAGGAAUUUGAUUCUAAGAAUGACUCCUGCUGCAUCUUUGGACGAAUAAUGGUACAAGUGAAUGGGAUCGGAAGGACAAGUCUUUCUAUCUAUUUGUUCUAUUAAUUCUCAAAUUAUUAUGAUUAUUACUAUCUAUUUUUCUCUUAGUGGUACAUCCUACUAUGAAAAAGCUUCAUCAACAGACAACAGUUAAGCGAGUAUAAGAAGUGAUCUGUAAUUUGACCUCCUUAAUUGAGGAGAAAUCAUUUGGAAGAACCUUCAAACUGAUCUCGCAGCAGCUCAUACUUCCUAAGCUCGGCUGUGGAGAGUGAGGGCGAUAGCUCCUUUAAGACCUAAGAUUAUCGGGGACAAAGGCAGUCAGUAGAUGCACCAGAAACUGGAUUUAGAACAAUUCUUAUUUGUCUUGUAAAAGCACAACAGUACUUGUGAUUAACUCAGACACUUAAACACAGUUCAGAAAAAGACCGUCGUACCUUGACAAAAUCAUCAUAUUCAACAAUAACAGAGUCAGGUUGGUCAUCUAUGGAAGAGGAAUCUGAAUCUGAACUCAAAACCUGCAUGAAUGGCAAGAAGCACGUCAGAACAUCCCUUUAUCUAGUGAGUAUUAUAUGAUAAAAGCGUAAAGCUUAUGAACAUUGUAUCUUUAUAUAAUCCAGAAUAUUGUUGAGAAUGCAGGAGCAUCUAGUAUUCUGACUUUCUGAGUGUUGCAUCUUGAUUUGUACAAUCAUGGGUCUCUCCAGUACUGUAUAAUUGAUUGUCUACGACUCCAAUAUUAACAGAACUGUAUCAGUCUCUUUGCUUUACUAACCAGUUAAGCUCCACUCACCAAUGCAUUUCCUAUUUCAUAACUAUAAUUGAACACACCUCAAAAUCAAUCCACGUCCUUUAUCAAAUAUGAACUACCCCUCUACACCCUGAAUAUAUUGGACAGCUUACACCAAUACUUUUGGUUCAAUCAAAACCAACCAUAAGCUCUGGUGUUGACUAGACUCACCUUACGCUUAGCUGCACUAAACCAAGCAUCCGCACACAAGGCAUACAUGUCUGCACCAGUGAAGGUUGGUGGACAUUUCUUCGCUAUUGAAUAAAGUGAAACAUCUUCAUGUAACUUAAACUUUCGGGUAAGAGCUUUGAGAACCCUAUAUAAAAAAGGAAAGAAAAAGAAUCAUCAUACUGACAACAAAAUUAUUCAAUGAUGAACUUACGUAAAAACCAACCGUUCUCUGUAAGAUGGAUCAGACACAACUCCAACAUAAAGCAACUUAUCAAACCGGCCAGGCCGUAGAAGUGCUGGGUCAAUUAGAUCUGGUCUGUUACUUGCUCCAAUUAUAAACAAGUCCUACAUUAAACCAAACAAGGCUUUUCUGUCUUAGUUGAGGAUAGCAAAAUACCCUGUGAGAUAUUGGAAAAAAGAAAAAGAAAAAUAACAAGCAAGAGACAGAGCAAACACCUGAGUUGAAUCAUUUAGGCCAUCAAUCUCUGCAAGCAUCUAGUGGAACAGAAAGUCACAGUCAGUAUCAAGGAAUAAAUGCAAAUUUUCCCAGUCAUAAAGAAGGAUGCUUCACCUGAGAAACCACUCUGUCCAUGACACCCCCAGAAUCCCCAGAUGCACCUCGGGCUGGAGCAAGGGAAUCAAGUUCAUCAAAAAAUAUAACACAUGGGCGUGCUGAUCUAGCCUGCAAAGCAUGUGCAAUACUGCUCUAGUGUGAGCCAAAAUAGAUGUUCUGAAAUUCAAGUAGAUAAACAACAAUAAACUUCUUCCAAAAGGCUAAUGAUCAAGCUGGAAUGUUUUACCUUCUGGAAAAUGUCUCUGAUAUUCUUUUCUGACUCUCCUAUGUACAUAUUAAUGAGUUCAGGUCCUUUUACACUGAGAAAAUUUAGGGAGCACUCAGUUGCAACAGCUUUUGCCAGCAGAGUCUGAGGGUUGAAGUCAGAAAAACAAAUGAGUUUAACAAAUCUCUUGGGGUAAAUGAGAGGGAAAAUAGAGAAAACCUUAGAGGAGUAACUGUAACUUACUUUCCCUGUUCCCGGUGGACCAUACAGUAGAACACCAGAACGCUUUCGUAAGCCAGAUGAAAACAAGUCCUUGUGCAGAAGAGGUAACUAGAACAAACAACAAAGAAGAAUUGAGUUGAUAAAGCGUUCCAAAUUCCAAAUUGCUGGAAUCUUCCUGGUGGACAACAGGUAAAAAGUGUAGAUACAACAGACCUACCUGUACAGUAUCCAGGAUUGAUUUCUUCACAUCCUCAAGACCACCAACAUCUUCCCAUUUGACGUUAGGAACCUAUAGAGAAUAUGAUUUAAAUUGCAUUAGAUGUCCUAUAAGUAUACUACUUCCACGUUUGUUGCAAUAUAAAACUCAUUUUUUAGCCCCACAGAAGAGGACACACUUAGACAUCACCCAAUACAGAGAGCUUGAUAGGAAAGGACAAUAUAUCAUUCCUCGAAAUUAGUCUUGUCUCUCAAUUACCUUUGGAGUACCAAGGGCUGAUGCAUUCCUUUUCUUUGAUCUGUCCAAUGCUUUUGUCAAGCUUUCUUUUCCCAGAAUCGGAGAUGUGACUUCACAGGACUUACUGUCUGAUUCGACAUAAUCUUUGAGAGAAGCAUCUGAUUCUUCAGACUUCACUGUGUCAAUCUGAGCAUUGCCUUUUGGAAUCAAGUUUGCACCAGCAUCAGCAACCAAUGCACAGAUAUCUCUGGGCAUGAAACCAGAUGUCUGUGCAACUAUAUCCUUUAUAAGAUCCUCCGAAUCAGUCUGCAAAAAAACAAUUCUGAUCCUUUUAAGUCACGAGAUGAUCAAAAGAAACUACAAUUAAUACCAUGUAGAAUACAAAGGCGUACAGAACUUGUUUAUGGACUUCAAGAUUCACAUUCAGUUAAAAUCUGAAAAGUGACAGAUGGAGAGUUUACCAUUUGACAACACUGCAUUAGGCAUUACAUAUAAUUAUAUAAAAAAUUGCUACCCGAAGACAUAUUUAAGCGAUGUCAAUACUUGGUGCGACCAUGAUAAUUUUUUAACCACACCAUAGGAAUGCGGCAAACCAUCAAAUUGGGGGGGGGGGGGGGGAACGGUGGUGGAUAUAACACUUGUUUUGGUCAUACCCAACCAUCGAAAGCCAGAGGAAAAAAAGUAUUUAAGCAUCAGAAUCACGGUAUCAUCAAGGGAGAUCUUGACUGAAAAUUAUUAUACCCAAUCAAUAUAGAUGCUGAGCCCCAGUGCUUGACAGGAGCUCAGAUGAGAACAGGUGUCAGAUAAAAAACAAUUCUUGGCCCACCAGGUAGCAGCUUAGGCUUUUGAAAUCAAUAGCAAACCAACAAAACGUAUGCAUCAUAAUCAUAUUUAUAAUAGACUGCACACAUAAAAGGUUAGGAUUUUCCAACAAAACUUAUGCAUGAUAUACUUCUAAUAGAAAACACAUAUAAAAGGUAAAGAGAAACCAAACAUAUUUUUUACAUACAUUAGAAAGGAAUUCGGAAGCCUUCUGCAAAGACUCUGAGACCAUUUUAACCCUUUGUUCUUCAGUCAAUGGACCCAUACUUAUUUCAUGGCUAAAGCAACGUCUAAUAGUUGGCGGUAGACCUUCUGAACUGUCAGCAGCUGCAAUUAACAGCACUUGAUGCCUACCUACUUUCCCAGAAUCCUGCAUGCAGUGUAGUAUUAUUAGGUUGGUCAGAUUAGAAAACAAAAAACAACAUAGCAAUCAACAAAAGAGGAGAAGUCACACAUGAAAAAUGAGUGAGGACUAGAAUUUACAUCAACUAAUGAUCAUUUCUCAGAACCGAAAUUAAUUAAUCAUACAUAAGAAUAACCCAAGACACAAAAUAUGGCACUAAAGCCAUGUACUUACAGUAUGACCAUUUUGUUUUUGUUCCAUAUCUCCAGAAUCAAAAAUUGGCUCAGUGAAUUCCCUUAUAAGUGAUGCAACUUCAGAAGUGAUGCCAACUUGAUCAUUUGGUGAACCUUCUUGCAAAUUCCGGAAAACAUCAAAAUGGCGGAGAAGAAGUAUAGUUGGCGAGUAUCUGAAAGAACAUUGCAUAAGAACGAACUGGAACAACCAUUGAAAGUAGGAAACUUAGGUGCAACAAAAUUGAAGGAUAUGGCAGAGAAAGUUCUCCCAUCAAAUGAUAUAAUGGAGAAGGAUAAAAUAAGGAUAGAGUAGUAUGACUGUUUUCUCAUAUAUCAUCGAAGAAAAGUUGUAUAGCUAAUUAGUGAAACAAUAGGUAACAAUAACUGCUGCUGUCAAGCAUAUAUCAUAAAAAUGCAGUAGUAACAGAGGAAAUUUGGGACCUCUAGCAUGUAUCAUACUCAAAAAAUGCAUUGCUUUACCUUUGAGCAGCAUUCAAGGUUUGGGCUAGUGCAACAGAAAUCUUUUUUUCAGAUGACGUCGUCAGAUUAUGACAGCUAUAUUCAACUACAUGCAGGCCCAAUCGACGAGCAACAUAUCUAAUAACCGUUCUCUUCCCACAUCCUGCACCAAGCAUCAAAUAACUACUCAAUGACACUAAACUCAUGUGCGCAUGAAACAUACAACUUAGGCAACUCAUCCAGGGUAAUCAUUCUUUUCCAUAAGUGGUAAUAGGUUAAAGAACUAUAUUACAUAUUGAAUGCUUAAUCCCAAGGGAUCUUGUUAGAGAGUAGAGACCUUGCGAAAUUAAAUAUAAAUGCAACCAUCAAGUGUUCAUGACAAAAAGGAAAGCUUCAAUAUACCUGCCAAUCCAUACAAUAGGACAGAAACUCUGAAUUUUGAGGAUAGUGCUGAGGGGCACAGAAGCGGAGUAAGUAUGGAGGCCAACAUUUUCACUGUGUCCCCUUGCAAAGGUACAAAACCUUUUUGUCCAGCAAUCAAUAAAUCAGGGGGCACAGCAGAAGAGACGCUUCCUCCAAGCACAAGGGCAGUUUGAGAACGGUUAACUCGGAGAAUUGGUUUGUCCAAAGGUUCCAUAGCCACAACCUAAGACAACAAAUGACACGGUGAUUGUCAUUAUCACAUUUGUUGACUAGAAAUUGCAACUGAUGAAAAGCACUGAGAAUUCACCUUGAAAUAGAUAGUGUUAUCAACCCCAUUUUCCAAACUUUGGUCGCAAGGAACGCAAACCAUUGACUUGCAAUUCCACUUUAUACAAACACUGAAAACAUCACCUCUUGCUAGAUACCUAUCAACCUCAAAGUAGCUAUGCAGUGCCGAAUCUAUCAUUUCUUGACGAUCUUCAUGUUCAACAGCCGAAUUCCCUCUAAGAGAGUCAAGACUACCACAUUCCGGUACCUUCACAAACGAAGCCCUCAAGUGCGAAGCAUAUCUCGGCAACUCCAAAUGCGGCUGUAUCCCAAUCACAGAACCCCCAAUCCCUUUCCCACUCGCCUCAUCAUCCACCCCAUCCCCAAAAUAAGACGCCAACGCCGCUUCCCCUCUGUGAACAAGCGAUUUCAAGCACAAUGUAUGCAAGUCAAUGUUAAACGCCAACAUAGGCGACAUAUACGCAACUUCCUGAUCUAACAACAUGUGGCCAUUUCCAGGCAAAGUGCAACAAGGCAGAACAAGCAUUGCGUGGGAAGACUGGCCAGCAGAUAGUUCAGUGUUCUCGGAGCGGUCCGGUGGAUCCACAACAAUGACCUGAGCAAUUCUUUGUAUGUUUGUCUCCAUAUUCUUCACAAGCACCUUGUUUAUACAAAUCAAAAUCAAAGGAAAAAAAAAAACACUAAAGCAUCAAUUACUUGCUGUGCAGAAUUUUCCACAUGAAAUUAACGCUAAAAUUGAAGUAAUUAAAGAAAUUACAGCUCCUCCUACAAUUGAAAUCCGAAGAAUUAAAGAGUAAAUUUAGCAGAGAGAAAAGAGUAGAUGGAUUUGGAUACCAGGGAGCCGGAGGUGAUGUAGAGGCGUUUGAGGAGAGAAGUGGAGAGGCCGACGAGAGCAGAGUCGUCGAGAGAAGCCGAUUUGGGGCUCCGGUCGACGUAGAAUCGGAGAAUUCCCGGCGGAAGCAGCUGGAAGCUGGUGGUGACGUCAUCGGAGGCGGAGAGUGGGUGAUCGUCGCCGGAGGUGAGGCCUCCCGGCGGGGAAGAGAGUAGGGAUUUGAUGAGAGUUUUAGUGGAAGUGAGUACUAGUGGCUUCCUCCUCCCCACCAUUGGAAACUAGUGAGCUCUCUCUCUCUCUCUCUCUCUUUGGGGAACAAGUUCAAAUUUAGUUGCAUAGUAGUAUUUAUAUGAAGGUAGAGAGAGAGAGGUGGGUUGGAUUAGAGUGAGGAGCGCAUUUCGAUAGAAAGUAAAAAGGGACAAAAAAGUUAAAAAUGGAGAUGCGGGGUAUCGAUCCCCGUACCUCUCGCAUGCUAAGCGAGCGCUCUACCAUCUGAGCUACAUCCCCAACUUGACAGCUCCGGGAUUAUGCGGAUUAUUAACCUUCAUAAAGAAAAGAAAUGUGAAUUAUGAGUGAUAAAAUAUUGUGUGGCAAAAGUUUUAGUGUUUCAAAGUAAUGAAAUUCUAGAGUCCAAUAAAGAAUGUUGUUUUACGAUUGUAAGAAUUCAGUUGUACCAACUUUUCUUUCAUAUAGAAAGAGGUAGCGGAAGCUUUGUGAUUACAAAACAACUCUUAACAUGGUAUAAGGAAAGGUUGUUGUGUUGGAAGACGGACAACCUUAGCUUCUAUGCGUGCCUGAUUUGGAGGAAAGAAUCUUGCAAGAUAUGGAUAUAGACUUGUGCAAUCUCUAUGAAUGUAGACCCAUCAAUAAACCAGGUAGCACAAACAGCUCUUCAACUAAGCUCAAGUCCUCAUCUCCAUAGCUACCUACUCAUCCAUACAAGGCAGCUUGUGCAAUCAAGUCCAAUGACCUUUUUCAAUGACUAUACAAAACUGUUUGCCUGUCUCUCUCUCUCUCCCUAAUAUGUCUUCAAUCUGAUAGAAACAACCAGCUGGGAGAAACAAAAUGAACAAAGUUUCAAUUCCACAUAGAAGAUUGAUCAAUGAUGGAGCUUUUCACAAUAUAUUUAUUGACAGAUCCACAAAACCAACAGUGUUGAACUGUUGAUUAAGUUGCACAACUGCAGAUUUAUGCAUCAGAGCCUUAAAUAGUUAAAGCAUGUGAUCGGGUGCAUGUAGGUGCCCUUAUAAUUACUUCUGCAAUUUUCAAGCCGGCCUGUUGGCUUAACAGGCCUAUCAAAGCAGCAAGGAAAGUGUGCAUAUGAUGUGCGCUCUGAUCCUCCAGUUCUCUCCGAAGCAGGCUGCUGCUGCAUGUUUAGUUUGCUCUUCAACCAACCUCAACCCAGUAGCCAGCAAUAUAGAGUUGCUACUGCAUUAAAUCUACUAAUGACUGUUUCUAAUGAAACUAGAGAAGAAACAUGUAAAUAUCUCUUACAUUAAUGUUAUCUACUAGGUUCAGUAUCAGCUAAGCUAAUUUUUCAUUCCUCCAAUGCAAACUGAUUUCGUUUACCUUCAUCUUCUUCGACCAUUAUAGAGUAACCCUAAAGCUCUGGAAUCAAGAUCAAAGGAUGAUCCAUAGCACCACACCAGGGUUGUUGGUUCUUAAACCAGUUUAAGUAGAUAACUGGAUAGAGACGAACCGAGUCUCUAAUGAAACCAAUAAGAGAAUGAUAACUGCAGCAACUAUAGUUUAGCUUUUCACAUUUUUGACAAACCAUAAAACCAGUAAGAGCCACAACAGAGCACAUUCCAUUGCUGCCGAUCAAAUACCUAAUUGUUAAUGCCAAUUUGAUGUAACAGGACAUGAUAAAUAAGACAGUGAUUCCCUUAAAGGAACAGCUAUUUUGUAGACACUAGUUGACAAACCUCUUUCAAAUCACCACUAGGCUUCUUCACAAACUUUCUUGCAGCACCUCCAGAUUCAAAGCUACCCCCCCAGAAAUGUUGCAGCGUCACCAAGAUCAUACAUCCUGCACAUAUACUUUGCCUUGGUAUACAUCCAACAAUUGAGGUACUUGGUCGAGAUAUCUGGUGACAAACCUACUAAAGAAGCACUCCUCUGAAGGCACAAACACAUAAGACAAACUCAACUUCUUCUCUUCUAUCAGUCCUUUCAACAACAAAACUCUAACAACCGAACACCGAGGGAUGAUUCUCUUCUCCAAGCUGUACACAAAAACAUACGGAACCUCCGCAAUUUUUCCUGAUUCCCAUCCCAUCUUGUUCACUAAGAAAUCCAUUGUCACCAUUAUUUUCUUCUCAGACACCAUCAUACACAGUGGAUGCCUCUUGAAGGCAGAAAGAAUAUCAUUAUCCGACCAACCCCACCUCCUAUAAGCCUCUUCCUUAUGUCUCCAUGUUGUUUUCUUCCAGGAUAAUACGACCAUGGCUUGCACAAAGUUCACAUUUCCCGGGUCAAAUCCCAUUUCUGCGACUUGGCGGACUAAUUGACUGAAGAAUUCAGGCUUUCUCGUCACAGUCUUACUAAAACAUGCUACCAACCGCGCAAGAGCCGAGUGGGGCAUGCCCAACUCUGUAACAAGUCUAAUAUUGGGUUUAACAUUCUUGGAUAGAUUUUCCAAGAAAAUGGAUGAGUUCUGUUUUAGAGUACGAACGACCUUGACAUCAGAGAUCACCACGCUUUUGAGGAAGUUAUAACAGGGUAUAAGACUGUUUUCCAAGCUUCGCGUCAAUAGAUUUGGGUUGUAAGUCAUUAUUUUUGCAAGGUCGAGCCUUGACAUCCCUAUGGAGCAGAAAAACUCAAGCUUUGGCAAAAGGGUCUUCUUCGCAUUGGCUAAGAUAAGUUGCGGGCGUCUCCGCACAAGAGUUGAGAUCUGGGUAUCUGAGAAUUCAUACUCUCUCAAAAGGGCUAGAACGGAGUUUGGUUGCUCUAAAGAUCGAAGCUGUACCUUGUGGGCUGCUAGAGUAGCGGCUUUUGGGGACAACCCACAUGAGCGAAUGAGGUAAGAGAGUGUAGGAUUGUCUUGGGCUGCUGGGAUUAUCGAGCUGCUGAUGAACCUUCGACCAAAAUGAGAAGCAGCUACUGCAAAUGCUUGAUUUCUGUACAGAAGACUUGAAAACAUUGGGUGUGCGGAUCCGAGGCUCUUGCCGAAAAUGUAGAAGAGUGCCAUGCUCCACUCAUUACUUCAUUAGAGAGAAUUGGAGUAUUGGAGAUGGCCAAUUUUGGGUUCCCAAUUCAAAACGCACUAGGGUUUUGGUUCUCCCAAAUGAACCUCAUCUACUGUCGUCUUUUGCUUUUCCCACUUACUCUUGAAAUGUUGAGAGAGUGAAUAUAAUCUAUAAAUAUAUAGAGGGACUAAUUUAGCCCUCAAAGUUUUACAGAUGUAAAUAACGAGGUGGCAUACUUUCAGUCGAGAUCACAAAUUUAUAUAAUGCCGUUUUGAUUUUUUCAAAACAUAAGACACCUAAAUUACGAGUAGGUCAUUUAUCGUGUACAAUUGUUAAAAAAUUUCCGCACAAAUAAUGUAUUGUUGAUCUCAGCUGCGACAUCAAGUGAGGGGUGAGAUGAAGCUACUCUGCUCACUUUUGACAUCUGCUCACUGAUCUACUCUGCAUCACUGAUCUGCAUAUAGGAUUUAGUAAAGUUAAUAUGAACAUUCUAGUUUUCUAAUUCUGGAUAUAGCUCAUGAUGUUAUGAUCAUUUUUGUGCUUAGUCUAAAACUUGUCAUUUCGAUAAUGUUUGAUACUAGGGAGUAUUAUAAAGCCGAAAAAGGAAAAAAGAGACCAGGGGUAGCUCAGGAAUUCGAGGAAAGUUGAUCAACUAUAUAAAUGAAACAUUAUUUACAGAAGAUUUCCACUUCCAGCUACAUUCCUCCUGAUUGUGCAUUCAAAUUGAAGUAGAUGAAUAAAUCGAUCUAGAGAGUGUGAUUAGUGAGCCACAGAGAGGCAGAAACUAUAAACUAAUGAGUUUCAAUUGAGUUUUUCACAAUAUUGACAGACCUCAAAAACUAAGCAGUGAUAACAUAGAUGACAUUCAAUUUCUGCGCAUCAAAUAUCUCAUUGUUCAUAACGAAUUCAGGUAACAAGACUCAGACCGAUUACAAACAGUUGGUGUUCUCGUAAUCAAAACAAGUAAAAUCAAGGCUGAGGGAACACAUGAGAAACCUGUUUCUGUUCUCGUAAUCAAACAAGUAAAAUCAAGGGUGAGGGAACAUAUGAGAAACCUGUUUCUUAUCCAGACUUGGGAGGCUAAUUCAGUUUUCUCUGGUAAUGCCUCUGAGAUGUGACACUAUCAGCCUAGCAACUAUGUUACCUUGUCCACUUCCAGUUUGCCAUGGUACACAUUCAACAAUUCGGGUACACUGUCGAGAAAUCUGGUAACAAAGUUACUCAAGAAGUACUUGUCUGGCACCCUUAUAACAGUAGCCAAACUCAAGUUGUCCUCCUUGAUCAAUCCUUUCAGAAGCAAAACUUUAACAACCGAACACCUUGGUAUGAUUCUCUUCUCCAAGCUGUAGCAUAAAACAUGGGGAUAUUUUGCAAUCUUGUGGGAAUGCCAACCCAUCUUGUUCACUAAGAAAUCCAUUGUUUCCAUUAUUUUCUUCUCAGACUUGGUCAUGCAUGGUGGAAACAACUUAAAAGGCAGAAAGAAUAUCAUUAUCAGACCAAUCCCAACUCCUAUAAGCCUGUUGACAUCGUUUCCAUGUCGUCCCUUUUAAAGAUAAUGCCUGCAUAGCUUGCACAAAGCUUGACUUGUGAGGGUCAAAUCCCAAUUGUUGGACUUCACCCACAAGUUGACUGUACAAAUCAGGCUUCCUCAUCACACUAUGAGCAUAAUAUGUUAGCAACAAAGCAAUACAUGAUUCCGACAUGCCCAAUUCUCUCAGAAUCUGAGUAUUGGGUAUCACAUUCUUGGAGAGAUUUGCUCUGAAAAUCCAUGAGCUCUGCUUCCAAAUAUUGACGACCUUGACAUCAGAGACCACCACGCUUUUGAGGAAGUUAUAACAGGGUACAAUAAAGUUUUCCAAGCUUCGGUCAAAGAGCAUCGAGUUGUAGGUCGGUGUUUUUGCGAGGUCGAGCCUUGAGAUUCCUAUGGAGCAGAAAAACUCAAAGCUUUGGCAAAAGGGUUUUCUGGGUAUCGGUCAUCAGAAUACGUGGGUGUUUCCGCACCAGAGUUGAGAUUUGGGUAUCUGAGAAUUCAUACUGUCUCAAAAGGGCUAAAACAGAGUCUGGUUUCUCUAAAGAUUGAAGCUUUACCUUGUGAGAUGCUUUAAUGGCGGCUUCUGGGGAGAGAGACCACAAGAGUUGACCAGGUAAGAGACCGUGAAAUCGUCGGUCAGUGUUGUUGUACAAAACCACUGACUUUGAAGUCCUUCGAACGGGAUGCGAUAUCUGCAAAACAGACGUGAAAAUGGGUAUGACAGGGUCUUGCUGCAAAUGUAGUCGUGUGCCAUUGGAAUUUGCAACACCGAUUAGAGGGAUGGGAGGAGUCCCAAUUUCACUGCACUCUAGGCAUUUUAUUUUUUAUUUUUAAACAGAGAUGGAAAGGUUUUAAUUUUUUUUUUCACUGUUGAGAAAACAUUGAGCUUUUUAAUUUGUAUGAUACCUGAACUAUGGAACUAAUGUCUAUUGCAUUAUGGUUAUAGUUCAGGUACCAUAUAUGAGGAUUUUUCCUACAAACAUUGAGCUUUUCACAUAAUUGACCACAAAACCAAUGAGCUUUUCACAGUUUUGGUAUAGAAUGAGAGAAAUUCAUACAUCAGCUAUAUCACAUCCAACAAUUGAGGUACUUGGCCUGAGAUAUCUGUUCACAAAACCUAUCCGAAAAGUACUUCUCCUAGACAAUAUGGGAGAAUUGCACAGAACUGGCUUUCAAAAUCCUAGAGUUUAGCAUAUUAUAAACAGCAGAACCCCAAAUUUCUAAUCCGUUCUCCUGUACUUCUAGCUCCAGCACUCGGAUCAUGAACAUGUUCCAGUUUUCCUUGUCCAGGUCAAGGUCGUCACCAGCAUAUCCUUGUAUGAUUCAACUUCACCAAUAACUAUGUCAGUAGACAAUUUUCAUGAGCAAGUUACACAUAAGUAUUACAUGCCUUUGAAGUAGACGAAUGCCCAAAUGCUCAACACACUCUAUGACCAAACAAGGGUCAUUCCUUUGGGGUGCGUUUUGUAGCUCAUGCAUCUUAUGUACAAUGAAAGCAAGAUGUUGGUGCUAACUGUUUACGUAGUACACUCCUGAAUCGCAUGAUCAACCUAUGUCUUCCAGUUCUGGUCAGCCUUGCCUUCGACGUGGAAGCUUUCCUUCUCAACUGAACUGAACUACUCAACUCAUGUAAAUCUGAUCCUGAUGGGUGCUGUGUUGAAUUGAAUGUAAACCCUAAACCAAAUUCAAUAAUUCAAUAUUCACUUCAUGUGUGUAUAUAUGUUGCACUGUAAUCAUUAUUUUCAAUGAUUAUGAUAAAAAUGGGUUGGAAAUUGAUGCUUUAGUUUCUUCUUCCCUGUCUUCUAUAGACCAUUUGCAUGCCUUAUUCUUUUAUAUUUGAUAUUGGUAAAUAAAACAUGUCUUGUCUAACAGUGUUUUAGAUACCACUCGCGUGUUGCUGCGGGGUAGGAUUUCUUGAUGAUGACCAAUAUUCAAUCCUCAUUUCACGCCUCCUAUGCCAUCACCUUUUCUAAAUCUACCGCUGAUUCUCCCGUCUUUCCCUAAUUUUUCACAAACACAUCCAUCUUUCCCAAAUCCACCACCAACAUCAUGGCCUCAUGCCUGCAAAAUCCACCGCUCAUCUCCAAUUCUACCACCUCCUAUUCCGCCACCUGCACAAAAUUCACCAUCAACCCCAUAGCCUCUACCAUCAUUUUUUAAUUCCACCACCAUACCAUAGCUUUUCCCUUGCCAAAACCCACCAUGGACAGCUCUGAUCCUAUGCCCACAACCAAGUAAAAAAUAGAAAAUAAAGAAGUAACAAAUUUUCAAGGACACAAACGUCUUUUUGAUCAGAAAAAUUGAACAUUUGCAAAUAAAUUUGUAUUAAGAGGUAACACAGUCUUUUUAGUCAGUAUAAUGGUAGAUUUGUAAAUAAAUUACAUUAAAGGGUAAAAAAGAUAAGGGGCAAAAACACAAUUCACCAGAACUUGAGGGCAAAAACACAAUUCAUCAAAGAUAUAAACAGUGUUUUUCCCCUUGUUGUUUUAUUUUAUAGAAUGUUGAUGAGUGAUGACCCAAAACUCUCAAGUCAUCUACGGCCAACACAAAAGUGAAAUGAAAACAGUAGAGCCAUCUCAGACCUUAAGUCUUCUCUAUGAACUUAGACUUGAACUUUAAAAGAGCACAUAACAGCAGAUGAAGCAAUCUAACUAAAUGAUCAUGGGUAAGGUGGUGCUGGGUCAAUAUUUUUGAAUAGCUCAACCUUUAUAUGGUUUGAAGAGCAGCCUGUACCUGAUGAACACCAACAGAACUCAGAGACCCCUCACGUUUUACAUAUUAGAAAAACCAAAUUCCUUCAUGUGGCAAUGUGACAUGAAGCAAUAGACAAUGUGACAUUGCCUGAUAGGUUCAUACAACCAGUUCAAUAAGCACUCGAGAUGAUGCAAGUAUAAAGUAAUGAUUCUUGAUCAAGAUAUUUUAAGGAACAGAAAAUCAAUGCGAGAUAAAACAGGACACUUACCAUUAACUGAGAACCUCUUCAAAAAUUCCACUCCUUCCAUUUCUUCUAGAAGAGCCUCAGAGUUCAAGACUAUAAAUCCAAUUUACAGUGUCAUCAAGAACAUACAUUCUGCACAUACGCUUUGCCUUGGUACACAUCCAACAGUUGAGGUACUCGGCUGAGAUAUCUGUUCACAAACCUAUCCAAGAAGUACUCCUCCAACCUCGAAAGAACAUUAGCCAAAUUCAACUUCUCCUCCCCUAUCAAUCCUUUCAAAACCAAAACUCUAACUGAAAACCUCGGGAUGAUUCUCUUCUCCAAGCUGUAAAAAAAUCUCCAAGCUGUAAGAAAAAACAUGGGGAUAUUUUGCAAUCGUGUGGGAAUCCCACCCCAUCUUUUUCACUAGGAAAUCCAUUGUGUCCAUUGGUUUCUUCUCUGACAACAUCAUACACAGCGGAUACGCCCUGAAGGCAGAAACACAAUGAUCCUCAGACCAACCCCACCUCCUAUAAGCCUCUCGACAUCGUUUCCAUGUCUCUUUUGCAGCCAAUACAUUCAUGGCUUGCACAAAACUUGUCUUCUGAGGGUCAAAUCCCAUUUCCUUGACCUCACCCACAAGUUGGCUGAACAAUUCAGGCUUUCUCGUCACGAUACCAGCAUAAUCUGUCAGCGACAAAGCAAUACACGACCCGGGCAUGCCCAAUUCUCUCACAAACUCACUAUUCGGCACUACUUUCUUGGAUAAGUUACUUGCGAAAAUAUAUGAGCUGCGCUUCCAAGCACUGACGACCUUGACAUCAGAGACCACAACGCUUUUAAGCAUGUUAUAACAGGGUACAAUAAAGUUUUCCAAGCUUCGCAUCAAAAUAACUGGGUUGGAGGUCAGUACUCCUGCAAGGUCGAGCCUUGAGAUUCCUAUGGAGCUGAAAAACUCAAGCUUUGGCAAAAGGGUUUUCUGGGCAUUGGCGACCAGAAUAUAUGGGUGUCUACACACAAGAGCUGAGAUCUGGGUAUCUGAGAAUCCAUAGAGUUUCAAAAGCGCUAAAACGGAAUUUGGUUUCUCUAAAGAUUGAAGCUUUACCUUGGGGGAUACUAGAGUAGCGGAUUCUGGGGGCAAUCCACACGAGCGAACCAGGUAAGAGACUGUACAAUCGUCUUGGACGGGUCUGGUACAAAACAGCUGCUUCUGAAGACCAAACUGUGAAUCCAAUCCCUCCACUGGGUGCUCAUAGUUUCUAAACACACGAGCUGAUCUGAAGACCCUUUUGAAAAUGGAGAAGGCGGCCAUACUGAUACCCUACUGUUUCAGAGUGAGGAGAUUGUUAAUCCCCCGUUUGGGAACUCUUCUAUUAAAUAAGAUUUUGGAACCCUUUCAAGUAGUGCAGCAUACCCAUUGCCAGUAACAUUGUGACAAAACACAACAAGGUUAAUACUUUGCAGUUUGCCGUUCGUCUUGGAACUUAGACUCAAAACAUUCAACUCCUUUUAACUCGUUUCUUGUUGAUACAACGUAUAGGUGCCUCUGAUAAGAAAAAGAAACAAAAAGACGUGUAUACCGAGAACCUGUAUCUUCUAUAUAUAAACUUACUAGUGCAAUAUCCGAACGAACAGAAACCUAUUUAGUAUCCUCAUCAGAAUUCUCUACUCGAAUCCAACUCAAGCAGGAUGGACUAAUUUCUGGGAGAGAAGAGCCUGCAGGGAUCCAGCCUCAGCUACAGGCGGACUGCAAGUAAAGUUUUGGCAGACAAGAGCAACCACUUUGUCUGCGGCAAAAUGACUCUUUGCCAUCAGAGCGAUGUUGCUGUUUUUGUCUUCCCAGAAUUGCAUCUCUUCUGAAUUUGUUGGAUCUAUGUGAAUAACCUGUCAUUGGUUGCACAACAAAGUGGUGUUUACUAAAGAAGAUCAUAAGAUAUUCCAGAAAAACUGCAGCGUUACAACUUGCAUAAGUUCACUACUCACUGUUUUGUUGGUAUCAUAUGACGCAUGAGCUGCAGCCAGCAUGGUCUCAAACUCAUCACUUCUCUGGCCAACCAAGACAACUUGCUUCCGAGAAGGGGCAGUGAGCAUGUCAGAGGCACAACACAUUAAGGGUACUGCCAUGGCCAUGUCCUUUAAUCUCUUCUCAAAGACCGCCUGUCAACAGAACAGAAAAUGAAAGGCUCAAUAGAGAUAUAUUCCUGGAUAGUGAAUUUGUAAGAUCAGAAUUUUGGUUUACGAACCAGAACAUGUUCAGCUUCCUGUCUGUAAUGCUCAGACUUGUUGCCAGAUAGUAAGGAUGCCAGUCUCACAAGGUUGAUCACAGAAACCGAGUUUCCGGAGGGCUCUGCCCCGUCAUGAUCUUCCUUCACACGAAGGAGAACAUUGGGGUCAUCACCUGGGGUAUUGAAAUAGCCGCCUCCCUCUUUAUCAAGAAAUAUUUCAUCCUGGAAAAUAUGUCAAACAAACUCGCAUCAAGUCUAGGGAAGAAGGUGAAAACUACAAGACUUAGAGAUGGCGGAUAAUAUUUCUUGCCUGCAUUUCUUGCAGUUCAAUUGCCCAAACUAGCCAGCUGGUUUGACCACCAAAUUCAUAAAGAUCCAAUAAUCCUGAAAUAAGAAAAGCGUAAUCAUCUAAAAAUCCAGGUGCUUUAGAUGGGCCGUUCCUGAAGCUGCGUUGCAGUCUAUGAGAAUGCUCAUUGUAAAGGUGUCGCCUGAUAAAAGAUGCUGCCUUUUCUGCAACUUCAACGUACUCCCGUGGCUGACAUAUUUGUGAUGUAACACAUCAGAACAAUCAGUGAAGUAAAAAGAUGUCCACCGAUGUGACUAUCAUGGUUAACCUUACAGGCCCCCUGCCCUACGAACUGAUAAUUAUUACAUUACAUCUAAAAUGGAAAACAUUAAUUAUUAAGAAAAUGUUUUACUAAAAGAGAUUACGCCGUGAAUGUAACACUCAAAACUUCAAAACUAGUACACAAGUCCAAUUUCCCAUAAAUGAAAACGAAUUCAACACUAGGCAUUUUCCAAAACCACCAAACCUUCUUUUCCACGUAUAUUAACAACUCGUAUGACUACUAAUAAAGUGAAAGUCAGUGAAGGCUUACAUCGCAACCAACAACAGGGAAGUUAAAUUUGAUCUCCUUGGGUUCAUUCUUCAGAAUUUUAGAAGCUCUUGCAAAGGCUGAGAUGGCCAGUCCAUUCCAUGCUACAAUUACCUGGCAAAAUCUGAUUUAUCAAUUUCUGGGUGACAGAUAAAAAGAAAAGGAUAACAGAAUGAGGUGAAUCCUACGAAAAUUUGAAUUGAGAGAGUAACACCUUGUCAUCCAAAUGUGGUCUCGGUCGACUACAUCUUAUUUCAAACAGCUUUUGCCUGCUCCGACCCAGAAUAUCGAGGUAUUUCUCAACCGCCAUAGAAAAUUUUGAUGCCUCAGAUUCACUUUUUCUCUCAAUGAGCACAUUCUUACCCUUAAAUUCAUUAUGAGGAUCACUCAUUCUAGAGAGGUCACAGUUACCUGAAGGCUUUAUGUAAUAGUGGUUCUUAAAAAGUGUUGCAUCUUCCCCAAUUAUAUCUUCAACCUAAAUAGAAUCAGACACUUAAUAACAGAAAGAGAAAAAUAACACAGUAGACUAAAUAUCACUAGUGACAGAUAAAAUUCACACCAUUGAAGUAACUCUAAUGCAGACACACAGCCAAAAUUAGGGAAAUGCUAAAGUCGAUGGAGAAACCUCUUUGCUAGACCAAACAUAGAAUGCUCCUUCCUUUUUCCUAGUAGCACCUUCAGAUUCAGCACUAUCAGCAUCUUCAGCUGAAUAUAUUUCGCCUUCUAGUCCAAUCAUAUCUCUCCUCAGAUAAUCAAGAACAUCCCGAGCAAUAGAUGCAUAGAAUACAUCUUUGGUGAUAGAAAAUGCAUCUAGGAAGACAUUAACAAGUUGGCCUUGAUCAUACAACAUCUUCUCAAAGUGUGGUACUGCAACAUAACACAAUAAUCUGUUACAAAUAUGAACCAGAGAAAAGAGAUACUGGGCAUGGUGACCAUGAAACAAAUGCAUUCGAUUAAAUAAACAGGUCACUCUGCAAUCAUGCCUGUCAAGUAGAGAUUUGAUGGAAGUAAAAUUCUAUAAAAAGAACUAACCAUGCCAGCACUCAUCCACACUAUAUCGGUGGAAGCCACCUCCUACGUGAUCGUGAAUUCCCCCUCUUGCCAUACAUUGUAAGGUGAAGAGAACCUGUCUCACAACUUCAUCGGCAUUGGCAGGACUUCCAGUCUCCUCCAACUUCUUUGAAUAAUAAAGCAUCAGCUGAAUCUCAACCGGUCUAGGAAACUUUGGGGCUGAUCCAAACCCACCAAACUUCGAAUCAUAACUUUGAGAAAGCUUUAAGAAGAUCAAAUAAAUGCAAAUGCAUUAGAGCUGACUUCUUGUGCAGCAAGAGAAACAAUAAUACACGACUCAUGUUUUUCACCACAAAGUUGAAUAUACGACUCAUGUUUUCCACCAAAUAGUUUCAUUACGAGCUCCCUCUUCUUUGAAGCUUAAUGAAACAUCAGUGACUAUUUGCCCAAAACAAAAAAAAAAGGUGACCAACAUGUUUCCCAAAAUGCCCUUAUUAAAAAGUGAAGAACAGAAAGAAAGUUAUUAGGUAUGCAGCAGGUCUUUGACUUGCAACACCAAAAGCUCAUAAGUAACAGUAUGGUUCAUGGCUCGUCGCAAACAGAUAAGAAAAUUCUCAAAUAAGGCUACAUACUUGCUCAGCACAUAGACGCAAAGCAUUCUUUGGAACCCCAUCUGACAAUUUUUUAGAACUUGCACUCGUUGACAAGGCUUCUGACAACUGUUCAAUAGCAAAGGCUCCACUCUUAACAAGCGCAUCCCUCUUGGUCUCCCAGGCUUCUUUCACCUUUCUGAAGCAAAAGGUGCAGAUACAGGUAAUGCUUAGAAUCUAAUCAACAUUGAACUGUGCUGAAACUUUCAAGUGUUUGUGCCAAUCAAGAUAACCAUGGAAGGGAAGGGGUGGUAGGGAGGGGGCAGAAUUGUAAGUUAAUUGUUCAAAGACUGAACGCCUUCUCACCCAAGUAUUGUCUUAAAUCCUAGUCUUCCAUACUUGUCCUCUGGGGGAAAGUAAGUUCCACCCAUCAAAGGUUUUAAAUCUGGGGAAAGGAAUGCAGUCAGUGGCCAGCCUCCACCACCAUACAGAGCCUGUACAUAUGUCAUGUAUACCUGGAAGAAUAAAAAUGGUCUCAGCACAUCAUGCUGCUCAUAUAACAGAUGCGAAGUUGUUACUAUUUUUCUGAAAAGGGUUCUUCUCGAACAACUAGAAAUCAUUUGUGCCAGAACAAAAAGUUGCUGUGAUGAAACAAUUUUUAUUUUUUUUCAUAUGGCAGGCAUAUUAGAGCUUCUAUGGUUUUACAUAAAAUGAAGUUGAACCAGACCGUUAAUCACCAGUAAGUAUAUGUAAACUUUUAAGCACAUUACUAACUAAGCCUCAUGCUCAUGACUAUAAUCACCUUUCAUAUUGUCUCCUAAUCUUUUGGAAAUACAAAAUGCUCCUGAGAAUCUUUAAUAUCAUUAAAGAUAACAUAACAAUUAGAAAUUCAAAGACUUUUAAAAAAGAAUUCCCAAUCAUAUGUUAGGAGCUCCGGAAGGCCUACUAGUAACUUCUGGUAUUAAUGAUGGUAAUUUUCUAAGUUUAUAAUCAUGAAUCAUUCACCUUAUCCACAUCUGGUCUUUCCUCCCGGUCCACCUGCGGUAAUAGUAUGUUAGAAAAAAGGACUACAGAAUCUCACAUAAUAACUGUGAUACUGGGUAACUUGAAAAUGAGGUAAAUGAAAUAAGCAACAGAAUCAUAAUUUGACUCACCUUAAUACUAACAAACCACUCAUUCAGCAACUUGGCAAUGCCUUCAUCCUCAAAAGACUCGACCUCCAUAACAUGACACCUAAAUGACAGUUCCACACACCAAACAAAUCAGUUCCAGUUCAUUUUCCAACUUCGAAAUCCAAUACAAGUAUAAUCAACUCAAAAUUCAAAUAAGAACCCUCACCAAUGGCAUGUGCUGUACCCGACUUCACAUGUAAAAAGCAGCACACUUUGAAUGAGUAAUCAUCUAUCAAAUGCAUCACAUAAAAAAUGUCUACUUGUUCAACGCAAGAAUUAUAUAACAAUUUUUACUUGAUAAGAAAAUGGGCACAUCUCUCUUUCGAGCUUCAGCGAAAGCCUCUUCACCCCAUGGAUACCAAUCAACCUUGUAACACAAUCAAAAUCCCAUCUUUAACAUUAAAGUAAACAACUUUCAACUCAAUCAUGCCAAAAACAUAAAAACUGAGAAAAAUCAGAGAUACCGGGUUGUGGGCGUGUUGAAGGAGAUAAGGACUGUGCUCGGCAGCGAGGCGAUUGGUGUGUUUGUGGGAAGUUGGGUUCGAAGUAUGUUGGUCAGCCAUGGCAAGAACCUUGGAAGCGAAGAAGGGUCGAUGAGAAAUGAAAGAGUGAGGAAGUGGGUGUGGUUUUCUGGGUGAGGAGAGUAGUUUUGUUGGGUUUGAAGAGAGGAAGCGGUGAGUAAGCCUUUUGAGCAUAGAAUGAUGGAGAAGCAGAGAAGGGUGAGGAGGAGGAGAAGAGGAGGAGGUUGGUGAAAGUAUAGAAGAAAUUGGAAGGGGGGUAGUUGGUGGUGCUGCCAUGUGUAGGGAAGGGGUGAAGAGGAGAGGUGAAGAGUGCCAUGUGGAAGCUGAGCUUGUUUGACAGUUGGAGUGGACCUGACUGGUGUAUAGUGUUAACUAACAGGUGGCCCAGCCUUGAGCAUACAUCCAUGUUUCACAGGAUAGGGGGUAUCUAUGAGUAACGAGACAAGGUACAAACUUUUAUGGAAAUUACUCCUCCACGAUACGGUGUACAUGUGUGCAUGUUUACCAACAAGUAACAAAGAUCCUGAAAAAGGGAAAAAGUUUAAACUGUAUCUGACUUUUUAACGAAGUAAAACUUUGGUAUCUCAUUUUUUAAAAAUUUUAAAACGGUAUCCCACCUUUCGACCCCGAUAUAAGAUCGGUAUCUGGGGCUAACGGGGGAUGUUGGCUCCAUUACAGAGCUUGGCAGGUGGCAUCUUUUGCAGGGUAUUUUAGUCUGUUCAGUCUCUCCUGCCAAUUUAUACCAUAGUUGGCGCCAUGAACUUUUAAUGGGGUAGAUCGGUUUGAAUCUGUUCUUAACAGGCGACAAUGCAGCUACUCCGCGCAUAUUAGCUCUAUUUUGUCUGCUCCUUCACAAUGCAGAAGUUGAAACUAACAAAGCAAACAAUUCCUGGAGCAAAAUGAAAUCAACAACCAUCAAGUAUUUCAUAUUGCAGCAAAGCAUGUCGAGUUCCUCACCUAGUAAUACUUUAGAAGCAAGUAGAAGCACAAAACAAUAGUAAUAGUUCCUCACUCUUCUUACACUUCUUUAAUUUCUUCACCAUCUCCAAAUCCCACGAAUUACUCUUCAUCAAACCAAACCAGCAACUCACAAAUCUACGAAUCAAGAGAUAAAACUUGUCUAACCUCAACGCGUCGAUGCCGGACCAUUCGCGGCGCAUGGUGAGCAGAAACACCGAGAAGUACUAGACGGCGAGAGGGAGGUGGAGGUUGUGGAGGAGAGAGGAGAGGCGAUCGAUGAGCUGGGCCUGGGCGGGGGCCUUGUCGGCGUGCCACAUGCAGUAGAAGAGGCCUUUCCAGAGCUUCCUCAUGUCGUCGUCGGAGAGGUUGAGCUGGGUGGGGAGCCAGGUCUUGAGGAGAACCCUAAGGGCACGGCCGCGGCUGCCUUGGUUGCACGACGCGAGUUGCUUUAUGAGAGCUGGGCCGGAUUCCGAUGCCAUUUCGGCGUCCAUUUUGGCUGCGUGUAUUUCCUAUUGUUUUGUGCUUCUACUUGCUUCUGAAGUAUUACUAGGUGAGGAACUUGACAUGCUUUGCUGCAAUAUGAAAUACUUGAUGGUUGUUGAUUUCAUUUUGCUUCAGGAAUUGUUUGCUUUGUUAGUUUCAACUUCUACAUUGUGAAGGAGCAGACAAAAUAGAGCUAAUAUGAACGGAGUAGCUGCAUUGUUGCCUGUUAAGAACAGAUUCAAACCGAUCUACCCCAUUAAAGGGUCAUGGUGCCAACUAUGGUAUAAAUUGGCGGGAGAGACUGAACAGAUGAAAAUACCCUGCAAAAGAUGCCACCUGGCAAGCUCUGUAACGGAGCCAACAUCCCCCGUUAGCCCCAGAUACCGAUCUUAUAUCAGGGUCAAAAUGUGGGAUACCGUUUUGAAGUUUUUGAAAGGUGAGAUACCAAAGCUUUGCUUCGUUAAAAGGUCAGAUACGGUUUUGACUUUUUUCCCUCCUGAAAAAGAUAGGUAAGAAUGACAAUACAUUUAUUUGAGUGAAAUUCUAUAUAAGUUUGAGUCUUAAUAUUGACAAGUUUCUUAUUAGUAGGUUUACUGAGUAAUCGGGAUCUACGGGACUUAUAUAAUGUUGGUAAAAAUUGUUAACAUCUAAAUCUAAAGAGUUCGGGUUAUCAAUAGUUCAAGUCAUCAUAAGGUCUGACUGUUGAAUGUCUACAGACAAUAAGGUGAAAAACCUUGAGCCAACAAGAUAUAUAUAUAUAUAUAUAUACACACACACAAUGUUGAUCAGGUGCGGACGUCCGCACUAAAGUUUUGUUGCGGAUUUCUAUUUUUGCACCACUUCCUGAUCGAAUUUCCUCAAACUUCUUUCUAGACAUAUCUAGAUCAUCUUGUGUAGAUCAUCUCUGCAAAAUUUCAACCAAUUUGGUGAUCGUUAAGGCCCUCAAACUCGAAAACAAAUGGACUGACUGAAUUCUGUCCGGUUGUGUUCAUACCAGAAAAACUCGAGUUUGAGGGCCUUAACGAUCACCAAAUUGGCUGAAAUUUUGCAGAGAUGAUCUACACAAGAUGAUCUAGAUAUGUCUAGAAGGAAGUUUGAGGAAAUUCGAUCGGAAAGUGGUGCAAAAAUGGAAAUCUGCACCAAAAACUUUAGUGCGGACGUCCGCACCUGAUCAACAUUGUGUGUGUGUGUGUAUAUAUAUAUAUAUAUAUAUAUUACCUCUCUCAUGUGAACCAAGAUGUUAGUUGGGUUACUGACACACGGUUCAUAAUGUUUUUGAGUUCGUCGGCAGCCUCCCCUUAAUCCAAUUUCCUUUCAUAUAAAAAGAGGGUUCACCUUUCAGAUUGAUAUAGUACAAAAAUAAAGAAAAAUUUAAUUGUAAAAAUUAUGAAAAUGUCAUUUUUGAAAAGUUAUAAAAAGGUUAUUAAAUGUCGACUAUGUUCUCUGUAAUAUAUAAAUUGAUACACUACCACAGUGCCAUCCUCCCUAGUCCCGAACUAGUCUAGACCUAUUCCCUCUCUUGUUUCUAAGCUCUUACAACAUGGAACACUUUUAGAAGCUUUGUUCGUGAAUUCAGCUAACCACUAGCUGAUUCAACCUUGAACGCUUCUUGGGUUGGUUGCACUACACAUCCCUCAUGGUAUGCAACAUGAUAUGAGUUGAUGAAAUAAGUUUUGAGUUCAAGCUCUAAGGUUUACAGUCACGAAGAAGACUUAGAGCAGCAUGAACAAUGCAAGAUAGAACUAGACUCAACAAAGAAAACGCAAUAAGGCAGUUUUCAACAACCAUUGAGCAAAGCCAAUGCUAUAGAUAUAUAUAUAGGCAGACAAGGCAUCAAAGAUGAUGCAAGCUAACCUCUACAUGUUUCAGAAAGGUUUGGACAAAAGUGUUUGGUUCCCCAUACUGAAAGUGAUGUAACCAAAUGGAGAGUUGACACAAGCAACCUCAAUAAGACAAAGAUACCUUUCUAAAACAUGAACGAUUCCAAACAGGGAGCAAGAGGUUUGAAACCCUCUUACUCAGUCCAUCAGUGGACCUUGACACAGCCGAUAGCGACUGGUCUUUGAAUCACACAGAGACCAGCUUUGUAUUGGAUAAUGUAUCAUAAAAUCCAAGCUGGAGCCUUGAGCAUCAAACCAUUUGGUCACGGGUUGGCAUAACAAAAGAUCUCAACCCUUAGACUGGUUUGAGCGCCAAAGCACUUCUCACAAACUCAGUUGUCCAUUUGAAUUUGAAAGACUUAUUAAACUAAUAUAACAGACUUUGAAACUCAGGACAGCAGAAGACUCAAUACUAGGAUAGCAAGCGAGGCUGCUAACCUCUGUGAAAAACAAUGAUAUGCAGAUGCAUGUUUUACCUGAAACCAUAAGGGAUAUUAGUGCCACUUGUUCUUGAUCAGACAACAGCAUCUUAAGGUGUUUUACAGGAUAAAAAGGAUUGCCAACUAUCCUUAUACCUUCAGAAAUGAUUGUUUUCAACUCAGUCAACAUGUUACCGAUCAAAGUAAGAUUCUGACAACUAAAACCUGGUUUUAAUUAGCACUUACAAUUUUGCUCUUAGCAACUGAAAAGCACGAUGCUUGUUCUGAAGUUGAGACCUCUCUUCGAUCACUACAGAAGAUGCGGAUGCCAGUUGGCUUAUGGACAAGAUCAACAGCUGUCUCCACCUUGUUGACAUUCUGCCCUGCAUGACAAUGUUGCAUAUAUAUAAAGUUGUGGCAUACAAGGAAGUCGAUACUAAAAAAACAAAAAAUAAUAAUAAAAAAUAAAAAAAACCUAUAUCGAUCCAAACUUCAUCAGAUGGUGUUUUCCUCGUCCUGUAAUUCCUUAUCUAUAUAAAUUUGGAAAUCCCUAUAAUCCCUUGUUCUAAAUUUGAAUUCCACCGGUAAAAGAAUGCAUAUGUGAUAUGUGUUCUAUAUAAAGCUAGCCCAUGGUAGAGUAACUCGUUAUUUAGGUUUCGCAGCAUAUAUAGCAUCUGAUCUACCCUCGGAAGGAGAAUCUGCACCUUAAUAAUAAUGACAUAUUUACCUUCAACAAUGGCUACUCCGGACCGCCCCAACGAACCCCCGACCACCCUCGGACAGAGAAUCUGCACCUCAAUUUGCCUCUUUAUUCUAUUAACAGUCGUUUUUGGAUUGAUUGGUUGGCUAAUCUAUACGGGGAACAUAAAGCCUUCAUCCAUACAUUUCGAGGUCGAAUCCGCCACCGUCUCACAACUCAUCACAGAAGGCAGCUCCUUGAGCGCCACGUGGGACAUUACUCUCCUCGUCGGUAACCCUAACCGCAAAUACAAAAUGUGCUUCGACCACGUCCAGGCAGGGGUUCGCUACCACUACGUCGGUGACAUCGUAAUCGAGCUAGGGAGUACGCCUACAUUGCCAAUUCACUUUGCUUUGAAACGGAUGAACCAAACACACGUACCUCUUGGUUUAAAGAUAGGAGUGGAGAGGCUGUGGAUCGGCGAUGCCGUGGCACAACAAAUCUCCAACGACAGGUCUCGCGGGUCGGUGACGUUUGCUGUUACAGUGGACGCUGUUGUGAGGUUUAAGGCUGUGCUAGCGCCUGUAGAUGAGUAUCGGCUUAGGUUUACCUGCGAUCAGGUAGCUUUUGCGUUUUCCGGGAAUAAUGGUACCGGCAUAAUGACGAGUCAGCUUUCGUGCUCAGUGUUGAACACAGAAUCUAACACAGAAUCUGAAUCUUGGGGUUUUAUUUUCUGAUGAUACAAAUAUAGAGGGCCGGAUAAUAACUUUGUUUAUGAAUGUUGGCCAUUAGUUUCGUAAGUUUUUUUUUUUUUUUUUUGUAAUUAUUGGUUAGCUAAUAGGUUUGGUAACAGAUUGGCUCGUGUUGUUAUAAUAGGUUUGUUUAUUAAUGAUAUGAGUAAACCUUCUUCCAAAAAAAAAAACCAAGAAAUCCCAUUAGUAGCUACAAUAUUGCUCUUUUCUUAACCAAUCACUCCAGUAUUGUCAAGCUAUUGGAUUGUUGUUUGGAGACUGAUGUCCCCAUACGGGUUUAAGAGUUAAUCACAAAUGUGACUCUUUCAACCCAUCUUCACCCGUCCUCAAGCAGACAGUCGUGAAAAAUCUGCCUUAAAAUUGCCAAGGAAGUUGCGGCUGCACUUGCAUACUUGCAUUCCAAGACUUCUAUGAGUUCUAUAUCCCUAUCAUACAUAAGGCCUAAGAAUAAAUUCAGGGUUUUGAUCCAACUAGUCAGAAUGGGAUUCAAUAUUACAUAUCCAAAUGGGAUAUGAGCUCAGCUAUUCUUCAAAAUAAAUAAAAAAUAGAGAAAGAAAAAGAAAAAAUUGAAACCGUUUUCUCCAUAGCACAUUUUCCGGAACAACAGUGUGUGAAUCUUACAACAAUAUAGGCUUCAGAUAGUUUGCUAUAGGGCUGGGCACGGGACGGGAAUGCGUUUUUAAAAAUCUGUCCCGUAUGUCCCGAUUCCGACAAUAAUUUUUUCAAGAACAAAUUAAUUGAUAUCAAACACCAUCACAGGUGGAAAAACGGGUUGAGAAACUCCAAACAUUCAAAUGCUCCACCAAAAUUGAUCAGUGUUUGAAAUUUUCGACAUUUUUAUGCUGUUUGGAACAACAUUAAUGAAAUUAAUGGAAAAAAAAAUCCAAAAACACAUAAACAAAAAAAAGAACAUUGAUGAAAUUAAAAGUACUAAAAUCAACAAGAACAUAGGUGCAUAGGUGCUAAAUUACAUCCCACUUUAAAAAUACUAAACAUCCCACAUUAAAAAUUAACCCUCAAACAACAACUAAAAAUAUCCAAAAUCACAAAAAAAAAAAAGAACAUGAAUGAAAUUAAAAGUAUUAUUUUAGACCAAAUUAAGUGUGGUUGAGUUCAUUGUAACAUCAUGCAACCUCAAAAAUCAAGUAUAAAAUAAAUAAAAUCAUGUAUUCUAAUAUUAUGGGACAGGACGGGAUUUUUCGGGAUAGUACCGUCCCGUCCCGUCCUGUUAUGGUAAUGUUAAAACAGGACGAGAUUGCUAUUUUCAAAACCUAUCCCGUCCCGUCUCGCUAACUUUCGGGACGGGACCGGUACGGGAUCGGGAUUCCGGUACUAAUUGCCCAGCCCUAGUUUGCUAUUACCCAGCUGGAGCUCCUGCAGAUUCAGCAAGUUCUUCCAGGAGUUCCUUUUGCUCCAAGGAUGUAACUGCUUGCAAAAAAGCAGGAAAAUCAAUUGCAGCGUAAUUUCUAACUUAAAAUUUCAUGCACCUCUAUCCUUCUACAUGUAGUAUGCAACUAUCGAUGAAGAAAAUGGACAAGUCUUAAGCAGCCAGUCAAAUUCAUUUAUUUACCAACACUGUACUGUCAAUUAAUAAGCCAUUCUAUUGAUACAAAUGUUCUCACACUACGUCCUUUUUGGCUUCAGACGACAGAAGACGUUUAGUCUGUCGUCCCGAAUAUUGUAACGACAGACAUUUAAAAGAGUGUCGUCUGAAAAUAGCAACUCAAUAGUAGUUAAAAUUAACGUGUUUUUGAGACGACAUACGUUUGUCGUUCAAAAAACAAGGAAAAAUGUACCCUAAUGUUACACUUAUAAGACGACAGAAAACUGUCGUAUGGUGAAGAAACUUAAAUGUGUCUGAAGCUGUUUUUUUUUUUGGUCAUAAUUGGAGGAGUUUUUUUGACACUUAAAACCAACUCUCAUUCUCUCAACUCCCCCGAUACUUUUCUUUACUUUUCUCAACUCUCUUUUCUCUCUCUCAGUGUUCCUCACCCACAUAACCAAAAUCUCUCUUCCUCCUCCCUAAAAACCAAAUUCUCUCCUCUUCACAUUCUCAAAUUGAUCGAAUCCUCUCCUCUAUCUAAUACCCUAAAACUAAUUUCUCUCAUCUAGAUCUGGAGACCCAGAUCUACCCCAAUUUCAACCUCCCAAACCCUAAAUCUCCAAACCCUCGCAAACCAUAUUCACCGUUAAGGCCACCACCCGGAAGAGGCGCGCGGCCAAGCCCGACCAAGCCAAGUCGGCCAACGUCAAUCUCAAUCUCGACCUUUCCAGGUUUUUUUCUCCGCCGUAACGACAGCGCUGUGGUGAGAGGAGAGUCCAGGAUGGACGGGGUAGAGGAGGACCUUGGUGACGAUCUCGUUGGUGGUGGGAUCGGCGAGGAAGUCGACAGUGGCGAUGCGGUAGAGAAUGAGGGGCUUAGAGAGAACACGAGGGGAGAGAAGAAGCGGAGUUGGUGGAGUGUUCGAGGUGGCCUUGGGGGAAGUAGCAAACCCUAGUAUGGAGGGUGGGGAUGGUGACGGAGUUGCCGGCGCAGGCUCGCCAGAUUUUGGGGUCGAUGGAGACGAGCUGCAGGGGAGGCGGCGGCACGUGGGAGUGAGAGAGACACUGAGAAUUGGAAGACAUGGUGAUUGGGAUUUAGAGAUUGGAGGAAGAAGAGGAAUGAAAUCUCUCUCUUUCUCUCUCUUUCUUCUCCAGGUUUUGCUAGGUUUCCAAUGGCCACCAUUCCAGGACAGUUGAUCUGGGAGAUCACCAAGAAGGAGGAACAAGCCUGCGAGCUUGGUUCACAAGUCUGUGAUGAGGAAGGAAUUCCCUCGCAUGGCCAAGGCUGUUACUAAUCAGGUACCAACAUGCUCGAUUUACAAUUCGUUGUUUUGUUGAUGCAUAUGUGUUUUGUGGAAUGUUAUGAAUGAGGAUAGGUCGACUUGAGUUUUGUGGAAUUCAUCUUCCACCACGACUGUUGGUUUCUCCAUCUAUAUCAUUGGCUAUGUAACCCAGACAAGACUCCAAAGGUCAAGAUUCUUAAACUCUUUGUUAUGAGUUUGUUUCUAGUAACAUAAUCUAUAUUUUAUGUAAACACAUUAAUUAAUUUUCAUUAUCCAAAGUUCCAAACCAUUACGUAUACAUUUCUCUGAUUCCCUAACAUAUUCAUUUGAACUUUGUUAGAAUGAUAUAUAUGAAUGGCUAGCGGCUACGUACAUUCUUCCUCCGGUUCGCAUUGGCUAUCUACUUCGGUAAUAUCAUCCCAAAUGUAUCUGGUGUGAGGAAGUCAGUGUUCUACUUUUUAAAGCCAGGAUACUGGAUAGGGAAAAGUGGAAACAAAGUGGAAGGUAAAAAUACUGAAAUUCAGUAUCUGCUCAACUUUCCUUUCUAAGUUGUACUUAUGAGUUGUACUUAUGAGUUGUGACUUGAUACUUUUGUGUUCCUCUAGCUCUCUUUGGGUAGAGGGUGGUGUUUGUAGUUAGAUAGGUUCAAUUCCACCACCUGAGCAUACUGGUCCUGAUGAUGAAGAUGUCCUGGAAGAGGAGAACAUUGUCAAGGAGCAAGCUAAGGAAGGCACAGUUGGUCUAAACCUUGCAGUUUAAAUACGCGUUCUUGUAAAAACAUAUCCUAGCAAAAAACACAGUCGUUGUUGUUCCAAGAGCAAGAGGACUCCACCAUACCAUGCUCUUAAGGUACAUAACCUAUUUUGACUCGUUAAGAGAAUGUGGAUCUUAUUAUGAACCUGUUGUUCGUGUGGAGCAAAAUCUGGUGAAAUAGUCUAUUUAGAUUAUUCAUUCGAUGCAUCUUUGUCUAGCAUUUUGUACCUAGACUAUGAGAUCCUCUAGCAGAAUAUUAUGUCUUCAUCAAAUAGAUGCUCAGGCAUAUAUACCUCUUUGCUAAUUUUUAGGUGGAUAGGUCGACUGGAGUUUAGUUAUUUGUUCUUCUUUGGACUUGCUUUGUUGGCCAUAAUGCUUGUCGGUCUUAAUGACUUUAUGCAAGUAUAUGCAGUGCCAUAUAGUGAGAUGCCUCUUCUUUUUGACCUCUGUUAGUUGCUCUCUGCAUAUAAUAUGACCUGGACUAGAAAAUUGAGGUAUUUCUUAAUCGUGGUAUACUGGUAUUUCUCUGCAUAUAAUAUAACCUAGAUGCCUAGUGUAAUUUUAUGAUUGCUGCUAUUAUCAUCGACCUCAACUCCAUUGGUUUAUUUGGGUGAGUUUAUUUUACUGCUAUUGCCUUUAUGAUCAUCAUUUAAUUUAACUGUAUUUAACUUUGGUUCUUAUAUUCACUGUCAUAGAAGUACAUAGGUCUCAUCAAGUUAAGAUCCAGCAUUGGAUAUUGUAGGUACUGUAUCAUAAAUAUUCUUUGCAUGAAUGCAUCAUAAUGUUCAGAUCUUACUUAACUUCUUAUUGCUAACAUUUAAUUGUUUAUUGACAUAUACUCAUAUUAAGUUAAGAUCCAGCAUUGGAUAUUGUAGGUACUGUAUCAUAAAUAUUCUUUGCAUGAAUGCAUCAUAAAUGUUCAGAUCUUACUUACUUCUUAUUGCUGAAAUUUAAUUAUUUAUUGACAUAUACUCAUAUUGAUUCACUAAAGUUCUUUGUCUUCAAUGUUGCAGGUGACACUUGAAUGAAUGGUGCAUAUUGAAGUUUGAUGAGUAUGAUGAAAGUAUCAGAGUGCCUUAGUGCAGUUAGGACUUAGGAGGACUUUCUGCACACCACCAUAUUGUAGUUGCUAUUAUUUGGUUUGAUAUAUUUUUUAUUUUAUAGUUUAUGGGUCCCUUUAGAACAAAUAACUCUUUGUAAUUUGAUUGGUUUUGGCAAUGAGAAUGAAUUUGAGAUUUCUGAAUCAUGUUGUGCAAAUGCUUUAUUAAAUUGUCAUCCAAAUUAAAAUCAGACAACAGAUAUCCCCAUGGACAUCGACGUCUCUACAUAUUUCAAAUGACAUUUAUAUGUCGUCUUAAAGUAAAAGAUGACCAUAGUGUAUGUCGUCUGAGGUAAGUAUCAGACGACUAUUAAGUGACGUUUGAAUGCAUUUGAGUCGAGAGAAGAGGUUUGACGUAUGUCGUCUGAGAUAUAUUUAGACGACAAAAUAGUAACAUGUGAAUAAGUUUGAGACGAGAGACGGCUGCUCACAUCUUUAGUAUUACUUUAGUUUCGACGAUACUUUUAUGUCGUUAAGAAGCUUUCUAACGACAGAAACUUUAAUUUUGUUACGAAUGUAGGUGCAUACAGACGACAGUUGCUUAUAUACAAUCUGUCGUCGAAGUGGUAUCAAACGUCUAACGAGGUCUGUCGACUGAAUGCUUAUCAAAUGACUGCUUGAUAGACGACAGCCGAAAAAACAUUCAGACGACCAACCUGGCAGGUCGUCUGAAGCCAAAAUUGACGUAGUGUCAUUCUAUACCCUCUUCACAAAAAACCAUAUAUGUGAUGCAAAUGUUCACACCAAGGUAUUAGUCAUAUGCAUCUUAAAUAGUUUCUAAGCUAAACGAGUAACAGAUACCUGUGAUUUCCGUUGAUUCUGAAUCAGUUCCUGCUGCUCUCUCUCAGUUUUAUCUUAUAUGAUCUGUAAAUGAUCAUUUAUCAUCAGAACUGCACCACAGAAAAGGCGGGUGGAAAGUGGAAACAAGACAUAUAUGUCUGAAAGAAAUGAUUGUUUCCAACUCAGUCAACAUGCAUGUUACCAAUCAGAGUAAGAAUCUGAGGACACAUAAAACAUAUGGUUUUAAUCAGCACUUACAAUUUUUGUAUUGGCUAAGCAUGCAUUGAUGCAUAUAAUUCGCUUUUAGUUUAGGGGUACCAUAAUCAAAAUUUGUAACUUAUCAAUGUCUUACUACUGAUGGAGAGCAGGUAUGAGCAUCAUGGUGCUCCUUGUAGUAGGUUUUAGGAUUUCCAGGGCAUUAUUGAACAGAAAUUAAACUAGUCCAACCGAUCAAAAGAGAGUUCUUUAAACAGAAGGGGUAGAGGAAUGAUUUUAAAUAAUUUUACUUACGGGGCGAGGAGAUGACAGACCUACGUACGUACUUUGAACAAAUCCAACUUGAAUCCUACCAACCAAGCUAGAAAACUUGUUCAUAUACGUUCUGGAUUAUGUUUUUGAUAUCCAAACUUCAUCAGAGCUAGGUUGCAUUUCCUCAGCGUAGUAUAAUUCCUUAUCUCUUCUAAAUUAGAAUUCCACUGUAAAAAAAUUUCACACUCACUCCGGAACAAUGCAUAUGUGUACGUUCUAUAUAAAACUGGCCCAUGCAUGGUAAAGUAACUACGUUAUUUAGUUUUCGCAGCAUAGUAUCUGAUUCAUCUAGCAUAUAUACCUUCAAUAAUGGCUAUUCCGGUCAGAUCGGCCGCCAUCCCAUCCGCGCCUCCCUUUCCCCAUCCAUCCCUACCGGACCGCCCGUGCACCACCUUCUGCUACUUAAUACGAUGCCUAGUAAUAACCCUAGUUGUAGUUGGAGCCGGCGGUUGGCUAAUUUAUUUAUGGAACUGCCACCGUCUCCCAACUCAACACAGAAGGCAGCACCAUCAGCGCCACGUGGGACAUUACUCUCGUCGCCGUUAACCCUAACCGCAAAUUCAAAACCUCCUUCGACCUCGUCCAUGCAGGGGUCGGCUACUACUACGGUAACACCGUUAUCGAGCUAGUGAGUACGCCUAGGUUUCGAAGACACUUUGCUUUGAAAGAGAUGAACCAAACACGUUUCGAUUUCAAGAUAGGAGUGGAGAGGCUGAUGAUCGGCGAUGCCGUGGCACAAAAAAUCUCUUACGAUAGGUCUCGAGGGUCGGUGAGGUUUGCUGUUACAAUGGACAUUUUACGGGUGAAGUUUAAGGCUACGCUAGCGCCUACACUAGAAGAUCAGCAUCGGGUUGGGGUCACCUGUGAUCAGGUAGCUUUUGAGUUUUCCGGGAAUAAUGGUACCGGCGUACAGACGAGUCAGUCUUCGUGCUCUGUUUAUUUUGAUUGACAAUUAGUAUAGGUAUGGUAUGUGCUCGAUCAUUGGUUUGAACCAAUUUUCUUAGUUUUGUUUGAUUUUUUAAAGGUAGGAUGCGUCUAUUGCCACCCCACAAACCAUUUUACUCACCUCACAUUCUUUUCACAUCUCACUCAUAUAAUUUUAAUUACAAGUCUAUUUUGUUCACCCAUUAACAAUACCUAAAAUACCCUUUUAUCAAUUCUACUUUGUUCAUCCUAGCUACAUUAUCUUCUCACCCUACAUAUAUUUUGAUAUAUUUUAUCAAAUUCCGAUUCGCUGAAGGUAAGUAAAAUCACCAACUGAACAAAAAAAAUCACAUUAAAAUAUAAAUCCCAGUUAAAGAACAAGAAAAAACUCUCAAAUUUAAUAACUCAAUAAUAUCAGUCGAUAUCAUAAUGCACAAUGUCUGUAAAUGUAUCUCUAGUAGCAACGUUUUCCAUACUUUUGAGUUCUUUAACUGAUCUAUGUGUUGUUCAUAAAUAAGGUACAGUAGUUGUCCAUGGGAAUUUAGAUACAAAGUCAACAUAAGAAAUAAUGAGUAAAUUGAUAGACAAAUCACCAACAAAGAAAAAAAGAAAAAAAAGAAACACAAAUAGUUUACCUCAUCUUCAGGUUAAAUGUUGGUGUCUUCAGACUCACAACCGAUGAUAAAUUUAGGUUAAAGUUUAUGAAGUUUGUGUUCAUCUAAAACAAAAAGAUAAAAAAAAAAAAUUGUAAUUUGUAACAAUUUAUUGUCCCUUGCUGUAAUUUUACAUCAGGGUAUUUUAGUAUUUCAAUAAAUCAACAACAUGUGAGGUGAGCAAAGUGGUUUGUGAGGUGGUAAUAGACGCACCCUUUUUUAAAUUGAUGACGGGUGACAUGACAUGUCACAUAAGAUUAAAGUCAUAAAUCUUAAACCUUAUUAAGGCCCUCUAACCCAUUAAUAUAUGUUCCAUCGUUUGUUUGAACCAAGUUUCUUUUCAUGUUUGGUCCAAGACUCCAAGCACAAAUAGUCCUUGUUUAUGAUUUUUUUUAUUUUUGGCAACUUAGCAUACACAUGGUAUGUGUUGGUUUGAACCAAUUAUCUUAGUUUCGUUAGUUUUUUUUUUUAAUGAGUGGUUAGCUAAUAGGUUUGUUACACAGUUGAGCACUGUUGGCUCAUGUCGCCGUAAUAAUUAGUAUUUUAUUAAUGGUAUGAGUAGACCCUCCAAAAAAGAAAAUUGCGAUUAGUAGCUACAUUACUCUUUUCCAAAUCAAUCACUACAGUUUAAGAAUGGGACUCUUUCAAGCCAUCUUCACUCGUCCUCCAAGUAAAAUGGGACAGUCGUGAAAAAUCUGCCUUAAAAUUGCGAAGUUGCAGCAGCACUUGCAUAUACUUGCCCUCCGAGAGUUCUAUGAGUUCUAUCCUUAUCAUACAGGAGUUUGAUCCAACUAGUCUCAGUCAAUAUUCAUCUGUCUUAUAAAUUAUAAUCAUCUUGAUUUGGAUUAUGAACUAUAAUUUAGGUGCCUCAUGAGUUUGAUCUUUACAGAUAAUGGGAUUCCAAAUGGUGCCUCAGCAUUUUCUACCGGAUUAUGGUGGUAGGCGAAGCAAAUUUUAUGAUACUCCCUUGCUCCACAAUGUGGUGUAUAUAUGCUUGUUUUCUUCAUCUUUAAUGAGGAUUCUGACGAUGAUCGUCAAGAAUCGGAAGGCAUGCUUGAGUGGAACUCCACAUAAGUUCGAGCCCCAACAUGUACAUGUCCCUUUAUUAGUAGCUUGCUAAGUACUAUGAACCUGCAAUGACCCAUAUGACGUUGGUAAAACGUGUCAGAUCUAAAGAGUUUGGGUCAUCACGAGACCCGACUGUUGAUUGUAUGCGGACUUACAAUGUGAAAAAUCUCAACAAGAUAUAUUACUGCUCUUAUGUCAGUUAUGUGGAAUCGGCUUGAAUCUAGAUGUUAGAUGAUUUAUGCCUCCUCCAAAUCUAAAUAACCAAAAAAAAAAUUUUUAAAUAUGGUACAAAUUUAUAAAAAUAAAUAAAUAAAUAAAUAAAAAAUGAAUUCAAAACAUGCCAUUUCUGAAAAGUCAAAGUUGCUGAAUUUCAAACGAGUUUCCAGUACUCUAGCUAUUCACUUUUCAUUAGAUGAUUAUCAAAUUUGCCAACCAGCAAAUUUGAUGACCAACAAUGACCAUCCAAUCAAGAGAGAGAGAGAGAGAGAGAGAGAGAGAGAGAGAGAGAGAGAGAGAGAGAGAGAGAGAGAGAGANNNNNNNNNNNNNNNNNNNNGAGAGAGAGAGAUGAGUGGUUGUGAUUUGAUGGUCAUGGUGGUCAUCAAAUUUACUGGUUGGCAAAUUUGAUUCCAUUGAAAAUGUAGUCUUAUCAAUUCCCAAAAUUGAAAUUUUGUUACAGUGGUUUUGAACCCCAAGACAAUCAAAAAGCGGAAACUCAACUGUUUGCAGCGUCGAUCUAUCAAAAAAAAAAUGUUUGCAUUGUUUUUUUUUUCGAUUAAGAAAAUGUUUGCACUGUUGAACCUGAAAUUUUGUUAUGAGAUCGAGUGUACUAACUCCCUGCUUAGAUAACUAUUGCAUUAAAUCUUCAGAAGAGAAGUUGAUUCAACAACUGAGGUGAUCUAUUGCCUCAUAGAUAACUACAUAAACUAACAUCAACAAUGAGUUCGUUCAUGAUGUUUUUGUCAUUCUGUGUCAUGACCCAUGCCCAGUGUGGAAGGCAAAAAUACUCAAGUAAUAAACGUUCUUAUCAUGUCUUAUUGGGCUAGAAGUAGAACAUGCAUUUUGUAUGUAAUUUCAGUAUGUCACUCAUUUUAACGAAAUUUUCAUCUCAUAAAUAACAUAGAAACUUAGAAAGAAAGAAAAGAGAAACUAUGACUUGAUCGAGGAGAAUUGAUCGAAUAUAUACCAAUCUGUGACCGAAAAAUCUUGGUUCAUAUUGCUCGCCUUUGAAUUUCAUUAACAAAAACAAUGAAAAUGAUGAGUGACAACCCUAUAUAACUAAUACAACUGAACUAUAAACGGACAAACAUCUUAACAAAAUAUUCCAAGAACAACAGAGAGGCUAGCUAGCUAGGGGUUCUAACGAUGAAUUGAUGAAAGAAUCCCAAAGUAACAAAUUAAAAGAUGAACUUGUUCUUCCCGAGCUUCUGGAAUUUGUCGCAUCCCAGCAUAUGCGGGACCAACGAACAAGGAAUUACGGCGAUAUGUCGGAGAUCCGGAACGCGCGGUUUGAGAGGCUCAUCCUGCAUCUGCAUCUGGGUCAGACCUCCACGUCUCGCAGCGAAGUGUUGCACGCGUUCUUGAUCUCGUUUAACAAACCUUGUGAUGAGGAGGGCGUCUUGAGCGUCGUCGGUUGGGUUGGAGGAGAAGGUUGUGCUUCCAUUAGCAGUUGAUAUGAACAAGGUUGCGAAUAGAAAGCACAGAAGAAGGCAUGGUACUACUGCUUUAUUAGCCAUGGCAGAGAAGAAGAAAGUAUGUUUUUUUUUUUUCGGGGUGAUCGAAUUGUAUAUAUAGGGCUUUGGAAACUUGAGAUGCAAGAAUACUAGCUAGCUAGGUCUCCCAACUCUUAUAGGAUUAGGUUUGUAUAAGCGGCCCUACCUAGUUUUCUUUUAUAUUUGCCAACUUGAAUUCCUUUUCCCAAAUUAAAACUUGUUCGUAAACAACUUGGACUCGUAAUAAAACUGAAAGUUCACGAACUGCGUGUGUCUAGCCCUGUGACAAAAGCUUGUUUCCGGGAGGCCCCCACGAAAAUAGAUGGGUAGAAUCUGCUAUGGGGACGCCGUCCGACUACUUUUACAUCUCAAGUAAGUUAAACAUGAUCACUAUUGUUGGUUGCAAUGCAAGCACGAUGAUCAUUACCGGCACCCCUAGUAAUUUGAGCAACAACAUUGCAGAUUUGCCUCGACUAUUGAGUUGUUGUUCGGAGACUGAAGUCCAAAUGGGACUCUUUCAAGCCAUCUUCACUCGUCCUCAAGCAGACAGUCAUGAAAAAUCUGCGGUUAAAUUGCAAAGGAAGUUGCAGCAGCACUUGCAUACUUGCACUCCCAGACUUCUAUGCUCUAUCAUACAUAAUGCCUACGAAUAAAUUGAGGAGUUUGAUCCAACUAUCUCGGUCAAUAUACAUCUGUCUUAUAAUCAUCUUGGUUUGGAUUAUGAACUAUAAUUUAGGUGCCGUGCCUCAUGAGUUUGAUCUUUACAGAUAAUGGGAUUCAAAAACUACAUAUCCAAAUGGGAUCUGAGCCUCAGCUAUUCUUCCCAAAAAAAAAAAAUGAGAAAGAAAAAGAAAAGAAACGGUUUUCUCAUAACAGAUUAUCUGGAAGAACAGUGUGAAUCUUACAACAAUUAAUGUAGGCUUCAGAUGGUUUUCUAUUACCCAGCUGGAGCUCCUACAGAUUCAGCAAGUUCUUCCAGAAGCUCCUUUUGCUCCAAAGAAGUACAGGCCUGCAAAAAAGCAGGAAAAUCAAUUGCAGCGUAAAGUCUAACUUAAAAUGUCAUGAACCUCUAUCCUUCCUACAGUAUGUAUCAAUGUAGAAAAUGGAAACAUCUUACUAGAGAAAUACCUGAAUUGCGUUAUCUAUAUCACCACCAAGAAAACCGGUGAGCUCAUAGUUUAUCUUCAACCGGUGGUCAGUGACUCUAUUGUCCUGAAUCAAUAAACAAAAGAGUAAAUAACUUCCCCAAACGUAACAACAUAAUCAUGAAGAGAUUUUGUACACACUAGUCUCAUACAGGUUAGGCUAAGUUCACAAAAUUACUUGACCAGACUGACACUUGUUUAAAAACUUUAUACAAUUAUUGGGACUCUAAAUCUAAUAGUUGAAACCUUUUGAAUCAGAUAGUUUCUUAAGCAGCCAGUCAAAUCAAUUUUUUACCAACACUAUAUUGUCAAUAAGCCUAUCUUCGAGACUUCAGUGGCAGUAAACUUAAAAUUGAUGACAUGAGAAAAUAAAUCUAACUAGUUAUUAGUACCUUGAAAUUAUAUGUUCGAAUCUUUUCUGCACGAGAACCGGUCCCAACCUGCAUUUCAAGAAUACAACAUCAUUAAUGUAGUUAAUCUAGUGCCUAAAUCAUUACCUAAAUAAUGUAAUUGUAGUAUUGUUCUAUGUGUGUGUGUGUGUGUGGAGAGAGAGAGAGAGAGAGAGAGAGAGAGAGAUGGGAGGCUCUUGCCUAGAGGUCACAUUCUAUACCCUCAUCACAAAAAACAUAUAUGUGAUGCAAAUGUUCACACCAAGGUACUAGUCAUAUGCAUCUUAAAUAGUUUCUAAGCUAAACGAGUAACAGAUACCUGUGAUUUCCGUUGAUUCCUAAUCAGUUCCUGCUGCUCCCUCAGUUUUAUUUUAUACCUGAAACAUGGUCAUUGAUCAUCAAAACUGCACAAAAGAAAAGCCGGGUGGAAGCAAGACAUAUAUGUUUGAAAGAAAUGAUUGUUUUCAACUCAGUCAACAUGUUACCAAUCAAAGUAACAUUCUGAGGGCACCUAAAACAUGGAUUUAAUCAGCACUUACAAUUUUGCUCUCAGCAACUGAAAAGCACGAUGCUUGUUCUGAAGUUGAGACCUCUCUUCACUACAAAAGAUGCGGAUGCCAGUUGGCUUAUGGACAAGAUCAACAGCUGUCUCCACCUUGUUGACAUUCUGCCCUGCAUGACAAUGUUGCAUAAAGUUGUGGCAUAUAAGGAGUCCUUUCCUCUUACCAAAUUGAGGUAUGCAAAACAAUGUCAAUUCUACAAUAAACAAAUACCUCCAGCUCCCCCAGACCUUGCUGUUGUCAGUUCAAUAUCUUUUGGGUCAAUAACCACCUCAACUUCAUCCGCCUACAAUAUGGCACAGAAGAACUAUAAAUAAGGUAACAUGAAUGAUACAAUCAAGAGUAACGUAGAAUAUUAGUCACAAAAAACAAGAUUCAGAAUAUUCCGGUUGCCACAGCAAGCUUGACUUCAACAAUUUUGAGGUAAGGGGAUGAAUUUAAAACUAUAAAUAUUAUAAAGCCAUCUGGAUACAGAUUGAGGAAAGUAGAUGGUGCUACUCAAAUUCAUUAAAACAGUACAUCCAAACGGAAAUUUUGUAGCAGAUAAAGGGACAAUAUUCAACCAUAUUAGAGGGUAAACUAAUUUAUUACUAAUGGCAAUGAAAGUGGGGAAGAAUGGCAAAGAAAGUAAAAGAUAAUGCAUAUCACUGUUUUCCUCAUCAGGAAGAAUCCAAAUGAAGUACCACCUUUUCGAGAUAGUCAAUGUAAAGAACUUGGAACAUUGGUGGACCAAUGUUAGUAAUGGGUAUACAAACUUGAGCACACUUUAUUGAAUCUUUCAAAAUCCAGAUCCAAUGUAAAAUUGAGUAUUUUGUGCAAAAGAUAAGAUACCUCAGGCAUGAUGGCAACAGUUGCAGUGGAAGUAUGCACACGACCCUGUGUUUCCGUAUGAGGAACACGUUGAACCCGGUGAACACCAGACUCAUAUUUUAAUUUGCUGUAUACACGCUUUCCUUUUAUCUCCAUCACAUAGGUCUUGUAUCCUCCUCUUUCAGCCUAAAAGAAAGAAAGAAAGCUCUAUCAGUCAUGUCAAGAGCAAUAGGAUAUACCUCCUUAAAAAUGGCAGCAAAAAUACCUCUGUGCUUGAAACUGGGUUGAACUUCCAAUUGUUCCUCUCACAGUACUUCUCAUACAUACGAACCUGGGUCAGGAAAUAAAAAUAAAUAAAUAAAUAAAUGCAGAAGCAUCAAGGUAUGCUCAAAAACAACUUGAAGGAAUGACUUCAUGGACUAAAAGAAUACUUGUUUAGGCCUAUAAUGCGUGUCAUUGAAAACAAAACAUAUAAAGCGAGCUUGGUGUCGUAACAAGUUUAUCCACAUAGAUAGAUGCUGAAACAAGCUUGUCCAAAACCUAAGUUACCUAGCCCAUUGUUAUAGCUUUUCUCAUUUGGGAGAGACAAACAUUCAAGGCCAGGAAAUUUUGCAAAAUACUUGUACGAUUUUUUCCUGGUAUUCUUUUCUUUCUUUAUCACCAGUUUGGUGUUGUAUGCAAGAAAGGUAGAUUCCCUAUAGAUUUUAAAGGACAAAAAAAACAUAUACCUACAAGAUCACCUGCCCAGAUUCCAGCUUCAUCACCACCAGUACCAGCCCUUACUGUAGCAAGGAACAAUGCUAUUUUUAGUUAAAAUGAAAUUGAUGGGCAGGUACCAUCAUCGCCAGCAUAAUAAUGAAAAAAGCUGAUCUAUAUGUAGUAGGAAGAACAUGGUGAACCUAAACAGUCAUUGCAUUGUCUACCAUAUACUUGCCGUAGUUCAGACCACCCGAGUAAAGUAGAGCAGUUUACUCAGUAGAAAAUGAUACGUGGCUCACAAUUAAUCAAAUAAAACAAUUUACUCAAAAGGGAAGAUAUGAAAUUACCUUCAAGCAUUAUAUUUCUGGCAUCAAGAGGGUCUGUAGGAAGGAGUUUCGUCUGUUAAUAUAACAUGUAACAUUAUUAAAAAAAUUAAAAAAUCAUUCCAAAUAUCAGGACAAGGAACAACUGUUACUCGGAAAGAGGAGCACCAAUCUAACUGCUAAUAGCCUAAUACAAGGCUCACCAUAUCAACAAUAUUAUAUCAAAUUACACCAUAACGUACCUUAAGCUUCUCCUCAAGUUCUUUGAUUUGAUUGGACAAAGAUUCAAUUUCGUACGAAAUCAUAGCCGCCAUUUCUUCAUCAUUUCCAUCCUCAUCCGCCAAAGCUGAUACAUUGCGUCAUAAACAAGGACUUCAGCACUAAAAUACCUUGAACAUAUUCGAAACCAGAACUCUACUCAAAUAGUCAAAUUGCAGCAAACCUUUACUCUCCUCUAACUGCUUCUCACAGUCCUUAUACUCCUUAUAAAUUGACACAACCUGCCCAACAGCACAAAACCGCCUUCAGCGAAAUCCGAAAUGAACUCAAUCAGACAAAAUAUGUUAAUCUAAACUCUGCAAUACCUCAUCGAGCUCCGCCACGGAUUGCGCCAGCCUCUGGUACUCACUGGGAUUCGACACGAUGUCUGGAUCAGCUAGCUUGACCUAAUUCAAUUUUUAAUUCCCUUCUCUAUCAGAAAAACUCAAAUCUAACAACAAAGCAAGUAAAAAUUCGCAGUAAAAUAUUUACUAAUUUAAACCUAUCCAUUCUAAUCACGGUAACUAAAAAUCAUACCGAUAAUUCCUUCCAUGUCUUCUCCGCAGAUUCCAGCUUCGUAAUCAAAUACGGUGCCUGCAAAUUCAACCAGGAUUAACACAUGAAAUUACUCCUAUAACCUCAGUUCGUUAAUUACCAAGCAGAAACUGAAUGAAGAAGUUACUAAGUGGUGAAUGGACUGACCGCCAUGCAAGUGAUUCGUGGAGCUCUGGGAUGAGGUUUGGGGAUGGAAAGGGAAGUCCAUGAGUGGUGGGUGAAACGGCGUCGUGGAGGGAAUGCGAGUAAUCGCGGCGGUGCGGAGGUGGUGGUGAGGCCGCUCAUUGCCGCCGUGGGGGAGAAAAGCGCGGUAAGGCGGAGUGGUUGGAAAUGGAGGAGAUUUUGAUUCUUUUUAAGGCGACGGGGUGUGGAUAAGUUCCGUUGUGAGGUGUGCUUAGGAUAGAGCAGCUAUUAAUGGAUUCCAGUAAUACACAAAGCCCACGUUUUUUUCUUCUAGCCCAAUCUCUCAGCACAACAACGAGAAAACGGUGAAACCGUUAAACAACGACAAACGUGACACGUGGAUUAUAUAAAUAUUAAUUAUAUUAAAUAUCAUAUUUACAAUAUAUUCUACUCUUAAUCUUGUGUCAUGACUCACGCUAACAUAAACCAAAUCGAAGGAGCCGGGUGGGAAUGAGCAAAAUCAGCAAGAUAGUCUGCUACAAAGUUAACCUUACGAAACAUAUGAUGAACACAAUAUAAUCAAAUUGAGCAGCAAAAUGUGAGGAUGUCCUUGACUAGUAAAUAGUGUGAAGAACAAUAGAGACUGUGAAUUUUUAUGCGAAAUAAUUGACACUGUAAAAGUCAAGAGUUGAAAUCUCCCUGACAUCAUCAUGGGACGAGUGUGACAAGAAAAAAAUAUAGUAGUUUUAUACUUAAACAAGAAAAAGCCACUAAGCUUAAAAAGAAAUUGUAUUGAUCCGCAAAUGAUACCUAUGAACUUAUUGUUUGUUUAUUUUUAGCGAAACCUCACAGCUCAAAGUCGACAACACACCAAUAUGCCAAGCAAUGCUUGUCUGGUAGUAGCCUAGUCACACCAAUUACGGUGUGACUGAAACAGCACAACACACAGCGGGAUAUUGUCUGCUUUGGCCUCACUCUCAUGGUUUUGUUCUUGGGUUUCCAACUCAAGAUGUGUCUCACUAGUGUGCGUAAUUAUUGUUUUGGCAUUACAUUUUCUUUAUUGAAACAUCUAUGAUGAAUUAUUAAAAACUCAUAAAAAGGGGGGAGGUUGGGCCUGCACGAUUCCUCGAGUGAGAUGUACGCAGUUUAUGGAGGGGGAGAAGACAUGAAAGAGAAAAUACUUUCAUUUUUUUUUCGGAAAUGGAUCUUACCCUUCUAACAAGCCUGACUUCCCGCUUAAGAAGUACUUGAUUACCGUGCAAGCUUUGAGAAUCAGUUUACCAGAAUUUACUGAAUUGAAUUCGGUACUCCUCUUUAGGUUGCGAAACAAAAAAAUCCUUCUUUAAACUAAGAAAAAAAAAAAAAACCCACAAAGUGCCUACUCCUUACGCUCUUGCUUUUGGGGGACAUUGAUCUAAAGCUUGAGUGCGGUUCUUUAUGCAACGUCUAAAAAUAUAUCUAUGGCAAAACAAAACGCAAUUUGUCGAAGAGUAUAUUCUUUUCAAUCCAAAUAAUAAGACAAAGAAACCGCUCAACAAUGAAGGACCGCCUACCAAUCAAAGAGGAUGAGAGUAAGUGUAAGCUCACUCGUAAACUCUCCGAGUUUCCAUGGCUGGCACAACAUAUUUGAUCCAUAUGAAACACACCCUUAGGUAAUUGAUUUUAUAAGCCAUUUUUAGACAAGAAGGGAAAAAAAAAAUACAAGACGUGUGCUAUGGUUUCAUAUUAGCUUUUCAAGUGUGACGUUCUUUAAGCAAGGAAUUCCGACCAAUCCCUUAUCAGUCAAGUUGUCAUGCUGCAGAAUAGGAGCUUGUGUGGAACCUUAAUUUAUGGCAUAACAACGAUGGAUGAGAUUGUAAGAGAGCAACACCAGAGUUGUGCUGCUAGGUGAGGUGGUGGAGUGUUGCAACCUAGAUUUAUUUUCUCUUUAUAGUUCGACUUACUUGCAAUGAAUAAUAGCUUGAUUAUGCUUGUUACAAUACAUCUAGUAGUUAUUGUUGAAUCAAUACGCAUAAACGUAAGGCAUAACAUUUCAAAAAUUUGAGCAAGUGUUAUAAAAGGUAAAUUUGUGUGUGAAUCUCGUAGAUAACAUUUCAUUGUCAAUUUUUUAAAUAAUACAAAAAAUAAAAGCCAAGUUUAGGUUUACGUAUUUCCCCUCUCCAUAGUAGAGCAAGAGGGAAAGUAGAUGAGAAUCAGAUUUGCCAACCAGCAAACCUGAUGACCAGCACUGACCAGCCAAUCAGAAAAGAAAGAGAGCAGAGAGAGAGCAGAGACAGGGAGAGAAAGAGAGAAAGAGAGAUGAUUGGUUGGUCAGUGUUGGUCAUCAGGUUUGCUGGUUGGCAAAUCUGAUUCUAAGUAGAUGACCCAUUUUUUUGUCACCAUAAAUGAGACGUGACACUAGAAACACACAGGAAAAGCGUAGCUGCCUAGGUAAUGAAGCACUCGUACUAAAACCAAACCACUCGACGGUCGAUAAUUAACAUUUGAUAUUCGUGGAAACCUAUGAUUACCAACCCCUUAAUCCCAUUUCCACCCAAUAAUAUAGAUUUUAGCGCCAUUUUCUAUAUACCCCGACCGCGCGCCGUACCGCGCUAACACCUAACUAGUGAGUCGACUCCUUCCCAACUCGGAAAAGCUCCUCCACUCCCCAAUCUCAAAUUGACCAUUCUACCCCCGCCCUUUCCUGAACCAACGUGUAACGUGUCAGAACCCCCUAAGGGCUGCAACGUAACUUCAGCGCUCCCUCCCAAGCGUCGGUUCCGAAAGUUACCCAAGCUUUCCAGAUGCGCUUUAUUUCAAAAAAACAAAAAAACCCAAAAACCAAAAAGACAGAGGGGGAGAGAGAGAGAGAGAGAGAGAGAAAGUAAAGAGUGUAAGUGAAGGUGUGUGUGUGAAGCCAAAAAGGCCAAAAUACCAGACCGUACGGAUAUACGGUCGCUCUCUCUCUUAAUAGAGAGAAAGCUCUGAGCUUUAGCUUUCCCCUUUCUUUGUUUCUCCGUUACUUGUGUUGUUGUCUGUUGUGUUUUUUUUUCUGUCUUUGGGUUUUUUUUUUUGGUCGGGGGCUACACUCACUCGAUCGAGCUCUCCGAUCAGUCGUGUGGCGGUGGCGGUGGCGGUGGUGUUGGUGGUGGUGUGAGGAGGAAUCCUGUACAUCCGUCCCCCUUCUCUCCUUUUCCUUUUUCCUCUAUUUAGUGUGUACAUAAAAGCUACUAAACGACGCCGUUUCACCACUCAUGGAGCUGUACGGUCGGAGCCCCGCGAGAAACGGGUCCAACCCGGAAUGGAGCUCCGGCGCCGCCGAGACCGGGCUCGAAGGUGUGUGUGAGUUUGGGUUUGAUUUGGGGGGAUUUGGGUUUCUAGGGUUUUGAAAUUUUUUGAGUGAUGGUAAUGUGGGUGUGGAAUUUUGUAGAGCAAAUGUGGCAAUUGGGCCUGACGAGCACCGAAUCGUACCCGGAGCGGCCUGGUGUGCCCAACUGUGUUUACUACAUGCGAACCGGGUUCUGUGGAUAUGGUGUCAGGUGUCGGUACAACCAUCCUCGUGAUCGUGCUGCGGUAAGCCCUCUACUUGUGUUUGGUUUGGAACCAGUUCUUGAGCUUGUCUUUGUGAUUUUUAACUAGUUUGACUUAGCUUGUUGUUUCCAAACUUAGAUGGUAGGUGAAGUAGGGGUGAAUUUCGGAAUUGUAUGGCUUUGGUGUUAUUGUUAGACCUAGAUUAGGUAAAAUUUGUGUGUGAUGAACAUAUUGGACAUAAAUGUGAGUUGUUUGGUAUGAAACUAGUGUUUAAGCGAAUCUGAUUUUUGUCAGUUUAGUUUCUUCAUGUGGAGUCAGCAUGUUGUCCCGUUGUGUGAAACUGGAUGAUUCUUUGUUUGCUGAGAGAGAAAGCUGAGGAGCUUGGAAUGGGGACAGAUUCUGGAGAUAUGUUUCUUUGGGGGUCUCUGUUACACCUAGUUUGGUUAAGUGUGUAUUUGAUGAAAUGAUUAGACCUAAUAUUGGUGCUUUGGGCCGACGGAACAAUAUCAUUUCUUGGAUUUCGUUAAUAGCUGAAAUUAUAUUGAGAAACUGGUCAUGUAAUGAUUUGAGCUAAUGCUAUAUUCAGGUUGUGGCGGCUGUGAGAGCUACAGGGGACUACCCAGAAAGAGUGGGUGAACCUGUAUGUCAGGUAUGCAGAUGUAUAGUAAAUAUAUUUGAGGAUUUCAAAUUGGCAUUUCUUCCAUGGUUUACAAUGCGAACUGUAACAUCAAUUUAUGACAUUUUUUUGCUUAAUGUCCAGUAUUAUUUAAAGACUGGGACCUGUAAAUUUGGUGCGUCCUGCAAGUUCCAUCAUCCGAAACAUGGAGGUGGAUCCUUGACACGUGCUCCACUAAAUAUUUAUGGCUACCCGCUACGACCGGUAUGGACUUUCUCUCUCCACUAUUGCAUAUUCAUAUGCAAAAUUUUGAUGAACUUCUGGUGCAAAUGGCUCAUUUUUGUUUAAAAUGUAACAGGGUGAGAGUGAAUGCUCCUACUAUUUGAAAACGGGGCAAUGCAAAUUUGGUUUAACCUGUAAAUUCCAUCACCCACAACCUGCUGGAACUACAGUACCAGCCUCUGCACCUCAAUUUUAUCAGUCGGUGCAGUCUCCUUCUGUUCCUAUGCCAGAACAAUUUGGGGGCCAAUCCACUGGUUUGAGAGUGGCCAGGCCUCCACUAUUACCUGGUUCAUAUGUGCAAGGGGCUUACGGUCCUGUCUUGAUUCCUCCAGGAGUUGUUCCUAUUCCGAGCUGGAAUCCUUAUUCGGUAUGAUAAAAACAUAUCUAUGUUGUGACUUUGUGGAAAUUAGUUACGUGAGUGUAACUUGUUUGUUUGGUGCAGGCGCCUUUAAGUCCUGCACUAUCUCCUGGAGCUCAACCCACAGUAGGAGCAACCUCUUUGUAUGGACUGACACAGUUAUCUUCUCCCCCCCAUGCGCUUGCAAGACCUUAUACCUCUGUACCAUCUUCUGUUGGCCCUUCUAGCAGCAGCCCAAAUGAACAAACCUUCCCUGAGAGGCCUGGAGAACCUGAAUGCCAGUAUUACCUGAGAACUGGAGACUGUAAAUUUGGACCGUCCUGUCGGUACCAUCAUCCUCGAGAUCGAAUUGCACCAAGGACAAAUUGUCUCCUCAGUCCAGUUGGUCUACCUCUCCGUCCGGUAUGUUGAGUUAUAUAUGUAUCUGAUUUGAAGCUUUAACCUUUUUAAAUUUCCAGUGUCAGAGCUUGGAAGAACCCAAUAACUGUUUUUGCCUGACUAAAUAAUAAUUUUUCUUUUAUUGGGAAGUGAGUAACUAUUUAUCAUAUUCAGAUUUAUGCAAAAUGUACAACCAUAAUCAUGCAACUGAGCAACCAAAAAGUUUAUUUGAACAUGUUUUUGAUGUGAGGUGGUUCUGCAGUUAUAAAUAGGUAUUACUUUCAAUAUGAUCUCUUUUUAGCAGAACCUUCUUGUCAUAAAGGGUAGAAAGAAUCUCUUCCACAUUGAGUGCCAAAAAGUUGAUGCUCCUUGUACAAAUCUGUAGUUGUGAGGUUGUAGUGCAGUCAUUUUUGGAAUUGAACUAAACAGUACAUAGAAUGUAAGUUCUAAGUUGCAAACAAAGUAUGCCUCUGGUUGGGUAAAGAAUAUGCCUAAACUUUUGUUUCUCCAAAGUCCACACAUGAUACAUAAUUUCAUUUGAGAUGGUUAAGAAAACAUGGCAAAGUUUCUUAACUGCAAGCUUUUGUGCCUAGAGUCAUGACACUAGUUAAUCUGUCCUCUGUGUAUGCUCAUGCAGUUACGUGCUUUUUGGUUUAUGCCUCCCUACUUGCAUUAUAACAAUUAAUAUUUUUCCCUCUAAUUAUGCUGGUUGAAAGGGGGAGAAUUGCUGUUGGAUCCUGGGCAGAAGGGUCUCUGUUUAAACAUUUUGUUUUAUAUUUCACUUUUGCCUGCUUUUUUAAAAUAACUGUAGAGUCCGUCUCUUCACACCUUGCAUAUGCAAAUAUUCAUUUUACUCUACAUCACACCACUCAAAAACUGUCAGCACAGCACAUCUUCAUAAAACCAUGCUCCCUGUUCUUCUCCGGCAAAGGCCAUGUCCCUUUUUCAGCAAUACAGAGUUUGAGAUAUUUAUUGUUAUUUCUGUUGGUGUUUUAUCCUUGUUCUGAUGCUGGACAGUUAUAUUUAUAAACCUGUUAAAGAUGUGAUGUUCUUUCCUAAUUUAUGUAACUUGUUUCAGAUCUAUCCUUCGCUUCAUUUAGUUUUACUCAUUCCUACUUAUAGAAUUCAGAAUUCAAAAUUCAAAGUUGUUUUUGUAUGUCUGACAGGGUGUGCAACCUUGUACAUUCUACUUGCAAAAUGGGCAUUGCAAGUUUGGGUCUUCCUGCAAGUUCGAUCAUCCAAUGGGAACUAUGAGAUACAGCCCAUCAGCUUCAUCUCUCGAUAUGCCUGUUGCUCCAUACCCGGUUGGAUCUUUGCUGGGUACUCUGGCUUCUUCUUCCUCUUCAGAGCUUCGACCUGAAUUAGUUUCAGCUAGAAUGCCUUCUUCUGGGAACCCCUCAAGUAGUUCAGUCGGAUUGAUUUUUUCUCAGAGUGGAUCUGUUUCACUAGCUGAUGUGCAACUAUCAAGUCAAACUUCCGUUCCUAUAAGCAAUGGCAGAGGCACAAGGCAAGGUGGCGAGGUUCGUCGUUCAAGUUAGUGUAAUUCCUGAAAGUCACUCCUCAUUUCUCCCGGGUUUGGUUUCACCAGCCUCUCUGUUUAUAGAUGUCGGUAAAUGUGUAAUGGUCAAUUGUGCAAAGGUUUCAUAUUUCAGUCAUGGUCUAUCAACAAAUUGUGUUUAGCCCACGCUAGGAUGGAUAUUGUUGAUGCUAGUGUCAUCUAUAUACAGCAAUCAGUAUGAUUCCAAAUAAGCUGCAAAUAUCAAAUCCCAUAUGUACUUUCUAUCUCUAUCAAGUAAUUAUAGUAGAGAGCACGCAAUUCAAGUAAGCCUGCCAUGUUUCCUUCUGUCUGCGGAACAUUUACAACUUCCCAUGCUUUUCUCUUAGUACCAUUCAUAAUGUUUAAAUUCCAUCUGACAUGUCAAUGGGAAAAAAAUGUUAGCUCAGAAUCUAAUAUUAAACAUGAGCCCUCACUAGAUCUGCAUGUCUGAAAGUGUAGUUCAUGGACAUCCUCAGUAUCUUCCCUGAAACUGAAAAGUUGGUGUACCAAAUAUCAAUCAAUCUUGAUUUUGGAAAGAUGGUUCCGAUUUCUUAGCUUAUUGCUGCCUCUAUUACCUAUAUAAUCCCUUGCUAAACCAGACUAGUUACCAAACUCAGGGUAGCAGGCCAUCUCAGAUGUCUGAUUGUUAGGAAUGGUGUAAGGCCAGUCUUGCUCGAGGAUAACUUGUUCAGCAAAACACAUAAUAAAUGGAGUUGUCUUCGGAUGAGAUUGCCUUGCACAAAUCCUCGUAUCGAAAAAUUAGAGUUCUUUUGAAUAGAUCAAAACCCUGUUUAGCUACUUGGUUUUCACAACCUUGUCCAUUGUAUGAAACUGUUGUAGGAUAAUGUCAAUUUCUUUGCUUAAAAGGGGUUGAUCCUGAGGAGAAUGGAGCGUUUCGUUUUUUGGACAAGAAGAUGGAAUGGUCUUUGGUUAAUCCUGAGGGUGAAUGGAGCGCUUCGCUUUUUGAACUAUAAGAUGGAACAAUCUUUGGUGAAUCCUGAGGGCAAGGAGGAAUCUGUAGAAAAAACAGAAGGCAAAGCUUCCAGAAAUUUUCUGAUAUUUCUUCUUGGCAUGAAAGACUUUACAGAUCUACACUACAUAUAUGAGACUGAGAUAAAACAGAUCUCCUUUUCCUUUACAGACUCUUACACCCAAACUCACUCUUGAAGCAGACAACAAGGACAGAAGAAUAAGCUAUAAAGAGAAGCUAUAUAAGUAAAGUACAAAGUAAAAGAUAAAAUGUACAGUAAUAGGAACAGCUGGAAAUCCUAAGAAUAAUAGCCAAAACCCCAGCCAUACUUCCAGAGUACAAAUCAUGCUUCAACUUCUAAUACUCCCCCUCAAGCUGGAUCAAGAGGAUUCAUUGAGCCAAGCUUGCCCAAGAGUCGAUGAAAUUGAGCAGCGGAAAGAGAUUUGGUAAAGAUGUCAGCCAAUUGAGGUAAUGUCUGGCCGAGUGAUUGUAAGGUAGAUUAACUUACCAACCAGCCUUUGAUAAGAGGUCACAUCAGAGAGAAAAGGACUUAAAGUAUCAAACUGAAGCUUGCUGUCCAGAGGAGUGCUGGCAGGCUUGCUAUCCCACUUAUUGUCAAGGGGAGUGCUAGUAGGCUUGCUGUCCCACAACUCUGACUCUUUCAGCAAAUCAAGAACAUACUUCCUUUGAUUUAGAAACAAUCCUUUAUGAGAAGUAGCCAUUUCUAUACCAAGGAAGUACUUAAGACGCCCCAAAUCCUUAAUAGCAAACUUGCAACGAAGAGAGUGCUUGAGAACAUUAAUCUCUUCUAGAUUAUCACCUGUCACAAUUAAAUCAUCAACAUAAAUAAGCACCACAAGCUUACUUGUUGAACCAAUUCGAACAAAUAAUGAGGAAUCUGCAUUGCUGCUAUGAAAACCAACUUCUUCAAGCACAUAACUAAGCUUGGCAUACCAAGCUCGAGGAGAUUGUUUCAAGCCGUAAAUGGCUUUGUGAAGUUUGCAUACCAUAUUAGGAUCAGAAGAUUGAGGGUGACCAGGAGGCAAUUUCAUAUAAACCUCCUCUUCAAGAUCACCAUGUAGAAAAGCAUUCUUCACAUCUAUUUGAAAAAGAGGCCAACCAUGAUUCACAGCAACCGAAAGAAGAACCCUAACAGUACUCAUUUUUACAACAGGAGCAAAGGUUUCUUUGUAAUCAACUCCAUAGGUUUGAGUGAAACCCCUAGCUACCAAUCGAGCCUUAUGUCUUUCUACAGUGCCAUCUGAGUGAAAGUUGGUCUUAUACACCCAUCUACUGCCUACUACCUUCUUCCCUUGAGGAAUCUUAACCACACUCCAUGUUUUAUUCUCAUUAAGGGCUUGAAUUUCAUCUGCCAUAGCCUGUUUCCACACUUCAUAUUGAUUUGCUUCAUCAAAGCUUUGAGGUUCAUGAGUAGCAUCAAGGGUGCUGAGAAAAGCAGAAUGAGCAGAAGAGAACCUUUCAUAAGAGAUGAAGGCAGUCAUUGGAUACCUCGCAGCAUAUGUCACAUAAUCUUGGAGCUUUGAUGGAGGACCUCGUACUCGCGUAGGAUUUCUACGAGGUACAGCUGGAGGUGGAGGAAGAGACUCAACAACAGGUUGCACAGGUAAUUCAGAUUGGUCAACAUCUAGAUUUGGAGGCACUGCCAGAACUUCUGAAACCGGAGCAGUAGGAUGGGAAUGCUGACUGGAAUCCCCAACAACAGGGUGACUGAAACUCGAAGCUGGAACUAAAGCAGUAUGAUGGAAAGACUGUCUGCUAUCCUCAUUGACAAGAAGAUUGGGAGUUGGAAACAGAUCAAAUAAAGACUCCCCCUGACUGUAACCAUCUGAUUUCCUAGCAAAGAAAGGAGUAUUCUCAUCGAAUCUAACAUCCCUGGAGACAAUGAUCUUUUUAGAAGAGGGGCUGUAGCAUUUGUAUCCCUUUUGAGUGGAUGAAUAUCCUAAAAACACACACUUUUCAGCCCGAGGGUCAAGUUUCCCUCUUUGUUUAGCUUGUAUGUGAACAAAACAAACACAACCAAAUACUCUCAGGUGAGAGAUAUCAAUCUUCCUUCCUUUCAACACUUCAAGAGGGGACUUACCACUAAGUACUCUACUAGGCAGACGAUUGAUGAGAUAAGUAGCAGUGAGCACACUUUGAGACCAAAAACUCUUAGGUACAUUCAUUUGGAAUAUAGAGAGCUCUUGNNNNNNNNNNNNNNNNNNNNNNNNNNNNNNNNNNNNNNNNNNNNNNNNNNAAUGCCAUCUUCUGGGAAUUGAGUAAAUUGGGUUCUGACGGAGAUGGGAAUUGAGGGUUUGGGAGAUUGGGUGAGAGUGGUUAGGAGUGCAGAGAGUAGCGAGUUUUGUGCGUAUGGAAUUGAGAUUGCGAAAUCUGAAUCCCAUAGCUGAGAAUUGGGGGAGAUCGUUCAAGAGUGGAUUGUUGGGUGUGUAUUUGAUUUGGGGUUUUAUGGGGUCUGGGAAAAGGGAGCUUGAGCUACAAGUAUGGAACUUUCAACUUCAAAUUUCAACUUCAAGGUGAACAACCCAGUGAGGUGGUGGUGCAGCAUGAAAGGAAUUUGCUUUUCAAGUUUUACACACAAGGGUGAUUCUUUUCGGCUUUAGUGUGGGCUGUGUAUGAUCUGAUCAGCCCAAAGUCUUACCGCCAACUUAGCUUUACCAAAUGCGAGAGAACAAGAAAGAAAAUGAAUUGCACAAAAAGGGAAAUAAAACUGUUGAAACAAAUAAAUCAAUCUUCGGGCUCCUCAUCUCCUAAAAUGAUUUGAACUCCGUAUCCUUAACAAAUUGGUAUACCGUAUCUCAACUCCUAAAAGGGUUUAGACUCUUUAUCCUUAGCAAAUUUGUAUACCCUAUCUAGCACAAGUUGUGUCCAUCUCUCUAUAUAUAUUCAAAACCAUCUAGGUUUUUUUUUCAUCAGAGGACGAAGACUUAUUCCGCAAUUGAAAUUAUGGAUUGGAGUCCAUCAUCAUCAGAUUGCACAAAAUUGCAUCAUGGAGGCGAGGAUGGCCGUGAACAUGGUGAGUAUCAUGGUCCAGUAUUGCUCAUGAUUUCUAGCAACACAGAAGAAGAUACAUGGAAUUUUUAUAACAUCGCGGAGGAUAGAGUUCUUGAUAUGCAAGUGAGUUUGCCCAAUAAGCGAUAUUGUGGGUGUUCCAAAGGAUGGUUAAUUCUUGUGGAAGAAGAUUAUGCCGUGACCUUACUCAAUCCAUUCUCUAGGAUUAAAGGGAAGCAAGAGAAAGAAAAUUCAAUCAUUCGUCUUCCUCCAUUGAUCCCUAUAAUUCCUUUGAGAGUUGAAAAACGUGACUAUUAUGUUCAUAAGGCUAUGAUUUCAGGAGAUCCGAUACUUAAUCCAAAAGAGUGCAUUAUUGUGGUCAUAAACGACGAACUCUCUCAAAUGGCUUUUUUGAGAUUGAAAGACAAAAGAUGGCUUCAUUUAGAUGAAGGAUGGACUGCCAUUGAAGAAAUUGUUAAUGUUGAAGAUAAAUUUUAUGCGGUUAACAAUUUCAGCCAACUUUUAUCUAUUAACCUUACAAAGUUUUCAAACUCAGAGGACGCGACCGUGGCUGCAACAGGCAUUGUAAGAGACUACGCCCUUAGGAGUUAUCUGGUGGAUUCAGAAGAUGGAUUAUUAAUGGUUCGAAGGAUAUCAGAGUGGGAUGUUGACAAAUGUGUGACAAAGAAAUUCAAGAUUUUCCAACUGAAUGGCAGUAAGAAUGGGUGGAUUGAGAAAAACACUUUGGGUGAAUAUGCUCUAUUUGUAGGAGAUAACUCUACCAUAUCAAUUUUGGCUUCGAAGUUAAAAAACUGUAAGCCAAAUUGUAUAUACUUCAACCAAGAUGACAAUCGCAUAAAGAACGAAAUUGGACCUCACGGGCCUUAUGAUUUCGGGGUGUAUAAUGUGGAAAGCCAAGAGAUUUCAAAGCCUUACACCGUAGAUGCAAUGACUCUAUUGAAGAUGACUAAGCGACCUCCAAUCUGGAUUACACCACCGCCAUCCCUCUAAUGUUGUUACCGAUAUUUUGUUUUUUUUAUCUUCAAGAUUUUCAAUGAUUCUUUUCUGCCUGUCUACAAGUUUUCAAUAAAUCUUUUCAGUUUAUCUAAGAGAAGCUUGUAACUCUAGAUUUAAUUAUUUGGUAUUACCUUGUCUGUUUUGUCCCAAUUCUUAAAAAUGAAAUACUUUCUGCUUGGCUAAAUUUAGAUGCCUGAGCAAAUACUAAGUCAUCUUUGUGCUACAUGCUUUUGUUGUUUUUGUUGGAGGUCAUCUGUUUCUGGGUGUUUGUAACAGAUCGGCCCUUCGUGUCUAAAUGCACGCAAUACCUUAGAGUCCUUAGAUUUUUCCUACCAGCCCUCAUUGGCUCACAUACGAGUUCAUACCUUAGAGCUAUGUUUUUCUAAAGGAUAUUAUUCCAGAAAAGACUACGGAGAAAUCUAAGAGGCGUCGACAGGGCCAGUUACGAUUUUGAUUUGCCAAUAUAUGAAGUUUAUUGUUGCUGUUCAUUGAAGCCUAAAUAGUGUAUAGCUUGAAGAAAGGAUAUUGAGAAAAUGUGUACUAUUAGCGAGUCAGUUUAGCAUGACAGCGUAAUGAAAAAGGGUAUUGCAUUGCUGCAUACCUGUAUGCAUGCAUAUGGUAUCUCAUCAAUUCCUCAUAGACCCACAUGCACCUUGCAAGUAGACUUCGGCUCUUCUUGUUUCUUCUUCUUCUUAUUCUGGUAUGAUUUGGUGGGAAUGUGGGGAUACACCACCGGAUUUUGUUAGUUCUUUUGUUAUUUGUACGAGAGGUGUGGUUGUUUAUCCCCUCUUCUGUUUAAUAUAUUUAUAAGUAAUUAACCUCGUUCUUACGAGGCUUAAUCAAAGAAAAAAUAGUAUAUGUCAAUCUGCAUUUAGNNNNNNNNNNNNNNNNNNNNNNNNNNNNNNNNNNNNNNNNNNNNNNNNNNGCAAACUUUGAAGUUUAUUUGUCAUGUGAUCCGUAGCUCCUGAGUCUAUAAUCCAAUAGUCAUUCUCAGCACAAACAGUGAGAGCAAUAGACAAAGAUGAUAGAGUACCUGAAGCUUCUUCAUGUGGAACAAAACCAGUUUCUGCAAGAAACCCAGAAAAUUGUUUAAGGAUGGCAAAAUGGCUUUCGCUCCCAGACAUAUUCGCUUCUUUGCAUCUGGUUUGUAUCUGCUUCUUGUUAAGAUAGGCAGCAAACUCAUUCCAUGUGCUUGUAAGAUUACCCAGGCGUUUCACAGAAGGCUUCCCUUCUGGUUUAUUCACCUCCAUAGAACUAAAACACCGAUUUGGAUUCAUUCCAACAUCGGAAAACGAUAAGGGUACAAAAAACCUCUCAACAGAUCUCUCUUCCAUAAUAGGAUGAAGAAAUCAGAAAAUAAUCAGAGGAAAAGAACUCUGAACAGAUUUCCCUUUCACAGAGGAAAGAAGAAAUCAAAAAUAAUCAAGAAGACAGAGACAGGCUUUGGAUUCCUGCUCUGAUACCAUGUAGAAAAAACAGAAGGCAAAGCUUGCAGAAAUUUUCUGAUAUUUCUUCUUGGCAUGAAAGACUUUACAGAUCUACACUACAUAUAUGAGACUGAGAUAAAACAGAUCUCCUUUUCCUUUACAGACUCUUACACCCAAACCCACUCUUAAAGCAGACAACAAAGACAUAAGAAUAAGCUAUAAAGAGAAGCUAUACAAGUAAAGUACAAAGUAAAAGAUAAAGUGUAUAGUAAUAGGAACAGCUGGAAAUCCUAAGAAUAAUAGCCAAAACUCCAGCCAUACUUCCAGAGUACAAAUCAUGCUUCAACUUCCAAUAGAAUCUGAUGUUGCAAGGAAGGAGAAAGUCGGUCAUGCUAAUGAUACAAAAUGUUUAGCUCAGGUGAUGGGAGCAAAGAGAAGAGUAUAUUUCAAACUCUCCAUAAGGAAAUCGCAUGAUUUGAAAGCAAGAUUGAAAAUCAAGUCUGUCAAUGCAUUGGAAGAUCAUUUGAAUGCAAAACCAAUAUAACUGCAGCUGGAACCUAAUGAAGAAGGAGGAGAUGCCAUGUCGUUGACAUGUUUGAUGUAGGUAGAUUUCGACACUCAAAGUUGCUGCCGAAGCUAUGGAGACCUUAGCAAAGGGGGUCUCCUAGUUGCAAUCGUGGUAGCAUUCUGCUACUCUGUCAGUUGCUAUUAAGAAACAUGUAGGUAAUGGAGGUUGCGGAUGUGGACAUGAAGUAGAGCAAUGGAAAUUAAACGUUCCCACUUGAGAUCUGUCGCCGAUUACAUAGUUUAGUAGUUUUAUUCUGCUAUAUAGUACAACAAUGUUGAUAUGGCCGAGUUGGUCUAAGGCGCCAGAUUAAGGUUCUGGUCCGAAAGGGCGUGGGUUCAAAUCCCACUGUCAACACUCCACUUUUUAGUUUUCUUCUUCUGUUUUUUUGCUAAACCCUACAAAGCAACUAGAGAAGCCUUGGCCGGAAUAAAUCCCAGGCAACCAGCUGAUUAUGAACUCUCAAACAUACCCAUUAUAUUAGCCAAUGGUUUACCAUUGUUAGUGGUUACACCAGAUUAUCAAAUUCACAUAAUCUUGGUGUAUAAUUUGAAGGACAUGGGUUUGAUCCCAAAUCAUUCAAAGCCAAAUCUACAUCUCUCAUUCUCUCGUUAUGUUUGAUUACAGAUGGUGUCUAUAAUAAUCCAAAGCAUUAUGAUUUAUGAUCCCACCGACCCACACGUUGGAUGAACACAAUGCAUGCUUGCUCCACAUACAAUCAUUCUCCUCAAGUUUUAAAUUAGUGGGUUCACAUUUUUUCUUUUUUGCCUCUCUAUAUAAUCAGUAGCACCCUUUUUCCUCACCUGCACUAAUCAUUCCAUGUCCUGUUUCACCCUCAUGUAUAUCAAAAAGAAAGACACCCUUUUGGAGGUUUGGCUAUUGAUGUCCUUCCCAUCUGAUAUAGCUCACACAAAAUAUCCUAGCUCUCAAAUCUGAUAUUGUUUUUGAGCCGGACACGUGAACGGAGAACUUAAAUUGGUUUAUUUGGUAGACAAACAACUUAUAUUGGGUGGCGGGAGAGCAUGUGCGGCCGUUGAGGCUAGCGCGUGGAUAAUGUGCUUUGAUAAUGUGAAGGCAUAAGAGCAUCCUAUUCAAAACUAGUUAAGAACGAAUAAAGAGAUCGAAGUUCAUGUGAAGUGUUACUUUGCACCAAAACUUUUACAUACCAUAGCCUACAAGUACCAACUAGGUCCACUUAUGUGUUAAACCAAAAGGUGAUCCUGUUACAAAAAAAAAAAAACCAAAAGGUGAAGAUUAAUUUGAUGAAGAAGCUUUAAUAUCCCCUAAACUAUGCCAUUUUAUAUGGGGACAAGUUCCAUCUAUUAUUUAUGCUUCAAGCCAGAGGCCCUAGCAUUAUCACCAUCAACCUUGAACAACUAUAUUAUGUUAUUUUGAUUGGCCAUAACAGAUCAAUAGCAAAGUUUCUGAUAGAAUGAAGAUUGUGAGGGAUAAACAGCUUUUGCCUUCCUGAUGCUACUCAUUAUGAAAAUUUUAAAAACCUUUCACAACCUUUUCCAUGAAACAUGUAAGAACUGAGCUUUUGUUUUAUUUUGUUACUGCUGUGAGAUUCCAUGAACAUUUUGCUGCAUAUGAUCUUCUGACUGAAUAGACAAACAAACAGUCCAUAUCAGUCCAAACCUGAUUUUACCAUAUAUUCUUGUUGUCUUUCACAGACUACACCAAAGAGCCAAAGAGUACAGGUUACCAUAUAUGUGGCAAGCUGCUAGCAGUACUAUUCCUCUUGGACUCACGCAGGCACCUUGCUUUGAUUCAUUUGGCUGAAAAAUCAUAAACCAACGUACUAAUCUUAAACCAACUAAAGCACAGAACUGGAAAUCCCUAAGUGCACCCAAUACCUAUAGUGACUAAUCUAACUACUCCUAACUCCGGAGUUUCAAUACUCCAGAGACUAUAGAAUGUUCGACACUUCGCAUUUUGUAAUUAUUUUAUCAGUAACUCAGUACAUCUGGAUCUGUACGUAGCAGCAUUGAAGGAAGGACCACUAGCCAACUAUGAAGAAAGAAUCCAAUCCAUAUGCCAACUAUGUUGCAAUGUUGCAAAGCGCCAAAGGCUGUAAUAUGGUCAUGUUUAAUAAACUGUAAAGGGUGCAUAUGCCAUAUGGUGGAAUGAAUGCAUGAAUGAAUUGAUCUCAGUACAGAUUAAACUGGUGAUUCUGUUUGGCUUUGCUGUGCUUCUUGUUUAAAUGUUGUUCAUGACCUACCAGCAGGCACAAAGAAAGAAUUGAAUUGAUGGACGCAUCAUUACCACCUGAUCGACGCAAUCUUCGGCCAUAAUGGAUCCAACACUUGUCACAGCAAGAGCACUCGAACACUAUCGGCUACUUUUGAUCUAUUUCGGAAAUAAUGUAACAACACGAGUUUUUUCAUACUCAAAAUCAAUUGAUAAUUGUUAGAAAGACUCGUCACUCGUACAUAUGUUCAAGUUCUAAUAACACGCUUGAAUAAUGAAUACAUACAUAUUUCAAAGAGUUUUAUGAACUGCAGAAGCACUUCCUGCAAAAGCACAGACAAAGAUGCCAAGAAAUGUACAAGACUGGAUUAGAAUACAAUUAUCAUUGCUAAACAUAUAGUUUUAGUGGAUGCAUUGUGGUUCUCAUUAUAAACCUCCACUAUACUUGCCUUUCCACAUAAUUGAGACUUAAUUUAAGCAAAAGCUCUAUGUGGGUAGCUUUCACUCACCAUGAUUACAUCCCCCAAAAGCCACUGCAACAUCUCAGAAAUCCAGCAAUUCCUCCAAACCAAAAACCGUGUAAAAGGAAGAACUUUCACCGAAAAGUGUAAGAGCAGUUACGAAUUUCUUGACUUUUAGAAAAUAAAAAACCAAACACUCAUUAAAAGCAUUGGUUUCAAAGUCAUCACUAACCCCCUUUGUUCCUGCAUGGAUUCAUGUGACUUUCUCCUCACUCCAGCACUCCCUUCAGGCCCUUAAAACCAAUCCGUCAGAAAAUGAAUGAUUUGUGUCAAACUGAUGAAAGCUGGGAUGGGUUUCAGUUGUUUUCAUUGAAUUAUUGAAACUUUGGGAUUUGGGUGUGGGAUUUUGUGUUGGAAUAGUUUUGGUGGGAAUUCCAAACACCAAAAUUAAGAUGCGUUUUUAGUGAUAGUCUGAAAGACUGAAGCUUUGGGAUUUGUCUUGCAGAACUUGAGUUUGAGUUUUGCACUACAGGUGUUUGAGGAAAUGGGUGUUGUCACUGUUGGUGAGUUGAAGCCUAGCAUUUCAGGAAAGAGGUCUUUUCGUCCAAGCUCAAGUAUAAGGCAUGCCAUGGAAUGGUAACUUUCUAUUUCCAGACAUUCAUAUUUUACCUGCAUUUUUCUAAUUGUAUGUCACAAAAUUUACCAUUGAAUGGUAGGUGACAUCAACUUAAUAUUUUUUAGCUUAGUCCUCUAAAUUGGUUGCAGAGUUUUGGUUAAUGCAUUAACUUUGUGUUGCAUGUUCUUGCAUCUCUGUUUGGGAUUUUGAGUUGUCAAAGACAGAGUCUGGGUUUUUUGAAACACUCUUGUGGUCAUGAUUUCCAAGUUCUAACCUGCCUAAUCUUAGGCCCCUUUAAAUUUAAAUUUAUGGAAGACAACAAAACUUCAUGGUACAUCAUUAUGGCAUAUGAAUCCUGUAAACUUGAGCUUGGAGACAGUCUCAAAUCCAAACGACAUCGGCACGAGGUGUAAACAUGUUCAUUUUCAAUACUUCACUAUCAACACUGUGAAAUGCCAACUGCCAAACGCUGUGAAAUUUCCUGGUGAUGAAUUAUUUUUGUGCCUUCAACAUCUGUAGGCCCUGAAGGUAGUACGGACAAGUAGCACACUUGUUCUCUAAGCAUGACAAAUCUUCUGGCUUUAUAUGGGAGUAAGCAACAGAUUAAGGCAUUAAGCCAAAACCAGCUAGCUAAACCACCCCAAGGGACCCAUAUAGUGUCCCGGAAUUCUCUAUAGACAGGUGAAGUGAUCAAUUUGGUCCAUUUCCGGAGAAGAACAAGUUUCCGAAAAACCUCAAAAUCAACUUUCUAUCUUGGCAUAUCUAACAUGCAUUACUGUGCUAAAUGUAAUCCACUCAUUUUUUCAAUUAUUGAGUCGGCGAUUUACAGUCGGGUCAUCCAUAUUGAAUCCUUAGUAGCUAAGAGGAUCACACCAUCCAUAAGUUUUAAUGUGCUUACUGUACAUAGAUUGAACCCAAUUGUGUAUAAGUGAAUGGAAACUUAUAGAAGCUCAUGCAAGGUUUUUGAUAUGUUGGCAAAGAUCAACAACAUGUAUGCAUGCAAUUCUAAAUGAUGUCUGAAGUGUUCAAUUGUUUUUCUUCCCAUCUAACAAAAUUAUCUUCUGCAGGCCAAUCUCUGAUGUUUCUAGUGAUCUUACUGUCGAGAUAGGAGCAUCAAGCUUUGCACUUCACAAGGUAAGGAAAAUCUAUUCAGUACUAGUGACUUUAUUGUCCAAGGAAGUUCUAUAUAGAUUUAUGUUUACAGUAGCAAAAUAAUGAUCACCAUUGCCUAUUAUAUGAACAAAAGGAAUGUGGACUCUAUUGCAGUUUCCUCUAGUUUCUCGGAGUGGAAAGAUUCGGAAACUGUUGCUUGAAGCAAAAGAUUCAAAAGUGGCACGCGUAAUUCUUCCAUCCGUUCCUGGUGGAGCAGAGGCAUUUGAGCUAGCUGCAAAGUUCUGUUAUGGACAUAAUAUUGAGAUCACACAAGCAAAUGUUGCCUUUCUCCGCUGCACAGCUCACUUUCUUGAAAUGACGGAAGAGUAUGCUGAGAAGAACAUGGAAACAAGAACUGAAGCUUAUCUAAAGGAUAUGGUGUUCCCCAACAUAUCAAAAUCAAUAGCAGUUCUUCAUCGUUGCGAAACACUCUUGCCUGCAGCAGAAGAUAUCAACCUGGUUAGCAGGCUCAUCAAUGCAAUUGCAAACAAUGCGUGCAAGGAGCAGCUCACCUCUGGCUUACAGAAACUUGACCACAACUUUCCUUCAAAAGUAGCUUCUUUGGAACCUGAAACGCCCUCGGAUUGGUGGGGAAAAGCACUUUCAGUGCUUAGUCUUGACUUCUUCCAAAGGGUUUUAUCUGCAGUGAAAACCAAGGGUCUUAAACAGGAUAUGAUCAGCAAAAUUUUGAUAAAUUACUCCCACAACUCUCUACAAGGUCUUGUUGUAAGGGAUGCGCAAUUGGUCAAAGGAAGUCUACUGGAUCUAGAACUGCAAAGGAAACAAAGGGUCAUUGUUGAGGCUAUUGUUAGUUUACUACCAACACAAUCAAGGAAGAGUCCAGUGCCAAUGGCAUUUCUUUCGAGUUUGUUGAAAACUGCAAUUGCAGCAUCAGCAUCCACUUCAUGCAGAUCGGAUUUAGAGAGGCGGAUUGGUUUGCAGCUGGAUCAGGCAAUUCUUGAAGACAUCCUCAUUCCUACAAACUCACAGGGAAACAACCACAGCACAAUUUAUGAUGCUGAUACUAUAGUGAGGAUCUUCUCCAUAUUUUUGAACUUGGAUGAGGAUGAUGAAGAUGACACUAAUCUGUUAAGAGAUGAAAGUCAAAUGGUUUAUGAUUUCGACAGCCCUGGAUCUCCUAAACAAAGUUCAAUCUUGAAGGUCUCAAAGUUACUUGACAAUUAUCUGGCCGAAGUUGCAUUGGACUCAAACUUGUCACCAUCAAAGUUCACAGCUCUAGCAGAACUACUUCCAGACCAUGCACGCAUAGUAAGUGAUGGACUCUACAGAGCUGUGGAUAUCUUCCUCAAAGUGAGCAUCUCUAAAACUUUUUCAAUUUGUCCAUGCAUUUUUCUUUCAUAGUGUUAUAAUUCAUAUAUGGUUGUUUUUCUGUUUAUAGGUUCACCCAAACAUGAAGGACUCUGAAAGGUACCGGCUUUGCAAAACCAUAGACUGCCAGAAACUAUCCCAAGAAGCCUGCAGUCAUGCAGCACAGAAUGAAAGGCUACCGGUGCAGAUGGCAGUUCAAGUCCUAUACUUUGAGCAAAUCAGGCUGAGGAAUGCAAUGAAUGGUGGCCACAACCAGUUCUUCUUUGGCGCAAUAAAUGGUACUCAGUUCCCUCAAAGAUCAGGCAGUGGUGCUGGCAGUGGAGCCAUUUCCCCUCGAGACAACUAUGCAUCAGUUCGGAGAGAGAAUCGAGAGCUCAAGCUUGAAGUAGCCAGGAUGAGAAUGAGGCUGACAGACUUGGAGAAAGAUCAUGUCUCUAUGAAGCAAGAGCUUGUUAAGACACAUCCUGCAAAUAAGUUGUUCAAAUCCUUCACCAAAAAAUUGGGGAAGAUCAAUGCAUUGUUUGGGAUUAAUAGUAUCAAGACCUUGGGGGGUAAAGCACAUUCAGAGAGCAGAUUCCCGUUUCAGAAGCGUAGGCGUCAUUCGGUUUCAUAACUAUGUAGGAGUUUGAAUGUGUAGUAUAUGUACAACUACGAACAACAAGAGUGUAUACUAUAGUAUUAUAAGUAUAGAUAUAAGCUAGAGUGAUGGCUUCUAAUCUCAGUUUUCACAACUUUUUGAGUGUGUACUUGAUUCAAUUUGUUGUAUAACAUGCGUUUAUAUUAUAUCUGAAGUCUCCUUUUCAUUGCAAAUCAUGUUUCAAGCUACAUGCACUAGUUCAUAGAGUCAUUAUAUAGUUUUUUAUGAGGCUACUUAACAACAAGACUCUGUGGCCCAAUGGAUAAGGCGCUGGUCUACGAAACCAGAGAUUCUGGGUUCGAUCCCCAGCAGAGUCGUUAAGUUGUAUUUUUUAUAUUUUUGGUAAUUUUCUCUUUUAUGAGGAAAUAGUAAAACGGCGUCGUUGCUGUCUUGUUACUUUUAUGUUAUGUUGGCUGCGUGCCACCGUCGUCGAUUAACAGAAACGGCGGGUGUCUAGAGAGAGAGAGAUGAAAGUAUCUUCUAGAUGGCUGCGGUCGUUGCCCUUCUCCGGACUCUUCAGGUACCUCAUUCCAAUGACCCAAGUAUUUGCUUUAUUCAGAUUUUCAGAAAGUUCUUUUCUUUUUGUUGUGUUUAAAUUUCAAAGGGGCUAUGGAGCUAGAUUGAAUAUGAACCCAUUUGAUAGAAACCCAGUAAAACCCAAUUAGAGAUACCCAAUUUAUUGCAUCUGAAUUGCCCCAUAAGAGUUGCAAGCUUGAAUCUCUAUGUAAAUGGAAAAAAGGACAUAGAUUGUUUGAUUGUGUUUGUUACAAUUGAAACUGUAUAGUUCACAUUUUCAUCUAAUUGUAGAUUUAUUACAUGUGUUGUGGUCAUGAAAGAUAGUGCAAGUCAUUGUAAGGCUCCCAGUUCACAAAGCUAAUACCUUUUGUAAGAAUAAUGGAAUUUUAGGUUAGAGAUCAAUUUUUGCUUAGAAACCUGCAAAUGGGGAUUAUUUUGGAUGAUAGUGAGAGCUCAGUGCUGUGGGAAAGAAUUCUAGGAACCCAUAAGCAGAACUUUCCGCAGUUUUAAUAUCGGAAACUUCAGAUGUCUAUGUCUAUAUUUUUGUACCAAUAAUUUUCAUGUCCCUUAAAUUAAGCAGCACGAAUUAUGAUGUUCAGUUGUGCACUUACACUCCCUGCAUUUGUUCUCUUACUAAGACAUGUUGUAGUUCAUUUUACAUUGAAUUGGGAUUGUGCUUCUUAUUGCAUAGGCAGCUGGAGCAGGAGAUGGAAACUGUGGUGACAGUGCUGCAACCUGGUUCAUUGGGAAUUGUAGAACACAAGUUUUCUGCUGAGGAGAUACACAAGGCAAAUGCUAUGGUUCAAAAGGCAGUGCAGAACUGGCGACGGAAUGCAAUCCUAGAGAAGAGAAAUGGCAUCUUAGAAGAGUAUAUACAGAAGUGAAAGAUCUUAAUCCUUCUGUCGUAGGUAAUCGGACAAUCAAACCAUGUUUCAAGAGCAUUCGUUUCAUAAAAUUUUAAGAUAGGGCUUCUACUUGUUUUCUCAUUUCUCUCUUUUUGCUAGAACUUGUUAUAAAUAGGCAGGACUUAUGUUUUUCUCUUCAUAUCGUACAUUUUACAAUAUGAAAAAACAAAUGCUUCAUUUAGUUUUGUUUUGAUUAUUACUUCUGUUUUUUCUGAAGAUGAUAUGUUUUGGACACAGUUUGUUAGGCAGUGAUAACGUACCAAAAUGGUGUAUAUAAUAUGUUGAUUGUAAUAAGGAUAACAAUCUUAGACGAGGUACUGAUUGUUGGGAGAAUGUAAAGUAUACAGGAUCAGGAUACUAGUUCCCAAACCAGAACAACGAAAUCAAUUUGUGGUCUAGUACCGUGAGUUUACAGUGAUAAUAAUAGAUUUAGUUAUUGACAAUUGUGUAUAGCCAGUAUAGGUGAUGACAAAUGAGUUAAAGAGGAAGAAGAACAAUAUAUAAGAAGAAUAAUCAGGUAUAGGAUCAAGCACUCUACGUACUUUAUUUAAUGUAGUAAUAUAUUGCAACCAAGAGGGAAAAACCUCACCCAGCUCUGCUCUUCUAAAUAAGAACUAGUAGUACAAGAUCAUAAAAGUUUGCCAGCCACAGCUAUAUAGAAUAUAGAGUACAACAUAUUCACUCCUUAAUACUAAACCCAAUGGAUCCGGAGGGAGGGAACACGAAAACGUACUGUUAUUUGGAGUCAUGGUUAUAAAGUAAAUAUAACUAGAGUAGUGUAUAAAUACUACUGUUGAUUCCAAAGCCAAAUGGCAUUGGCCGCCAGGAGCUUAGGCGCAAGCUGGUUUCUGAGUUGCAGGGUCAUGACCUGAUUAGUUCCACCAACGAACUGUUGGCCUAUGAAAACAGCCGGCACACAAGGCUCGCAAUUCAGCUGCUCAACCAGUACCCUCUCUAUUGCUUGCCCAUUUGGGAUUUGAUCAAGCUCAUACACUGUUGGAUUCGCCCCGUACCCCGUUAUCAGCGACACGAUGGAGUGGCUCAUAUCACUUGUGCUCCUGCUGAAGAUCACCACUGGCUUUCCGGCCACCAUGCUUGUUAUCAUAUCCAUUUCAGAAAAGCUACACUCUUUCAGUAGUUUGAAACUUUGAAAUGCGGGUGUUAUAUAUGAUGGAAGUGACUCUGUGGAGGUGAUGAUGAACUUUGAGCUCUCACUCGGGUCUAUUUAUAGAGUGGUGAUCGGGGCAAUAUUGUUUCUCAACCAGAUAGAAUGAUUAGUGAUUGGCCGUACCAAGGAAUAACACAUGAUAGAUUACCAAAAAGUCUUUUGAUUCUCAUUUUAUCCUUUAAAGAUUUUUAUGCGUGAUUACUCGAUAAUGACUCAACAUGAGCUCUUUGCACGUCCGUUCACUUGGUAACUCUGGGUUUCAGUUUCACACAGUUAGAUCGAUGCAUCAGUCACAUUUGCAUAGCUUUUCUUUUCUUUUCUGUUUUGGCCAAUCCAUCUCUGCAAAAUUAGUUCUCGCUCUGCAUGUCAAUGUAUUAUGCAUGCAUAGAGCACUGGCUUGGAAGAAUCGUAGCUCAUUCUGAGACCAGCAGAUUUCAAGAGAGGAGGGGAGAUUUGAAGAUCUUUAGCUAGAAAUCACAAAUGGAUGCUGUCAAGUGUCUCAUGGAGUCGUGAAAGAACUUCUUAAUCCCAAGUUUUUAUUAUAUUUUAUUUGUGUCCAUAUAAAUUCAUACACAUCUAUGAAUCGAUACUACUAUUUGCUUUCAUAUACUUUAUUUUUUCUUUGAGUGUAAAACUUUAAAAGACGAAUCUUAUUUACAAAAACAUUUAGACAUGACGACACAUUGUUUAGAUAAUGUAAUAUAAUUUAGAUCAAAAUAGAAAAGUUGCACUUUUGACCUACAUAAAUCUAGUAUGUCCAUUGUCAUUUUGUCAGUACGAACAUACGUAUGUCUAAUUAUUGGACGGAUCAAUUCGUCAUUGAGAGCGACAAUUAGCUUAGAGUUUUUGAAAGCAUGCACACAACUGGUAUAUUUACAAAGGGGGAGAAAUUAAUAGUAGAAAUGAUAUGCAAUUAAGCUAGCUAGCUAGGGUUCUAUUUGAUUGGAGCAUAUCUGUCAUAGAAUAUACUGAUGUGUGGAAGGAAGAAGCUAGGGUUUUCGAGAAAGCUAGGGAAAAGAUUCUCUCAAAUUUUCUUUUCUUGUUUUACCAAAAACUUCUCCAAUUCAGUCGAAGCAGCAAACCGAAAGGCAUAACCUGGUGCUUAGAAAAACAAGUCAAGAUGGAUUUUGAAGGAUUGCUUUGUCUGUAAGGAAAGGCUCAUUGAUCUGCAUGCGCUUCUCCAAAUUUGAUUUCCCGUACAGGAAAGGAGAUCGAAGCUAGAUACCUCAAAGGACCUACCACCUUAUCAACAACAAUGCCACUAGCUAAAAUAUUCUCUGUCGUAUCUAAAACAUGUUAUUUGCCGCAAUUAGUAUAUGUAAAAUGUGGUUCUCUCUUCAAGAGCAUAAUAUGCAGUAGAUGGAACCAGUUGUUGUGCAACUUCCAAUUUGCGUUUGAAAUUAAAAGCUACGCGUGCAAGUCCUUUCGAUAAUAUAAUAUUUAUUUCUAAAAAAGUUUGAUUUGUCUGCAGGUAUAUAAUUAUCACAAAAUCAUAAUGAUUGAUUUUAAUUUCAUGACCCUGAUUCCUGAUCGAGCUAGCUCACAUCAUCUACCUAGCUAGCUCGAUUAAUAUGUAAAUCAAAGAGUACGUACGUACUCUAGAGAGAAUGCUCGGGUUGGAACUUGGAAGAACGUCAAUUUGAAAUUCACUUUAGUUUUCUGGAUAAGUGGGGACUGUACUUCUGUUUGUUUCAUUCGGCCAAAGGUGGAUAACAAUUUCUUCUCGCCAAAAAAAAAAAAAGGUGGAUAACAAUUUCUACAACAUGAAUACAUACAUAAUAUACACCUGCAAUGCAAGAACGGUUCCUGACAUCACAUAUUUCCCUUAAUUUUUUGACUUAGUUCCUGAUUCGAUCACUGUUCUUACGUUUCUGAAGUUCUAAUUAUACGGAGCAUUACAAAUCCUUUUUAUUUUGUAAACUGAUUUAGCCAGAAUUCAAUCCAUGUUCAAGUGCAAUACAGCAAUCUAUCAGGAAGUGAUUGAUGUGGAACGAAAUGCCCUAAGCGAAGUGGGGACUGUUUAGUUUUGUGGACAACAAUAUUGGCCAAGGUAUGUGGAUAACAAUCUCUAGAACAAAAGAAUAUAUACACACUUGCGCGCUAUGCACGAACGAUUCUUGACAUAAACCAUUGACGUCAUUGUUUGACGUAAAUAAUGUAAUUCCUGAUCAUCAUGUAAGUUUAUACUUAUAGGUGAUAUUAUCUAUGGUAAAAUUUUGCCAAAUUAACAAUUCUCACGUCUCUAAAUUUAUAAUCAUCCGAAGUUUUAACAUACUUCUUAGGUAGAUAUAAGUUGUAUUUUCAUUGAAAUGCAGCAAAUCUAUCACAAAGUGAAAUAAAGCAAAAGGAAAUUCUCUAAGCUAGGCGUAUAUAUCAAGUUCAAGGAUGUAAUGUUGCUUUCGACUUUACCAUAUAUACAAGACACACCUUGAUAGAUCAUCUUCACGUGGCGCUCCCUAUCCAUAUUUUGGUGUCGUAAUUCCAAGUGUGUUAAUAUAUGCCACAGCAUCGUUCAAUUGGGACGUCUGCAAUGCAUGCAUGGAACACACGUGUUUACUCACAUAAACUUUGUCGGCACCGUCGGCGCCCGCCGGAAUCAGCUACCCUCAAUUUUCUAGGGCAUUUACCUCAUUUGCAUGGCUCGAAUAUUUCUUUGUUCAGAUCCUAAAUGAAAUUUAGUUGAAAUUGGAAACAGGUCAAACGUUAUAUAUGGAGCUACAAUUGAAUUUGAACUCGAUCGAUCUCUGAGUUUAAUUUCUGCAAGACCUAAAAUCUCUGGGGAUGAGCUGGUAGACUAGAGAGAGUCUGAUUUAGUUUCCUUAGGGUUUAUUCGAUCGGUAGUUCUCGUAAUCUGCAGAAGGUUAAUUACCUAGCUAAUUUAAUGCGUCUAGAUUUCCCAUAUCAAACAAGGGCUCGAGCAUAAGCUUUGUAUGAAAAAGAACCGAAUUUUUAAGGCACUUAGGGACCAAUCCUAGAUUUAAAACCUGCAAAACCAGGGAUUGACUGGAUCAUAAUCGAAAGAAAAUGAUGAAUCUAUGAGAUUAGCAAAUAAUCGAAAGAAAAUGAUGAAUCUAUAAUCGGAGUGGUAUGAUGUCUCAGUACUGUGGGGAGAGAAGAUUAGCAAAUCUAUGAGAUUCAGCUCAGUACGUAACUGUCAAAAACUUCUUCCGAUCUCACAGGCCAAGCUAUGUUCAAAUUUUCUACCAUUGAAAUUCUUGUCCCUGAAACCUAAUAAGCAGCACAGUGCAUGAUGUUCAAUUUAUUGUCAGAUCAUAUAUAUUUCAUUCCAUAUAUCAUUUGGUACUGUCUUCUGUUUCUGCUUCUUAUUGCAUAGGCAGCUGGAGCAUGAGGUAUAAACUGUGGUAACAGUGCUGCUGCAACCUGGUCCGUAUUUGGGAAUCCUAAACAAAAGUUUCUGCUGAGGAUUAUUUAAGGGGAUAAGCAAGGAAAAUGCUACAGUUGCUGUUAAUUUGUACCAUCAAUUUCAUCAUCUGCUCAACUAGUACCUUAUCUAUAAUUACUUGGCCAUUUGGGAUAUGAUCGAUCAAGCUCAUACAGUGUUGGAUUCGCUUCAUCAAUUUCAUCAUGUGCUCAACUAGUACCUCAUCUUUUGCGUUAUUACUGACCUGAUGGAGCUAGUGACUCAUGCAAGUUUACAUAGAAGAUCCAUCACGGCCACCAUGCUUGUUAUUGUAUCUAUCGCAAAAGAUAAACUUGUUCAGUAGUUUAUAACUUCGAAAUGCAGUUGUUACUCUAUAUGAGGAAUUAUUGAGUUUAUGGAGAUUAUAAAUACAGAUCUCUCGGCCUGAUCGAUAUAUCAACGUAUAGUGUGGAGAUCAUGGCAAUCUUGUUUCUUUUUUACUGAUCGAAACAAACUACGAUAUAUGGACUAACAUGAUCAUAGAUAGCCAAAAAGUCAUCUGAUUCUCAUUUUAUCCUUGAUGAUCUUUAUGCUUACUAGAUAAAGACCUCUCUGGCUCUUGCCUCCUUGCACAUCCAUUAACUAGGUAAAAUCUUUAGAUUGAUGGACCAUGAUGAUGGAUCUGCAUCAAAUUUUAUUCAAUUCCUUUGCACAUCGAUCCAUUUCCUAGUUCUGUGACUUCGAUUUGUCGAUGCAGUAUGUUCACGUUAGCUUGGAAUAGACUGUUAAGUCAUUCCUUGACACAAGAAAGAUUAAAACCGGUGAUCAGAGAGUUUGAAGGUUUUCGAUAACAAAAAAAGAAAAGAAAAGAAGGGUCACUACACAAGGAUGCUGUCCGUACAGAAUACAGUCGAUCAGAUGUGUCGUAACUUCAUAAGUCGAUCAUGAAAGAAUUUCACUUGAUUGUGGAAUGUGGAAGGAUGAAUCUAGCGUCAUAUUUCAAAUGUCAAUGUCCGUACGUAUCACACUUUGCUCAAAAAUAUUUCAAGGGCAUGCAAUGGCAAUAUGGCAUAUAUAUUCACAAGGGACAAAUAGUAGCAGUGCAUGAUUAUGUACGUAAUUAUAUAUGCAAUUAAGCUAGCUAGCUAGGGUUUUAUCAAAUUAAUAUAUAGAUUCUUAUUUGCUGAAGUGCAAAAGGGAAAAUAGAUUCUCUUCUAAUUGGGUAAGAUUAGGGUGUGUUAAUACAUGUGAUACAUCAAUUUUGUCCUCAAGUUGUAAAAUGAGCUCUCAAAGUUGUAAUAUGAGUUGUUAAAGUUGUAAAAAAAAAAAAAAAAAAAAUUAAGUUACAACAUUAGUCCUAGCCUCAUUUAUCCUUAAAGUGGUAAUUGAGUCCUUAAAGUUGUAACAACUUUUUUUAUAAUCACUUUGAAGANNNNNNNNNNNNNNNNNNNNNNNNNNNNNNNNNNNNNNNNNNNNNNNNNNNNNNNNNNNNNNNNNNNNNNNNNNNNNNNNNNUAACUAACUUUUUUCGUAUAAAUUCGUUCUCAGGGAUAGCAAGGGUUAUAGCUAUCCUGAAUAACAAAUACACAGUGACAAUAAAUAAAAGUUGCAGUAAAAUAACAAUGAACACCAAGAUGUUUUUUUACUCGCAGAAACCCUACAACCAGAGAGAAAAACUGCGUGUCUCUAACUCUUGAGAGACAAAACUUUCCACUAAGUUGAAGUAACUUUUUACAAGAAUAAUAGUUCUAGUGAUACACUACCACAGUGCUAUCCUUCCUAGUCCCAAACUAGUCUAGACCUAUUCCCUCUCUUGUUUCUAAGCUCUUACAACAUGGAACAUUUUUAGAAGUCUUGUUCGUGAAUUCAGCUAACCACUAGCAGAUUCAACUUUGAACGCUUCUCAGAAGUUUCACUCUCAGAAACUCAGCUAUCCUAAACUGAUUCUUUCAUGAACCCAGCUACCUCAGCGGGAUACAUCAGAACUCAGCUAUCCUCAGCUGUUUCUUUCAUGAACACUUCCGGGAUUGCUGCACUACCAACUGAUCUCAUGGUAUGCAGAAUGCAAUGAGUUUGUGAGAAGAGGAUUUGUUCAGCUCUAAGGUUUAUAAUCACAAGAGGAAGACUUAGAGACUAAUGAACAAUACAAAUGAAAAACCAAAACCCAACAAUAAUGCAAUGACUUUGUGAGAGAAGGUUUUGUUCAGCUCUAAGGUUUAUAAUCACAAAAGGAAGAUUUAGAGACUAAUGAACAAAACAAAGGAAAACCAAAACCCAACAAUGCAAAUGUAAAAACUACAUUUUGACAACCAUUGAGCAAAGGCAGCCUUGCUCAAUAUAUACAAGCUGAUGGAGUGCUCUAACAAGAGAGAGACACAAUCCAAAGAGGUGCCACAAAAGGGCAAGCACGAGGGCCAAAGCAAGGAAAGGCUUUUUGGACUUUUGUCCUUGGCCAAACUCAGAAAGUGAGAGGACAUAUGCAGCUGUCCAUGGCCAAGAGAAAAGACAAACAAAACUAUCCUAAACAAUGUUUGAUUUAAAAACAAGAGACAAAGGUUUUGCAAACUUUUUCCCAAAAGCAUAAUACCAUAAUGGUUUAGCAAACCACUUUUCUCUGAUAUCAAACAAAGACAGCUGCAAAUAUUGGUUUGUGUAUCACAAACACAGCAAACCACAGCUGGAGCCUAAAAGCUAAAACAUGGGUCACGGGUUGAGAUAAAGGCAUCAAACCCUAGACUAAUUUAAGCACCAAGGCAUGUCUUUUACCUUAGUUGUCAAUUUGAAAUUCAAAUGAGGAUCUCACCCAGACAUAGUUCUUAUGGAACAAGGGUAAAGAAACUUAAAUAUAAGACAACUGAACAAAAGAUCAAAAAAGCUGGAAACCCAGAUUUUAGGAUGGCAAGUGAUACUGCUAUCCUCUGUGAAAAACCAUGAAAUGCACAUGCAUGAUUUUACCUGAGUUCCAUGAGAUCAUGUUGGUUCUUCUAGUUCUUCAACUUGUUCUUAAGAUGUGCAAGACCAAUCUCUCAAUUGCUUUAGGCUUCAUAGGUUGUGUUUUGUUCUAUAUAAGGAUUGCCAACAACCUUAUACCUUCAACACAUGAUGACUAAUGUUGUAACUAGAAAAUUUUACAACUUUAAGGACUCAUAUUACAACUUCGAGAACUAAUAUUACUAGUUUGAGGACUCAAUUUACAAAGUUGAUGCACCGCAUCAUUCACAUACAUUAACACACUAGCCUUACCCGUUUAAUUCCUCUUAUAUUUUAGAACAUUUAGCCCAAUCUUACUCUCAACUCUAUUGUAAGAACCCACCCCGAAUUUUACCCUAAAACCCGGAGUAAAUCCUGCGGGGACCACCUCCAAGGAAGAUAUUACCGAAAAUUCGGCAUAACCUCCCAUGAAAAUGGACAACCCUUCCUAACGAAAACCUGCAAACACUCCUAAAAAUUCUCAAGCCAACCUUAACUUCUAGAGCCUACGUGCUCCCCAAAAACAACCACCACCAAUAACAAUAAAAAGAUCAACUUCCAGAUCAAUCACAUAAUUAUCCCGCUAAAAUAGCAUACAUCUUCCUUGAAAUAUUCUAAAUGUAAUCAAGCCUUCGUCCACAACCGAAAUAAUGUCAUACAAUAUUCCCAAGGGAAAAUCAGAGCUACUAGACACUAGAGGAAGCAAGAAAAACACUGGUAAGUUAAAUAGAUAACCUACUGAUGAAAGGUGGUGGAAAUGCGGGUGACUCUGCCUCGCCAUCUACUAGAUCUAACCCGAACUCUGCAGACUGGGCAUUUUUAAAAAGAAGGGCCCAGGGGAAGACAUUUGAAACCGUUAGAGUGAGUGGACAAAAAUAAAUUUAAAAAGAAAAUAAAUCUUUAUACUUUCCCGAUUUAACUUCUGUGGAAAAACAAUUAACGAUAUGCAACAAGCUCAAAAGCUUUUAAAAAUUUACCGAAUUUACCGAAACGUGACUAGCCGCGCUAGUCACCAACACUUCAUAAAAAUAGAGCCUCUCAGGCUAAAAUAAAAUAUGUAAGUAUUACACUCGUCAUAUCCCUUGUAUGAAUUUUUUGAAACAACAAAGACAAAUAGAAAAUUCACACAAGGUUACGACGCUUGCGUCUAACGCUCACGUCGUACCAUAAUGGCAUUUUACCUCAUUAUGGUGGAAAAGACGUUGUAUAAAUAUAUACGCGCAUAUCCCCUAUAUAAAUUAUUAUAUUUAUAUAGGGCUACGACGAUUGCGUCUAACGCUCACGUCGCACCAUAAUGACAUUUUACCUCAUUAUGGUGGAAAAGCAUGUAUAGCUAGCUAGCAUUCCUUCAUAUACAUAUUAUUCUCAUAAUCAUCCAAAUAUGGAUAUGUAUAUAUAUAUAUACUCACCGAAAUUCUCAAUUUCGGUUAUUCUCCAACAACAUAAAUUAUUUCGCAUGCACAUUAUUUAAAACAAAAGUCCACUCACAAAUUAGGCCUAAGCCUGAUGUCGAUGCCUCCUCACGACAUGUUCCAAAUAUAAUAUUAAUUUCCUAGCUGAAAUUCCAAUAUUUACACAAAAUAGGCAAAAAUUAACCGAGAGCCCUAAACACGCUCAUCAUUGCCUAACUUCGAAAUUGUCCACACCUCAACCCUAGAACCAGCAGCCGUAACUACACUUUCUCACAGUUUAAACAACUUUAAUCCAACGGCCAGAUUCUACAUUAAUUAACUGCCAAAAAUACCAAACUUCGGAAAUUUACAAACCUAACAAAAACUCCUCCAAAAAUUCCAUAAUUCACAUCAAUAAACUCCCCUUAAUAUUCCACAUCUAAAACCAUUAAAAUCUCCCAAACAGCGGCGGCCGGAGGCCGACUCCGGCGACUUCCAAUGCCAAUGAAAUUUUGACAGCAUCUUCCUCUCAACCCCUUAUACAACUUUCCUAACUAGCACAAACAUCAAUUCCAAGCCUAACUAGGGCAAUCGAGCAAAAACAACACAAAAAGCCCUAGAGCUUCCACUCACCGGUUCUACUCACCUUAAGCAAACUGGACCGAGUCCUUCUAGGGCAAGGCAACUAGGUUGGAGACCUUCAAAACCAUAUAAGGCUUGCCCGGAUUGGUGGCCGGAGGAGGAAGUUCCGGCGAGAAAACCACCACGACAGCUAGCGUUUCCGGGCGUCGUUUCUCUCUCACGGCGGCGCUAGGGGGGCUGUCAUUAGUCCAUGGAGGUAGCUGGGUUGAAGGCUGACCGAACGGGACCGGACCGGUGGCGGAUGGUGGCCGGACGGCGACGGACGGACGGCGAGAAGAUCCGACAGCGGGAGAGGGAGUGAGUCGGGAGGGAGAGAAGAAGAGAGAGAGAGAAGAAAUGAGGUUUGGGUCUCCACCAAACCGAUCCAACCCUUUAAAACAAAACCCAACUCUAAAAUUUACACCUCAAAAAUAAUACCCUAAUAAAAAUUACCUUUUACUAGCUAAAAAUUUACCAUUUUUUACCGUCGUUAAUAUUUUCUCCUACGAAUAAUCCUCUGAAAAUAACCGUCCCCUAAACCCCUCUAGGGACCAAUUCAACUAUAACCUCAAUGACGGAGACGGUAAAAUUCUUAUUAUAACCAAGCUAGUAAAUAAGGUAAAAAUUUAAGGGUCGGGAUGUGACAUUUAUUGUCACAUGCACCUUGACCCGGAAAUUGAGAAUAAUUUUUUUUUUCCAGGGUAAGGACGUGAAUAGCCUCGAUUUGUCAAAAGAUAAGAGAGAACCUUUGACAAAUAAAAGCUAUGUGAAAAACUUUAUUUCAUAAGUAUUGUUCUCACAACAAACAGGAAAGUAGCCUGAUUACACAAACUUAAAUAAAAAACAGUAAGCUAUAGAUUCACUCCUCCUCCUAGACUUCAGAUUCUUUCUAGACAUCAAGUCUUAUCCCUCAAGUGUAACAUCUGAACAAAUUCAUAAAGGGGUGAGCCAAAAGACUCAGUAGAGCAAAUCUCAUGCACAUAAUUUCAAUAUUAGUGUAUGCACAUAAUUUUAUGUUUCAGUUGCUGGUACUCUUGUACUCUUCUUGGUCACCAGUGUCUUCUUACCAUAAGAUCGUUUUAUUAAUAUAACAUUGAAAGGGCUUUUCUCCCUACAUGUAUAUAGAGAAAUUUUUCUGUCCUCCAGGAGGACCACGUCAACAUGCCUAGUGGUCAUCUUUGGCCAAUAGGAAGCGGUUAUGUAGUAUUUUUUGACAUGUAAUAAUAAAGUAAAAUAAUUACUGUAUUUAACUUAAGUAAAUCCAACCUUUUCUUUUAAAAAAAACUGAAGGAAAACCAAACAAGAUCAAACAAAAAAAAACCCAAGAUACUAGGGUUCAUCUCAUACCUACCUUACUAGUAAAAAAAAAAAAAAAAA
Molecule: long non-coding RNA, 96594 nt
Filed under: Fragaria vesca (wild strawberry)
Lineage: Eukaryota; Viridiplantae; Streptophyta; Magnoliopsida; Rosales; Rosaceae
Description: long non-coding RNA (FVES_LNC005436)
Rfam family: tRNA (bases 84531-84603)
Source: RNAcentral